RNAcentral lists this long non-coding RNA (97006 nucleotides) under Durio zibethinus. RNAcentral describes it as "long non-coding RNA (DZIB_LNC000875)". The stretch from base 55592 to 55664 matches the Rfam family "tRNA". The record is from RNAcentral. Lineage: Eukaryota; Viridiplantae; Streptophyta; Magnoliopsida; Malvales; Malvaceae.
CAAAUAGGAUCAUUUUCUUCUCGAGACCUUUUACUUUUUUUCAUCAUGUGGGAGUUCGAAUUAAUUCCCGUUUAUCUACUUCUAUCCAUGUGGGGGGGAAAGAAACGUCUGUACUCGGCUACAAAAUUUAUUUUGUACACUGCGGGGGGUUCCAUUUUUUUAUUAAUAGGAGUUUUGGGUAUCGGUUUAUACGGUUCUAAUGAACCAACAUUAAAUUUUGAAACAUUAGCUAAUCAAUCGUAUCCUGUCGCACUGGAAAUCAUAUUCUAUAUUGGAUUUCUUAUUGCUUUUGCUGUCAAAUCGCCGAUUAUACCCUUACAUACGUGGUUACCAGACACCCAUGGGGAGGCACAUUACAGUACUUGUAUGCUUCUAGCCGGAAUUUUAUUAAAAAUGGGAGCGUAUGGAUUAGUUCGCAUCAAUAUGGAAUUAUUACCCCACGCUCAUUCCAUAUUUUCUCCCUGGUUGAUAAUAGUGGGUACAAUGCAAAUAAUUUAUGCAGCUUCAACAUCUCUUGGUCAACGGAAUUUAAAAAAAAGAAUAGCCUAUUCCUCCGUAUCUCAUAUGGGUUUCAUAAUUAUAGGAAUUGGCUCUAUAACUGAUACGGGACUCAACGGAGCUAUUUUACAAAUAAUAUCUCAUGGAUUUAUCGGUGCUGCACUUUUUUUCUUGGCAGGAACGAGUUAUGAUAGAAUGCGUCUUUUUUAUCUCGACGAAAUGGGUGGAAUGGCUAUUCCGAUUCCAAAAAUAUUUACGAUGUUCAGUAUCUUAUCGAUGGCUUCUCUUGCAUUACCGGGCAUGAGUGGUUUUGUUGCAGAGUUGAUAGUCUUUUUUGGAAUAAUUACCAGCCAAAAAUAUUUUUUAAUGCCAAAAAUACUAAUUACUUUCGUAAUGUCAAUUGGAAUGAUAUUAACUCCUAUUUAUUCAUUAUCUAUGUCACGUCAAAUGUUCUAUGGAUACAAGCUAUUUAAUGCUCAAAAUUCUCUCUUUUUCUUUUUUUUUUUAUUCUUGAUCACGAUAGUUAUUUGUUUUGAUUUCUAUCUUUCUACCCCAAUAAUAGAUGUUGGUAUUUAUCUUGAUUUUGUCCCUUCAUUAUCAUGUGAAAAGCUCGAAGCUAUUCUAUAUAAUUAUUUUUAUAGAUAGUUUUCAUGAAUAAAAUAAAAAAUAAAAAAUAAAAAAAUAAUCCUAUAAUUUUUAAUAUUGUUCAUUAUAUAGUGAGAAAAAAAAAGUCUUUUUUCUUCUUUGAAGUUUAAGUUAAAUAAAAAAGCGUAAAUGAAUUAAAUUGAAUUUUAAUAAAAUAUCUUUCGUUUUUGUUGGGAUCUUUUGAAUCACUGCACUACUUAAUACAAAAGGUUCUUGAUAGCUUAUAAAAGUUUUCUUAUAUAUAUAUAUAUAUAUAUAUAUAUAUAUAUAUAUAUUGUCUUAUCUUAAUAUAAUAGCAUUUCUAAAACACAUCGUUACUAUUUUUAAAAAAUUCUGCUAACGUUUUAGUGGCUUUUUUUUUUAAAGAAAUGCCACUACAAAUGCUUCUCUUAUGAUGUCAAAAAAUUUAACGGUAUUUUUCAGAAAACAUAGUUAAAUUUAAAGCAUUUUUAUAUUUAGUGCCAUUUCUUAGAUGCAUAAAUUUAAAAUUCAAAAAUAAAACUUUUUACAUAUUUAACAGCAUUUAUAAAAAUAAAUGCUACUCAAUAUUCAUAUUUAGGGCUUUAGACUUUUACAAAGGCCAUUAAAUUUUUUAUUUAAUAACGUUUAUCCAAGAAAAGCCACCAACUUUUUUAAUAUUAAUUUUUUAUAUAUAUAGUUGCAAAAAAUAAAAUGUCAGAUUUUUUUACUACAAUUACAUUUAAUAUUAAAAUAUGUUAUAAAAACAAAUAAAAUUUAAUUCAAUUUUAUUAAUUAAAUAAGAUAAAAUAAUACAUUAUUGUCUGAAUAAAUAAAUAUAGAAGUGAAUACAGAAAUCGACCAAUGCGCCCGAUACAAGAAUAGCACCAGCUAUUAUAAAAUAAUAAUAAAUUGUCCAAAUAAAAAUACAUAGACCAAUGCGCCCGACGCAAGAAUUGCAUCAAGUGGGAAUAAAAACUUCCAAAGCUCAUACACACCUUCGAAGAGAUGCAAGGUAGUCCUCGCUUGACAAAUUCUACAUCUCUUCAAGAUCCCAAGUAUAGUCAGUGACCUAGGCGUAAUUUUCCAUGCUUUAGAACGUUAAAUUUCAGACAAAUAACGAUUAAAGAAUUGAGGUGAAGAUUUAAACAUUUAGGCAUUUAAUGUCCCUUGCAAGUGUCACGAGGCUCAGCAUCAAACAAUUCUUGCAAAGAUUUGUUUUCGCGGCUUGAUGAUUGAGUUAGUGUCUGACCUUUUGGUGUUCGUGCUCACGCGGGGUGUGACAUAGUUAAUGUGGGAAACAUAUAAGCAUUCAAUUAGUACCAAGCGCAACAAACAUGAAGCCAUAAAAGCAUCUAAUUCGUCAAAUUUUACUGCAACAUGAUAUUAGCCUGCAAGUAUAAUUCAAAAGAGAAAUGCAGAAUAGAUGUCUCUUCUAAUACUUGCAUUCAUGAUCUUUGCAAAGACACCUGGACAAAAGUAUUUUUUUGAAUAUUUUUUCCUCGUUUUAACCGUAAAUUUGUCUUUUUUAGGUUUUUUCUUGAAAAUACUAGUUUUUUCGUUUCUAAGUUUUCCACAAAAAAUUUUCUUUUUUAAACAAAUAGAUUUUUUUUUUUUUUGUUUAUUGCAACCAAAUUCUAAAUCAUUUUUUUAUAAAUUUUAGUAUAUUAUUUAUAAUUAAAUUUAGACUUUACCUGUUUGAUAACUUUUUGCUUAAAGUAGUAUUCUGUAAUCUGAUCAUGUAUAUAUUUUAUGCCACAGCCAAGGGUAUCAUAUAAUUCAAAACUUGGAUUUGCAGCAUUUGAAUUUUUUAUUUUUAUCUCAAGAUAGGUAGUAUAAUUUUGAAAAUAUAAUUCAUUAUUGUAAGGAAAGUUUUAAGAAAAAUUAUUAUUAUCAAAAUUUUGAAUGUUUUUCAUCUAAUUUUUUGUAUUCAGGAAAUAUAUUUUUUACAAAAAUCAUCUAUGUGAUAGAUAUCACAUAAUUUUAAUUUAAAAUAUAAUUGAGCUUGGAAUACAAAGUUUUUGUACUCUUACAAAAUUUAUUUUUUAAGAUAUGUGUUAAAUUUUUUAGUAACUGAGCAAAAAUAUAUCUUUUUGAUUAUUUUUUAAAGUUACAUUUUCUUAUUUUUUGAGAAACUGCAAGACAUUUUCUUACCAAGUAUCAUAAAAAUAAUUAAGAAAAUUUCUUUUUAUUUAGACGUUUUUAUAACCUGUAACAACAAUAGAUGCUUUUAUGUCUUCAUGUUUUCGUAAAAUGUGGUUACCUGUAACAAUGAUGCUUUUAUGUCUUCGUUAUUCUCGCUCCUUAUCCGUCAGACGCCAAUCAUCGAACACAUCAAAGACGUCAAAUGUGCCUUUCAAAUUUUUACCUCCAAUUUGUCCUUACUCACAAGGAUAAUAAACUAUAAUUCCAAAAUUCCAAAUAGAUGGGUCCUCAAACUUUACUUACUUUUGCAGCCCAGGCAUAUCUCCAUUCAAACUGGAUAGGGUCUCCUAGGCUUAAGUUUUAUAACCACAUAUAAACUAUAAUUUAUUUUGGGCAGUCAACUAAAAGACCAAUCUUGCUAACAGGCGAUAAUCUGACUGGCAAAGUUUUUCGGCAAGAAAACAGAUCAUGACAGAUCAUGACAGAUAUGAUUCUUUGUAGUACAACAAUGACUUAUUUUAAGACAUGACUAGAGCGUGUGGUGCCAACAGCCAUCGGGGCUAUGGUUUCAUGCCAACACAGUUUAUGAAGUAGAGAGCUGAGAAAGGACGAAUGACCUAAUAAAAUGACCAGUUUUUAACAAAAUACAUGGAUAUACAAUAAAAUGACCCAAAAUCCAAGAAUGAGAUCAUCAACUAUGCAACAAAAUAGCAAUUUUAUUUUUCUUUUCUAAAAUUUCACUAUCAUGAUAAAUUUAAGAAAACAUACCUCUACAAGAAAAGAUUUUUAAAAAGAUAAGAAAUAUAAAGAGAUGAUAUUGAAAUCAAUACCUUUAAAUUCCAUUUGCUAGUUCCAAGCGGAUCACUGAAGAAGAAGAAAAUGCACCGCAAACAUGAAAAAGCACUCUUGAGUUUUUCUAUUUCUACUAUUGACUUUUAUUUUUUAGUCUUCCCUUCAUAAAAUCCUAUCAAACAAAAAUUUAUAGGCAUCUAAGCCUCCCAAAAGUGCAUAUAAAACACAUUAAACAGAUAUAAAACCAUCAUAUUUCUCUAUGACUACUUUUCUUUUAGGUUAUAUUUUCUAUUCCUUUAAUUGGGAUGUUACCAUAUCUUCAACCUUCGGAAGCUAUUUUCUGAAAAUAAACCACAGGAUCUUCAAAACCCUUCGACAUUCUAGAAUUGAAAGGAAAGAAUUAUGGAAAUCGCUGGGAAAAUCUUUCCGGAGAAAAGGAAAUAGUGAAAAGGAGAAGAGAAAGGGAGGAGAGAAGAAACACUAUAGAAACAUAUGAAAAGCCUAUUUCUAUGUAAUAAGAGUUAAUUCCUAACAUAUGAAACAUAUUUGUCUAUCUAUCCAAAUUUGAAUACAUUAUUAUUGUUUUAGUUGAUUUCAAAUCAUGAAAGCAAAUAUAUAAAAAUAUUUUAAUCAAACCAAAAAAAAUUAUAAGUUCAUAUACAUAAAAGUAACUUGAUUAAUUAAUAUAAACAAAAAUAAAUUAAAACCAACAAUCUAGAUUCUAGAAUCUCAAUUAAUUAAGUAAAGGACAAAGGCGAAAUCAUUAAAAAAGUUUCUUUUAAUCCCGUCAAACUAAUCUAAAUAAAAUACUUGACAGUUGAGACCUCACGUUGGCAUUUAUAUAUUAAGACUGACAUAACCUUGUUAAAACAAAUUAAUAAAUAAAUAAUAGAAUCAUAUAAAAUAACAAAACCUCCCCUUUGCAUUUACUUUAUUUUUCUUGUGAGCACUUCUCAAUUUUAUGAAAUUGGAUUGUUUUGCAAUAUCAAUAGCCAACCUGCAUAUCGUACAUAAUGUCUAGCAAAAGGUUACUUAGACAGGCUCGGGGCUUUCCAUACUUUCUUUUCUUCUUACGGAGGUAGACUUAGUUCAUAAAUUUGAUCACCAGACAUAAAAUAAAAAUUAUCUACUUAUAUGAUUAGUCUUAAUUUAUCCUUUUUAAAGAUUGACUUGGUUAAGAAUUCCUUUAAAAAAAAUAGAUCAUAAUUUAUUAACCAAAACUAAUUUAGAAGCUCGAUUAUAUAAGAAAAGGUAUUAUAACACUUUACAACGUUCGUCUAAAUACGAUAUCAAUUAAUUUUAAAUUAUUAUUAAAAUUUUGAUUAAAUGGUCAUUUUAUUUUUUUAGUUUUACUUGAUUUCAUGUUAUAAUUUAAAUAUUGAAAUAAAGUUUUAAUUUUUCACUAUUCUUAUGUGAAAUUUUUAAAUUUUUUUCUCAACUCAAAAAUAUUUAACAAAACUCACUCAUUAUGUUCUUUUGUCAAAUUUAUUAAAUAUUUUAAUUAUUUUUAUUCUCAACUAAUUAUAUAAUUUUCUUUUCUUUCCUAAAAUCUUUUAUCUUUAUUUUAUUUUAUAUUAUUAUUAAAAAUAUAUUUAAAAUUUUUACUAUUUUGAAAAUAUUUAAAAAUAUUUUCUCACCCAUAAAUUUUUUAGAAAAUCAACCAUUAUUGAUUUUUUAAAAUUUCAUCAUCGAAUUUACUUUAUUUUAUCUCUUUUUUUGAAAGGUUUAAAGUUUAAUUUCAAAUUUUAUUAUAUUGUUUUUUUUUUGUUAUUUUUGUGCUUGAAAAUAAAUUUUAAUUAUUAUUGUUAAAAUUUUGUCUAAUUUUUUUACCAUUUUGAAAAUAUUUAGAAAAAUAUCUUCCUGAAAAAAUUCUAAAAAAAACCCAUUUGUGAUUUUUAAAAUUUCAUCAUUUGAAUAAUUUUCAUCCAUUUUCAAAAUUUUUGAAGUUUUUCAUUUUAUUUUUACUUUUGCUUGAAAAUAAUUAUCAAUUAUUGUUAUUGAAAUUUUAACCAAAAUUUUUACCAUUCUAAAAAUAUUUUUAAAAAACUUAUCACCUAAAAAUUUCUAAAAAAUCAUCCAAUCAUGAUUUUUUAGAAUUUCAUAAACAGGAUAAUUUUCAUUUGUUUUCCAAAAUCUUAAAUUUUACUUUAUUUAUAUACCUUUUUAUUAAUUGAAAAUAAAUGUCAAUUAUUAUUAUUAAAAUUUUAAUCGAAAUUAUCCACCAUUUUGGAAAAAUUAGAGAAAAACUUCCCACCUAAAAAUUAUUAAAAAACUCUAACCAUUUUUUAUAAUUUCCAUUACUUUCUAAAAAUUGAAAUAAUUGCCAUUUACUUUUAAAAAUUUUGGAAAAAUUAUAUUUUAUUUAAUUUUAAAAAAUUUCAAAUACUUCUUUUAAUAAAGAAAAUCUCUAAUCUAAAAUUUUAAAUAUAUAAAAAAAAAACAAAUGAAUAGAAUAAUAAAUUUCAAUUAUUAUUGUUAAAAUUUUAUAUAAUUUUUUACCACUAUGAAAAUAUUUAGAAAACUUCUUACAAAAAAAUUCUAAAGAAAUCACCUAUUCGUGGUUUUUAGAAUUUGAUCAUUUGUAUAAUUUUCAUCGAUUUUCAAAUUUCUAAAGUUUCUCAUUUUAUUUUUACUUUUGUUUAAAAACAAAUAUCAAUUAUUAUUAUUGAAAUUUUAACAAAAAUUUUCACCAUUUAAAAAAUGCUUAGAAAAAACUUCUCACUUAAAAAUUUUUUAAAAAAAUUAGAGAAAAACUCCUCACCUUAAAUUUUUUUAAAAAACUAUCUUUUUAUAAUUUCCAUUACUUUCUAAAAAUAAAAAUAAUUAUCAUUUACUUUUAAAAAUUGUAAAAUUAUAAAAUUAUAUUCUAUUUAAUUUUUCAAAAUUUUCGAAUACUUCUUUUAAUAAAGAAAAUCACUAAUCUAAAAUUAUAAAUAUACAAUAAAAAAAUGAAUAGAAUAAUAAAUUUAAGCACUUAUGCCUAAUGUCUUUAACAAAUUAAUUUUGAAUGGCAUGAAAUCUUGAAGUGCAAACAAUUAAGAACGAUUUUUGGACCACAUAAAAACAACAUAUAAGGUAAAUGCUUUCAAUUUUCUAACCCACAUAAGAUAAAUAUCUUUGUCAACUGUCAACAUGUAUGAAUUCGUAAUUUAACAUGGUACAUAUUUUACAUUCAUCAAAUUGAUUAAUUGAUACCGAAAUGCAGUACUUGAAGCAUCAAAGAUUUUAUUUAUUAAUUUAUUUAUUUUAUUUUUAUUAUUAUUAUUAUUAUUAUUAUUAUUAUUAUUAUGCUUUAACUAAGCAAGCAAGAAGUUAGAUGAAAAAGGAACAAUAAUUGAAAAAACAAGUGACUGCUAAUGAAAUCAUUGGCAGAAAGUUUUUAACUUACCAAGAUAUAGCCCAGAAAAGAACUUUUGUGAUGAAAGAAAAUAUAAAUUCACACGGUUCAGUUGUCUUCUCAUCCAAAAGCCUUGCAAAAAGCAGUGCAGCUGUAGAAAUCAAUUCCCAAAGACAUGAAUGCUACGAGUGGGAGUGUUGUAGUCAAAAGAGUUUAUUUUUCUUAUUUUUGUUAUUUCUGUUAUAGUCUGUUAUUCUGCUGUUUCUGUUAAUUUCUGUUACAAGAGGCAGUUACAGGAUUCAAUUAAAACGAUAAAAGAGGUUGGAAGUGAAUGGAAAAUGACAAGAAACAUUUCAAGAAAUUUUGAAAAUUUCUUUUGGUCAUUCUCUCAACAUUUCUUCUUUCUUUAGAGCUUUCUUGUCUAGGUUUUCAUUUAUAGUCUUGGUAGAAGCUACAUCAUUGAUAUCAAAGCCCAAUCUUGGCUAUGGGUGAGUAACGACGAGCUGAGUUGCACCAAUUCAUCGAACAUGUUAUGGCAAGAAUAGAUGCCAUAUUCGAUAAAUACAAAAGGAAGCCUGAUACUACAAAGCAACUAUCGAUGGUCUAGAAGCUUGAUAACCAAGUCACCAUUGAAAAUUUUUGAGCAAAGAUGAGCAGACUGAUCCCAUGGAUGAACUGGUGAAUCUAAUCAAGGUAGAUACCACAAAUACCACAAAUCUCUCUCCGUUAUCCUCAAUUGCUAAAUUACCGAUGACUAGUCUUUUUGACGAUAAAGGAAAAGCGGUGAAGAGCAUUGGAUUUGCAGCUACUAGCUCACUUAUGGAUGUGGAUGCAUAUGGCUCUCCUCCAGUGGACAAGGAUGAACAAGAAGGUGCAGGUAAUGUAGCAGUGGAUAGCAAUGUUCUUAAAUCAAUUACUGGGUCUUUGGUUACUGAGACUAGAUUUGAGUCUAUUUGGGUUGAAAACAAUGGAAAAUUGGCUAAAACUAUCAUUUUGGGGGCUAUUGAUGUGUAUGGAAAGCUUGAAGGAGUUUAUUCAAUGGCAUUUGUAAAUGGGCACAAGCUAUUUGUGGUUUGUGACUCAAACGGGUUUAGACUUUUGGUAAUGAGAGGUGGAAUAAUGAAUAAAGAAAACGAUGACAGCUCUAGUAUUUUUUCCUCAAUCAGAUAAACAAGAAAAUGAAUACCUCAUCAAUCUUUUUGAUUUUUUUUGAGCAUGUUGAUUUUUCAUCUUAGGUCAAAGUUGCUUCAUCUACUGAGUUGGACAGUUAGGCAAUUACCCUAACCAAUUUUACUAAAAUGUAUAUGCCAAAAUUGGGAGUUGAUGAGGCGAAGAUGAUGGAAAAUCUUUGGGGUGAAAAUUGUUUUGAUUCUGUUACUAAGAAGUGGACCACCAAAAACAUUGGUUUUGCCACCUGCAAGCAUAAAUUUGUUCAAUUAUGUUAUGAACCCAGCAAACGGUUCAUUAACACUUGUAUGAAUGACCAGAGGGAUAAGCUCUGGCCCAUGUUGCAAAAGGUUGGUGUCAGUGUCACCAUGAAGUUUGAUGAGAAGGAUUUGUUGGUAGGGGUUUUCAUGAAGUGUGUAAUGCAAACCUGGUUCCCUGCAAUCAAUGCUUUCCUGGAAAUAAUGACUUUCUAGCUUCAUUCUUUUGAUUCAUGCUUACAAGCAGGUUUUGUCUUUACCACUAAUAUUAACACUGUAUUUGCCUUGGGAUAUUCUGGGACUAUCAUGGUCCCUCUUGGCUGGAUGGGAGGUGUAAUUAGUUUACUUUUAGCCACCAAGUUAUCCUUAUACACACAUCUGCUUGUUGCCAAGCUCCAUGAAUUUGAGAAAAAGAGGCAUAUCAGAUACAAAGAUCUUGCAGCGUAGAUAUAUGGUAGGAAAGCGUAUUCUAUUACAUGGGUAUUGUGAAAUGUCAACAUUGGAUAUCUCAAUUUGGAUGGUUCUGCUUUAAAGGCUUCUUAUGCCCUCUUCAAGAAUGACCAUACCAUGACGCUUCCAUACUUUAUUACCAUAGCUGGAGUUGUGUGUACUUUGUUUGCCUGCUGCAAAGAAAGUUAUCUUGUUUUUCAUAUCUCACAAUUGAAAAAAAAAGAAAAAUGUGGGAGUGCUGCUAGCAUUGCAGCAUCUUCUUUUAGUGGAUGCAAGGGAAAUUUUGCUAAGAACAUGUGGUCAGUUUGGAAAAAAGGAUGGAUAAGAUGAAGGGUCUUGCUAUAACUGAAGUUUUGGUGCAAUGGCGCAAUUUUUUUUUUUCCAGAAGAUGGUACUUGAGAGAUUUUAUUUGAUUUACAGAGGAGGUUUCCUUCAUUCAGUCCUUGAGGCCAAGGAUUGCUUCAAGAGGAGGGUAUUGUUACGAGCGGGAGUGUUGUAGUCAAAAGAGUUUACUUUUCUUAUUUCUGCUAUUUCUAUUAUAAUUUGUUAUUCUGCUAUUUUGUUAAUUUCUAUUACAAGAGGUAGUUACAGGAUUCAAUUAAAACGAUAAAAGAGGUUGGAAGUGAAUGGAAAAUGAUAAAGAAAUAUUUCAAGAAAUUUUGAAAUUCUCUUUUGCUCAUUCCCUCAUCUCUUCUUUUUUCUUUAGAUUUUUUUUCUAGGUUUUCAUUUACAGUCUUGGUAGAAGCCUACAUUUAUCUUUUUGAAAGUUUUGAACAAUCAAUAAGUAAAGAUGAAGUGGUGGAGUUAGAUGAUAAAUCUUUGGCAUAAGUACAUCAAUAUGUUUUUUUUUUCAUCAUGACUCAAUUGAAUCAUUUCGCACAUAAGUUAUUCAUGAGAAAAAAUCAUUCAUUCUAUUAAACAUAAUUUAUAAACUUUCCUUCUUACUGUUAAUACUUUAUUUUGAUGCAUGUAGUGAGUAUAGAAACAAUUUGAGAGUUCAUGCAAAUUAUUGACGAUCAAACAUUCGAGAGCUUGAUAAGUUGUUCACCUUAAAUUUUCAUGAGUGGUUAGGAAAAACUGUAAGUAAUACCAUAAUUUUUAUUUUAAGAAUUAUACAUAGAAUGCCUAAGAUAUAAAUAAAAUUAAUAACAUAUAUUUUAUUUCACUUUUAUAGGUUUGGAGUGGAAGACUUGUUAGUGAAGAGGUGAAGUGUCUUUCACAAGGUCCGAAUAAGAUUGUUAAAUGAUACAAAGGGUUCAUCAUAAAUGGAUUUAGAUUUUAUAUUAAAUCUUGUGAAAAAAGUAGAAUAACACAAAAUUCAGGAGUUGUUGUUAUUUCAUCAACUACUAGCUAUGCUAGUGCUGGGAUAUAAACUUUUUGGGAGGAAAUGUUGACUACUAUGGCAUAAUUAAUGACAUCAUUGAGUUGGAUUAUUAUGGCAAGAGAAAGGUUAUCUCAUUUCGAUGUGAUUGGGCUGAUGUUAAUAGUAUGAAGGAAAUUAAGAAAGAUCAAUUUGGAUUUACAAUCGUGAAUUUUUCUCUAAUAAUUCACACCGAAUAACAACUUAUUAAUGAACCUUAUGUUUUUUCCUCUUAAGUCAAAUAAGUUUUUUAUUUUGGAGACCCUAAAGAAUUGGGUUAGUUUGUUGUUCUUCAUAACACACCUAGGGACUUAUUUGAUAUGGGGUUAGAUACCAAAGAUGAUGUUAAAUAUAAAAUUGAAUGUUUUCUUUUUACUGACCAAAACUUGGAUGGAAAUAUCUUUAAUACCUCUACUCAGUGGGUUCGCAAAGAUGUUGAUGAAGACAUUUAUAAACGAUGAUGGAUAAUCUAUAUUUUGUAAUUAGAAUGUUCAAAACAUAAUGUAAGAAAUGAUUUUAUGUAAUUUAUGUGAUAUUCGCUUUUGUAUAUUUAUUGUGUUGUAAAUUAUAAAUAAUCUUUUAAUUUAAUUAAAUCGAUAUGUUCUUUAUAUAUCGUUGGUUAUGAUUUUUUAACUUCUCAAUGUCUAUUUAUGUUAUUUAGAUAUGUUUUUUUUUAUAUAGUUGGUUAUAUAUACAAUGUCUGAACGUUUCAAUUUUUAACUAAUUUUUUUUUAUAAUGCAGCUAAGUUACAAUGUCGAGGAAUAGAUUGAGGGGAGUAUAUAUCAGAGAUAUUAGUUUAGAAUCAUCUAUGACACCUAUUGAUCUUGGCCAUAGACUAAAUCAUUUAGAGGGAAAUGUGCCUACUGCCAGUUCUAACAUAGUCACUUCUAAUCUUUCAACUGAUAUUUGAUCUGGUAAUAUGAAAGGUCCAAGUUUAGAUAGUAUCCCACCAAUUGUUUUGCUUCUAAUUUGAAUACAGGUAUCGUAAACCCUAUAUUUAGAUUUUAAUUAUAAUCAUUAAAGUAUUGGUAAUUUACUAAUUGACAUUUUAUUUUUUGCAAUUGAUAACAAUGGUCAAUGGAGGACCAGAGACAGGACAACUUUGAAAGAAUUAUGGAUAGUACCUCCGAACGAGCGUAUUGUAGUGUCUGCAAACUCUGAUAGGCAACCAAUUAUUGAAGAGUGUUAAUUGUUAGCUAGAUUUUUAGGAAUGAUUGCCUGUAAUGGCAUGAAAUUGCCUAUUCAUUAUGAAACAUGGCAUAAAGUUCUAGCAAAAGUUAAGGCCAAAGCUUGAAACUUUGUUGAGGUAUUAGUAUAAUUAAUUACAUAUUAAAAAUAUUAAUUCUUUUAAAGUUAGUCUAUAAAUUGUAACUUUUCUUUUUGUAUUGUUACAGUCAAGAUUUUUACUUGAACUACCUACUUCAUUUGUGCUUAAGUCAUUGGAAAAGAAAUGGAAAGCUUAUAAGCAUAAUUUGAAGGAAAAGUAUUUUGAUCAAAAUAGUACUGUAAAUGCCAAUAUAGAUAAUCUACCUCACGGUGUGAUUAGGUGGCAAUAUGAGCAGUUGAUUAGAUUUUGAUUCUCAAAGAAAAGAAAGGUACUAAUUUACAAGUUUUAAUAUUAUUUUUAAUAAAAAAGGUGUUUUAUGUUUUUAGUUGGUAAUAUUUGUAUUUUUGCUAUAUAAGGGAUUGUUUUUUAUGAUAGGAAAGAGAAAAAAUUGAACUUGCUAGCCAAAAGCAAUAGAAAUAUAGCCAUACGAGUGGAUCAAAAAGUUUUGAAAGAAAGCAAAAAGAAAAGGUAAGUAAUGCAUCAAAUAAGAAAGUUGUCGUUUAUAUCCGUUUAGUGCUUUUGUGUCAUUAAAGGAUAAAAAUGUAAAUAUGUAGUUAUUUUUUGUUUUAAUAAUUUGAAUAGCUUCAAUACAUUAUAUUAAACUUGUAUGAAUUAUUGAACUUGAUUUUCACGGUUGAUAUGUGUGAAAAGUUACCGUUUAUAUCUUUUUAGAACUUUUUUGUGCUAUUAAAAGGCAAAAAAUGUAAAUAUGCAGUUAUAUUUAUGUUGUAAUAGUUUGGAUAGCUUAAAUACAUUAUAUUAAAUUUGUUCAAAUGAUUGAACUUAGUUUUCAUGAUUGAUGUGAGAAAAAGUUAUUGUUUAUGUCUGUUUAGCACUUUUUUGUACCGUUAAAAGGCCAAAAUGCAAAUUGGCUUUUAUUAUUUUGUUUUAAUAGUUUAGAUAGCUUCAAUAAAUGAUAUUAAACUUGUUUGAAUGAUUAAACUUACUUUGUAUGUUGAUAUAUGUGAAAAGGUUGUCGUUUAUAUCUAUUUAGGAUUUUUUAUGCUGUUAAAAGGCCAAAAUGUAUAUUUAUGUUUAUUAUUCUAUUUUAAUAGUUUAGAUAGUUUCAAUACAUAAUAUUAAACUUAUCUAGAUAAUUGAACUUAGUUUUCAUAAUUGAUAUGUACAAAAAAAUUACCGCUUAUGUUUUUUGAGGACUUUGUUAUGCUAUUAAAGGGUAAAAAUGUCAUUUUACAUUUAUUUUUAUGCUUUAAUAGUUUAGAUAGCUUAAAUACAUUAUAUUAAACUUUUCUGAAUGAUUGAACUUGGUUUUCAUGAAUGAUAUAUAUGAAAAAGUUACUGUUUAUAUCUAUUUAGCACUUUUUUGUGUCGUUAAAAGGCCAAAAUGCAAAUUAUGUUUAUUAUUCUAUUUUAACAGUUUAGAUAGCUUCAAUACAUAAUAUUAAAUUUAUCCAAAUGAUUGAUUAAACUUGAUUUCCAUGGCUAAUAUGUGUAAAAAUAUUAUCGUUUAUGUCUUUUUAGGACUUUGUUAUGCCAUUAAAGGGCAAAAAUAUAAUUUUGCAGUUGUAUUUAUAUUUCAACAAUUUAGAUAGAUUCAAUGCAUGAUAUUAAACUUGUAGAAUGAUUGAAUUUGAUUUUCAUGAUUUGAUAUGUAUGAAUAAGUUACGAUUUAUUUCUAUUUAUAACUUUUUGUAACGUUAAAAGACAAAAAUAUAAAUUUAUAAUUAUUCUGUUUUAAUGGUUUAGAUAGCUUCUAUUACAUUUUAUUAAAUGUGUCCAAUCAUUAUUGCCACACUUGAUACACAUAAUUAAGUUAUGGUUGAUGUGUGUUUAACAAAAAUAGUGUUUAUUUAUGUAAGAGAUUAACUUGGGUGAAAAUUUGGAUGUGUGAAACUUUUUCGAUUAACCCACAAAAAAAAUGAAUCUUAUUUGAAUGUCGAAACACAAGAAAUUGUAAUAAUUUUUUAGAAUCAUUUUUUAUAAGGUGUUAAUAUUUACUAUUUCAAAUAUAUUAUGAAUUAAUUAUUAAAUUUUAUAGCUUUAUUUGGUUAAUUUUAUAUAAGAAAGCAAAAGAAAAAAUGACCAUUGAAAUAGAAGUAACAUUCGAUUGUUCUAUCAACAUGCAAGAAUUGAAAAACCAGAUUUUCACAAAAGUUAGCGAAAAAGAAAGAUAUGGACAGGUUCGAGACCUUGGAUUGGGUCCAACACAAUCUAACUAUUAUGAAAAUAGCUUCCAACAAUUUACAUUCUCAACAAGUCAAUCUUCACGAGAAAUCUCAAUAUUGAAAAAGAGGUUGCAAACUAUGCAACAACGUGUGCAACAAAGGGAAGCAGAAAAAGCUGAGGAGCGUGCUAAAAUAGAUGAGGAGCAUAAGCAAUUGCAUGAUUGAUUCAACACUCUUAUGAAUUUUGUGCAAUAACAAUUUUCAGAAAAUAAUCUAAAUAGUCCACCAACUCAGGUAUUAUAUUUAGUAAUAAUUUAUAUUUUUUAAUAUUAGAAAUAGUUUAUUAUUAAGUGUAAAAACUUGUUUUACUUUUUUCAGUAGAUUCUUAAGCAAGCUAAUGAUUGUGAUAGAAAAAAUGCUUCAUCAAAUGACAGUGCUCAAAAUCUGAAUGGUCAUUAAUUUUAUACAUUUUAAAUUUUUAGUUAAUGUACUAAAACAAUUUGAAUGUUAAUGUAUUAAACUUUGUAUUACAUGUAAACUGGAACAAAUUAUGUAUUUAUAUUUUUAAAUAUUUAUAAUAUUUAGUUUAUAAAUUUAAAUUCAUUUUUACGAUUUUGAAAAUAUUUAUCUAUUUUUUUAUUUAAUUAUGUAGUAAAUCUUAAAAAAAAAGUAAAUUCUCUCAUAUAGUGACGUUUUUUAUGCAAAAACACUGUUAAAUUAACGACGUUUUUAUAAAAAUAUUGCCAAGUUUAGCAGUGUUUGUAGACACAAACGAUGCUAAGUUAGUGUCAUUUGUGUCUACAAAUGCCGUUAAUUUAAUGGCAUUUGUGUCUUAAAAUGUUAUUAUGUUAGUGGCGUUUGUGACUUUAAAUGUCGUUAAUUUAGUGGCAUUUUUUCUUAAAACGUUACUAUUUUUUUUUAUGCGAGAAUAACUAGCAGUUUUAGUGGUUUUUGACAUAUGCCAUAAAUCGUAUAAUGGCGUUUAUAAACACUGCUAAACAUGAAAAAAAUGCUACUAAAAACCUAUUUUCCUAUAGUGAUUAUUAUUUAUAUUAUUUAGUAAGAUAGUUAAAAUAAUAUAUACAGAUCUUAUUAUUACUUGUUUUUUUAAUUGAAUUGAUAUAUGGAAAAUAUAAUAAUUUGAAUGCAAUUUGAAUAUUUAUGAUAGCUUUUAUGAUUUUUUGGAGAUGUUUUUCCAGUUAUUUUUUUUGCUUUUUUUCUUUUUUUAUUAGAGUUAUCAUUAAUUACUUAGUUUUGUUUCUUAAAUUGAAAUGUGUAUUAAUUUUAUAAUUUAAUAUGAUAUGGCAUUUGUAUAUGACCAAUGAGGGUAUGUAUGCAAAAGUCAAUUCUUGAAUUCUUUCAAACACAGCCUUUUAUGGUCUCUAUAAUUGGAUUAAUUAAGCCAAUACAAAAGGGCAUAACAUAUGAUAAUUUAAUAUGAUAUGGCAUUUGUAUAUGACCAAUGAGGGUCUAUAUGCAAAAAUCAAUUCUUGAAUUCUUUCAAACAUAGCCUUUUAUGGUCUCUAUAGUUGGAUUAAUUAAGCCAAUACAAAAGGGCAUAACAUAUGAUAAUUUAAUAUGAUAUGGCAUUUGUAUAUGACCAAUAAGGGUAUGUAUGCAAAAAUCAAUUCUUGAAUUCUUUCAAACAUAGCCAUUUGUGGUCUCUAUAGUUGGAUUAAUUAAGCCAAUACAAAAGGGCAUAACAUAUAUAUAUAUAUAUAUAUAUAUAUUUGAGAUUUAACAAAAAUUCUUUUUGUGGUAUAGAUAGAAAAUCACUUUCGUGAGCUAAUUUUAUGCAGUUAUUAUAAUAAUAUAUAUAUAUUUUAUUAUAAUAUAAUAUUUAAGUAUUAAUUAAUCUCGUGCUAUGUACAUUGAUAAAAAAAUAGUACAUAAUUUUAAAAUAGGGUAUAAAUAAAUAUUGAAACAGAUGAUAUUAUAUUCAUAUAUUCACAUAAACAUAUAACAAAAACAAUAUUUUAUUUUUGAAGUUACUUAAUAAUCAUACAGAGUAGUUAUUGAAAUUAAUUUAAGUGAAGUUGAUUUCCUAUAUUUUUAGUUGGGUUUUAAAACGUCAAAGCAAACAUAUAAAAAUAUUUUUAAUCAAAUCAGAACAAAUAAUUUAUAAUAGUUAUAAACAUACAAGUAACUUAAUUAAUUUCAAAGAAAAAUAAAUUUGGUCUAUUUAGAAAUUCUCUUUUUCUCUUUUUUUUCUUGGAAAGAAAAUAAUAUGAUAAUUAUUGUUAUUGAAAUUUCAUCUAAAUUAUUCCACCAUUUUGGUCAAAUUUAGAGAAAAUUUCUCACCUAGAGAUUUUUUAAAAAUUUAUCAUUGAAUUCUAAGAAUCUCUUUAGAUAAUUAUCAAAUAUUUUCAAUCCAAAUUUUAUUUGGAAAAAAUACAAUUACUUGUAUUGAAAUUUCAUCUAAAUUAUUUCACAAUUUGGGUCAAAUUUAAAGAAAAUUUCUCACCUAGAGAUUUCUUAGGAAUUUACCAUUUGAAAUUUUUAAGAAUCUCAUCUUUGGGUAAUUUAUAUUUAAUUUCAAAAUUUUUUAUAUUUUUAUGCUUUUUAUGUUUUUAAUUUUUCCUUUUUGGUUUGAAAAUAAAUAUUAAUUAUUGUUAUUGAAAUUUUAUCUAUAUUAUUCCACCAUUUGGGAUAAAUUUAGACAAAAUUUCUCACCUAAGAAUUUUAUAAAAAUUUACCAUUUGAAAUUUUUAUAAAUUCCAUCAUUGGAUAAUUAAUAUUUAUUCUCAAAAAUUUUAUUGUUAUUAUUUUAUUUUGAUAAAUAAAACAAAACAAGUAAAACAAAUAAAAUAAAUAAGAACAUACCAAAAAUCCAAAAACGGCUCGGCUCAGGCUUGGGAUACGGCUUGGUUCAAGACCAAAAAUCACAGCUCAGAUGCGCGACUAGGGAUCUCGGCUCGACUGAAACCCAGGCGGAGAAACGGGUUGCUGGUUCGGGUGCCCUAUGGGUCGGAUCGGAUUUUGACAAAAUGAACGGAUCUUUUGGUUUUACUAAUGUAAAAACGAUGUCGUUUUGGGAGGGUAUAUAAGGCUGAAGAUCGAUUUUUUUUUAGAAUUCCCUUCUCCUCUUCUCUUUUUCCUUUCUUUUCUCUCUAAACAAUUCCAGAUUUUAGUUGAAUUCCUACCGAAAUCUGAAAAAAGUCAUCGAAAACUUCAAAUCUGAUCGAAAAACUCGUCGAAAAAUUCAAACUUCGUCGAAAAAUUUCAUCGAAUUUUAAAAAUUUUCUAAAAUUUUUCAGAAAAAGAACUCCAAAAAUUUGAAAAAAAAAUUCUAAAAAUCCUAUACUGCCUCUGAACACUUUUUGCUUCUGUUUCACCUCUUUGUUUUCUUUUUUCCUCUCUGAUUCCUUUGUGUCUUAUGUGUGAUUUAUGGACCUAUUUAUAGGGAUUGAUCAGAAAAGUUUCUGAUCAAUCCCAACUCCUUCUGGGAUUUGGAUUUAAUCUUUGAAUUCAAUCCCAACUCUGUCAGUUCUCAAAUCACAGCCAAAUUCAUUCCAAUUGUUUUUUUUAUAAUCCUAAUCUUAACCGAAAAUUAAUCAAAAUAAAAAAGAUAUAUAUAUUAAUAGAUAACAAAAAAAAUAGAUAAAUAAAAGAAAUAGAUAAAUAAUAAUAAAAAAAUAAAAGCAGAUAAAUAAUAAAAAUUAAUAGAUAAAAUAAAAAUAAAAAUAUAUAUUAAUAAAUAGACAAAUAAUAAAAAAUAAAAAUAAAAGCUAAUUGGAUCCUGAAUCGGACCCAAUAGGCUUAAGCCCAAACUCUAUUGGACCAGGCCCAAUGGCCUUAGGCCCAGACCAAAUAGGGUGUCUACAGCUGCCCCUCUUUGCACAUUUUCUCUUAAACAGGAAUUGUGCAAAGACGUAGACACCCAUUCAAGACUCAACUUGACAUUUUUUGCCCUUUUUUUUUUAUCAAAGCUCCUUUAAGUAAAGGCUCUACGACUUUGAAAAAAUAAACAAAGCUCUUCUAAAUAGAGGCUCCAUAACCUUGAAAAUAAAUGGCUCCCCUAAUCAGAGGCUCAACGACUUUAAAAAAUAAACGGCUCUUCUAAUCAAAGGUUCAACGACUUUGAAAAAUAAAUAAAUUCUCUAAGCAGAAACACCAUGACUUCAAAAAUAAAUGCUCCUCUAAACAAAGGCACCACAACUUUGAAAUGUAAAUUGCUCCUCUAAAUAGAGGAAACCAUUAUUUUGAAAAAGAAAUUGCUCCUCUAAACAGAGGCACCACAACUUUGAAAAGUAAAUUGCUCAUCUAAAUAGAGAUAACAGAACUUUGGAAAAUAAAUUGCUCCUUAACAAUCAUGUCCAAAGGAGUUAUAGAUCGUGACUGAAGGAAUUUUGUAAUGGGAACUCAAGGAUUCACAAUUUGAGUUCAACAUUCAGAGGUUCAGAUUCACAAGAAUCUUUCAACUUCGUAAGAAUUUACUGAAAUUUGAUUCUCAAAAUUUUAGUUUCAUUCAAAUUUGUAAUAUCUCGAUAUUUGCAUUUGCAACUUGCAAGUCUCGUAUCCAACAUUUAAAGAUCCUUUUUUGAAUUUUGGAGAUUCACAUCCAAAAGUUCAAGGCUUUUCAAAGGUUCUCAUUUGGCAAACUUGGAAUUCAUAUCCAAAAAUCUAAAGCUUUUCAUUUGAAUUUUGGAGAUUCACAUCCAAAAAUUCAAAGCUUCUCAUUUGAGUUCAAAGGCUCACAUGCAAUAAAACUUAGAGUUUCACAUCUAAGUUCAAAGGUUCUCAUUUAAAACAUUAGAAAUUCAUAUCCAAAAAGUUGAAGCUUUGUAUUUUGGAGAUUCACAUCCAAAAGUUCAAAACUUUUCAUUUGUUCGAAGAUUCAUAUUCGAUGAACUUUAGGGUUUCACUCCUCAAAGAUUCUCAUUUUGAAACUCAAAGAUUCUCAUUUGAGUUCUCAAAAAUUCUCAUCAAAAUAUUCACAAUUUCUUUUUCAAGUGACUCAAAAAUUUACAUGAAUGAAUGUUAUGACCAAAAAUAUAAAUGCCUUCUUAAUGAUGCAAAUGCAACAACCUAGAUUCUCAUAGUGCCAUGCAUGUCCAAAAAAGUUUAAUUCAUCAAAUUAUAUGCAUGUACUAUUCAAGCAAUGAUGCCAACAUGAUACAUAUAAUACAGAUAUUAAUAAUGUCAUGAAAUCCUAAAUAAUUGUGGUAAUAUGGCUCUCAAAACUUCAUCAUUUCACAUUUCUUUCUUGUUCAGUUUCUCAAUACUUUGGGAUAAGUUUCAUCAAUUGAUCAUCACUUGACCAUCAUUCAUGGGCUUUUCAGCACUAAUAAAUUUUAGAACAAGUUUAUCCACCAUCACUGGGUCACUACUCAUAGGUGUCUCAACAUUAACCAUUCCGAACAAACUUCAUCGUCCGUCACUAGUUUACACUCAUAGGUUUCUCAACCCUAAUCACUUUAUCCAUUGAUCCAUAUUAUUUUUAUCAUUCAAUCAUAACUCGCAAGUCAUGUCGACCAAGUCAUCACUUGGUCAUAUCACCUCUUCAAGUUUUUGCAUUCUCUUCAUUUGUUGGCUAACCCAUCGUUAUUUUCAUCAUUUGACCACACCACGUGUUAUCUCAAAUCAUCCUUCUCAGGCUUCUACGAUCUCUUUAUUUUUUUUUAUCAUCUUGGAUUUCUUUUCAAAUGAAUGCAAGACUCUUUUAAGCACAUAUUCAUUCAUUCAUUAUCAUUUCAAUUCUUGACAAAUACAAUGCAAUCAAGCAUUUUCUCAAUUCAUUUUAGAGAUGUGAGAACAAAAGAACGGAAGGUGCAUUGAGAGAAUGAGAAGUGAGUCUUGGUACCAAAGCAAAUGGGGAAAGAAAUAAGUUGGAUGUAUGACAUUGGGACAAAUGAAUAUUCAAACAAUUUUGAACAUUAAUUCAAGAUUUUUUUUCAAAAACUCUUUCCAUUGAUUGUCAAAAUCAUUUUGAGCUCAUCAAAUUUUACCCCAGCUUUGGAUGUUCUUUAGAUGCAUUGAUCUUCUAUAUAUUUGAAUUGUUCAUCUAACUUUCAACUUAGAGAUUUGAUCUACCCAAAUUACCCUUUCAAAUUUUUAAUUUGAGUCUUUCUUUUUCUUCCUUUCAUCUUUUUUUCUCUUUUUUUAUUUUCUCUUUUUUUUUUCUUUUUUCACCUUUCACCUUUCACCUUUCACCAUUUUCUUUUCUUUUUUUUCAUCUUUCAUCCAUUGUUGAUAUCUCNNNNNNNNNNNNNNNNNNNNNNNNNNNNNNNNNNNNNNNNNNNNNNNNNNNNNNNNNNNNNNNNNNNNNNNNNNNNNNNNNNNNNNNNNNNNNNNNNNNNNNNNNNNNNNNNNNNNNNNNNNNNNNNNNNNNNNNNNNNNNNNNNNNNNNNNNNNNNNNNNNNNNNNNNNNNNNNNNNNNNNNNNNNNNNNNNNNNNNNNNNNNNNNNNNNNNNNNNNNNNNNNNNNNNNNNNNNNNNNNNNNNNNNNNNNNNNNNNNNNNNNNNNNNNNNNNNNNNNNNNNNNNNNNNNNNNNNNNNNNNNNNNNNNNNNNNNNNNNNNNNNNNNNNNNNNNNNNNNNNNNNNNNNNNNNNNNNNNNNNNNNNNNNNNNNNNNNNNNNNNNNNNNNNNNNNNNNNNNNNNNNNNNNNNNNNNNNNNNNNNNNNNNNNNNNNNNNNNNNNNNNNNNNNNNNNNNNNNNNNNNNNNNNNNNNNNNNNNNNNNNNNNNNNNNNNNNNNNNNNNNNNNNNNNNNNNNNNNNNNNNNNNNNNNNNNNNNNNNNNNNNNNNNNNNNNNNNNNNNNNNNNNNNNNNNNNNNNNNNNNNNNNNNNNNNNNNNNNNNNNNNNNNNNNNNNNNNNNNNNNNNNNNNNNNNNNNNNNNNNNNNNNNNNNNNNNNNNNNNNNNNNNNNNNNNNNNNNNNNNNNNNNNNNNNNNNNNNNNNNNNNNNNNNNNNNNNNNNNNNNNNNNNNNNNNNNNNNNNNNNNNNNNNNNNNNNNNNNNNNNNNNNNNNNNNNNNNNNNNNNNNNNNNNNNNNNNNNNNNNNNNNNNNNNNNNNNNNNNNNNNNNNNNNNNNNNNNNNNNNNNNNNNNNNNNNNNNNNNNNNNNNNNNNNNNNNNNNNNNNNNNNNNNNNNNNNNNNNNNNNNNNNNNNNNNNNNNNNNNNNNNNNNNNNNNNNNNNNNNNNNNNNNNNNNNNNNNNNNNNNNNNNNNNNNNNNNNNNNNNNNNNNNNNNNNNNNNNNNNNAAUUCUUGAAUUCUUCAAACACAGCCUUUUAUGGUCUCUAUAAUUGGAUUAAUUAAGCCAAUACAAAAGGGCAUAACAUAUGAUAAUUUAAUAUGAUAUGGCAUUUGUAUAUGACCAAUGAGGGUAUGUAUGCAAAAAUCAAUUCUUGAAUUCUUUCAAACAUAGCAUUUUGUGGUCUCUAUAGUUGGAUUAAUUAAGCCAAUACAAAAGGGCAUAACAUAUAUAUAUAUAUAAUAUAUAUAUUUGAGAUUUAACAAAAAUUCUUUUUGUGGUAUAGAUAGAAAAUCACUUUCGUGAGCUAAUUUUAUGCAGUUAUUAUAAUAUAAUAAUAUUAUAUUAUAAUAUUAUUUUUAUUAUAAUAUAAUAUUUAAGUAUUAAUUAAUCUCGUGCUAUGUACAUUGAUAAAAAAAUAGUACAUAAUUUUAAAAUAGGGUAUAAAUAAAUAUUGAAACAGAUGAUAUUAUAUUCAUAUAUUCACAUAAACAUAUAACAAAAACAAUAUUUUAUUUUUGAAGUUACUUAAUAAUCAUACAGAGUAGUUAUUGAAAUUAAUUUAAGUGAAGUUGAUUUCCUAUAUUUUUAGUUGGGUUUUAAAACGUCAAAGCAAACAUAUAAAAAUAUUUUUAAUCAAAUCAGAACAAAUAAUUUAUAAUAGUUAUAAACAUACAAGUAACUUAAUUAAUUUCAAAGAAAAAUAAAUUUGGUCUAUUUAGAAAUUCUCUUUUUCUCUUUUUUUUCUUGGAAAGAAAAUAAUAUGAUAAUUAUUUUUAUUGAAAUUUCAUCUAAAUUAUUUCACCAUUUGGGUCAAAUUUAGAGAAAAUUUCUCACCUAGAGAUUUUUUAAAAAUUUAUCAUUUGAAAUUUCUAAGAAUCUCAUCUUUAGAUAAUUAUCAAAUAUUUUCAAUCCAAAUUUUUAUUUGGAAAAAAAUACAAUUACUUGUAUUGAAAUUUCAUCUAAAUUAUUUCACAAUUUGGGUCAAAUUUAAAGAAAAUUUCUCACCUAGAGAUUUCUUAGGAAUUUACCAUUUGAAAUUUUUAAGAAUCUCAUCUUUGGGUAAUUUAUAUUUAAUUUCAAAAUUUUUUAUAUUUUUAUGCUUUUUAUGUUUUUAAUUUUUCCUUUUUGGUUUGAAAAUAAAUAUUAAUUAUUGUUAUUGAAAUUUUAUCUAUAUUAUUCCACCAUUUGGGACAAAUUUAGACAAAAUUUCUCACCUAAGAAUUUUAUAAAAAUUUACCAUUUGAAAUUUUUAUAAAUUCCAUCAUUAGAUAAUUAAUAUUUAUUCCCAAAAAUUUUAUUUUUAUUAUUUUAUUUUAUUUUGAUAAAAUAAAAAAAACAAGUAAAACAAAUAAAUAAAAUAAAAUAAAUAAGAAUAUACCAAAAAUCCAAAAACGGCUCGGCUCAGGCUUGGGAUACGGCUUGGUUCAAGACCAAAAAUCACGACUCAGAUGCGCGGCUAGGGAUCUCGGCUCGACUAGAACCCAGGUGGAGAAACGGGUCACUGGUUCGGGUGCGCUACGGGUCGGAUCGAAUCUUGACAAAAUGAAUAGAUCUUUUGGUUUUACUAACGUAAAAACGAUGUCGUUUUGGGGAAGGUAUAUAAGGCUGAAGAUCGAUUUUUUUUUAGAAUUCCCUUCUUCUCUUCUUUUUCUUCCUUUCUUUUCUCUCAUUUCUCUUUAAACAAUUCCAGAUUUCAAUUGAAUUCCUACCGAAAUAUGAAAAAAGCCAUUAAAAACUUCAAAUCUGAUUGAAAAACUUGUCGAAAAAUUCAAAGUUCGCCAAAAAAUUUCAUCAAAUUUCAAAAAUUUUCUAAAACUUUUUCAGAAAAAGAACUCCAAAAAUUUGAAAAAAAAACUUCUAAAAAUCCUAUACUGCCUCUGAACACUUUUGCUUCUGUUUCACCUCUCUAUUUUCUUUGUUUCCUCUCUGAUUCCCCUGUGUCUUAUGUGUGAUUUAUGGACCUAUUUAUAGGGAUUGAUCAGAAGAGUUUCUGAUCAAUCCCAACUCCUUCUGGGAUUUGGAUUUAAUCUUUGAAUUCAAUUUCAACUCUGCCAAUUCUCAAAUCACAGCCAAAUUCAUUCCAAUUGUUUUUUUUAUAAUCCUAAUCUUAACCGAAAAUUAAUCAAAAUAAAAAAGAUAUAUAUAUUAAUAGAUAACAAAAAAAAAUAGAUAAAUAAAAGAAAUAGAUAAAUAAUAAUAAAUAAUAAAAGCAGAUAAAUAAUAAAAAAUUAAUAGAUAAAAUAAACAUAAAAAUAUAUAUUAACAAAUAGACAAAUAAUAAAAAAUUAAAAUAAAAAUAAAAGCUAAUUGGGCCAACUAAUUGGAUCCUGAAUCGGACCCAAUAGGCUUAAGCCCAAACCCGAUUGGACCAAGCCCAAUGGCCUUAGGCCCGGACCAAAUAGAGUGUCUACAGCUGCCCCUCUUUGCACAUUUUCUCUGAAAUAGGAAUUGUGCAAAGACGUAGACACCCAUUCAAGACUUAACUUGACAUUUUUUGCACUUUUUUUUUAUCAAAGCUCCUCUAAGUAAAAGCUCUACAACUUUGAAAAAAUAAACAAAGCUCCUCUAAAUAGAGGCUCCAUAACCUUGAAAAUAAAUGGCUCCCCUAAUCAGAGGCUCAACGACUUUGAAAAAUAAAUGGCUCUUAUAAUCAAAGGUUCAACGACUUUGGAAAAUAAAUAAAUUCUUUAAGCAGAAGCACCAUGACUUCAAAAAUAAAUGCUCUUCUAAACAGAGGCACUACAACUUUGAAACGUAAAUUGCUCCUCUAAAUAGAGGCAACCAUGAUUUUGAAAAAUAAAUUGCUCCUCUAAACAGAGGCACCACAACUUUGAAAAGUAAAUUGCUCCUCUAAAUAGAGGCAACAGAACUUUGAAAAAUAAAUUGCUCCUUAACAAUCAUGUCUAAAUGAGUUAUAGAUCGUGACUGAAGGAAUUUUGUAAUGGAAACUCAAGGAUUCACAAUUUGAGUUCAACAUUCAGAGGUUCAGAUUCGCAAGAAUCUUUCAACUUCGUAAGAAUUUACUGAAAUUUAAUUCUCAAAAUUUUAGUUUCAUUCAAAUUUGUAAUAUCUCGAUAUUUGCAUUUGCAACUUGCAAGUCUCGCAUCCAACAUUUAAAGAUCUUUUUUUGAAUUUUGGAGAUUCACAUCCAAAAGUUCAAAGUUUUUCGAAGGUUCUCAUUUGGCAAACUUGGAAUUCAUAUCAAAAAAUCUAAAGCUUUUCAUUUGAAUUUUGGAGAUUCACAUCCAAAAAUUCAAAGCUUCUCAUUUGAGUUCAAAGGCUCACAUGCAAUAAAACUUAGAGUUUCACAUCUAAGUUCAAAGGUUCUCAUUUAAAACAUUAGAAAUUCAUAUCCAAAAAGUUGAAGCUUUGUAUUUUGGAAAUUCACGUCCAAAAGUUCAAAACUUUUCAUUUGUUCGAAGAUUCACAUUCGAUGAACUUUAGGGUUUCACUCCUCAAAGAUUCUCAUUUUAAAACUCAAAGAUUCUCAUUUGAGUUCUCAAAAAUUCUCAUCAAAAUAUUCACAAUUUGUUUUUCAAGUGACUCAAAAAUUUGCAUGAAUGAAUGUUAUGACCAAAAAUAUAAAUACCUUCUUAAUGAUGCAAAUGCAACAACCUAAAUUCUCAUAGUGCCAUGCAUGUCCAAAAAAAGUUUAAUUCAUCAAAUUAUGUGCAUGUACUAUUCAAGCAAUGAUGCCAACAUGAUACAUAUAAUACAGAUAUUAACAAUGUCAUGAAAUCCUAAAUAAUUGUGGUAAUAUGGCUCUCAAAACUCCACCAUUUCACAUUUCUUCCUUGUUCAAUUUCUCAAUACUUUGGGACAAGUUUCAUCAAUUGAUCACCACUUGACCAUCAUUCAUGGGCUUUUCAGCACUAAUAAAUUUUAGAAUAAGUUUUAUCCACCAUCACUGGGUCACUACUCAUAGGUGUCUCAACAUUAACCAUUCCGAUCAAACUUCAUCGUCCGUCACUAGUUUACACUCAUAGGUUUCUCAACCCUAAUCACUUUAUCCAUUGAUCCAUAUUAUUUUCAUCAUUCAAUCAUAACUCGCAAGUCAUGUCGACCAAGUCAUCACUUGGUCAUAUCACCUCUUCAAGUUUUUGCAUUCUCUUCAUUUGUUGGCUAACCCAUCGCUAUUUUCAUCAUUUGACCACACCACGUGUUAUCUCAAAUCAUCCUUUUCAGGCUUCUACGAUCUCUUCAUUUUUCUUUAUCAUCUUGGAUUUCUUUUCAAAUGAAUGCAAGACUCUUUUAAGCACAUAUUCAUUCAUUCAUUAUCAUUUCAAUUCUUGACAAAUACAAUGCAAUCAAGCAUUUUCUCAAUUCAUUUUAGAGAUGUGAGAACAAAAGAACGAAAUGUGCAUUGAGAGAAUGAGAAGUGAGUUUUGGUACCAAAGCAAAUGGGGAAAAAAAUAAGUUGGAUGUAUGACAUUGGGACAAAUGAAUAUUCAAACAAUUUCGAACAUUAAUUCAAGAUUUUUUUUCAAAAACUCAUUCCAUUGAUUAUUAAAAUCAUUUUGAGCUCAUCAAAUUUUACCCCAGCUUUAGAGGAUCUUUAGAUGCAUUGAUAUUCUAUAUAUUUGAACUGUUCAUUUAACUUUCAACUUAGAGAUUUGAUUUACCCAAAUUACCCUUUCAAAUUUUUAAUUUGAGUCUUUCUUUUUCCUCCUUUCAUCUUUUUUUUCUUUUUUUUUUUUUCCCUUUUUUUCCUUUUCUUUUUUUUCACCUUUCACCUUUCACCUUUCACCUUUCACCAUUUUUUUUUCUUUUUUCAUCUUUCAUCCAUUGUUGCUAUCUCUCACACAUUAAUCUUUAAGGCAAUAACAUGAUCCCUAUCAUGAGCACACUUUUGCCCAACAUAUGAUUAUUCAAUUCGAGCAUUCACACUUGAUCCAAAUAGAUUUUUCAAGGUUGUAAUAUAUGCCAUGGUAUGGGGUAAUAAAAGAAAUGGAUAAAAUAGGCUCAAUAUAUAUGUUUAAAAGGUCCAAAACCAAAUGAUCAUCACUUGAUGCAGCUUGGCAUUUUGCCCCACUCUAUAUUAUUUCACUACUUUUCCUUUUUUCUAUCUCAUUCUUCAUAAAAGAUUCUCAUUUCUUUGCCCCAAAUCAUUUGUGGCAUUUUUUUUGUUUUUUUUAAUCUUUUAGACUAUUUUCUUUUUUUAAAAAAUUACCCUCUAGUAUGGAGGGUGAUCCUUGGUCAAGGUUUUUAGAAAAAAAAAUCACAAUAGGCUCAAAGGGGUAGCAAUGAAUGGUUUUUCAAAUGUUAAAAGAAAGAUGGUCAUUUUUCAUCUCAAUAUGGAUACUUUUCUUGAACCUCAUCUAUUGAGCAAAAAUAAGCUCAUGGAUUUGUAAAAAAAAGAAAAAACUACUUAUCUUUAACAUAUAUGAAUCUCACAUCUGUUAGUAGCUGACUUUUUGUUACUCCAAUAAUCUCUUUAAAUCAAUGUGAAUGAGUUUUCAAAAUUAAAUUUCAAAAUUAUUGCUGCCAUUGUCUAAACAUUCAUCGUUCGAAAUUCAAGAAUGGGAACAAAAGUUAUGAAAGGUGACAAAGCAUGGAACAAUAGUUAAAUGAAAGAGAAAAUGUAAUGAAAUACAUUAAAUUACCUUUUAUUGAAAUGAUAACAAAUGAAAUCCUACUGCCUAAAAGAAACCUAACAUUACUUUAAAAAAAUCCUAAAAUGACAAGAAACUUUCAAUUAGCCUUAUCUCCAUUCUCCAAAAUUGUCCCCCUAUGCGAUCAAGUGAAGAAUCUUUAUUGACAUCUUACCCCUCAAUUCAUUGUGACUUUUCGGAUCUUUUCUGACCAAUGUGUUCUUGAUUUUCACUCAGAGCAUUAUGAUUUGGUAAUGGGUUGCCACUGACAUUAGGUGUUAUUGCUCUUCCUUGAUCAAAACUUACCAUUCAAUUAUUGAUUAACUAUUGCACUUUAUGCUUUAAAGCAGUGCAAUUUUUAGUAAAAUGGCCAGCAAUUCCAUAAUGGUAGUCGCAGUGGGAUGUAGGAUCAUACCACUUAGGAUAUGGUGGCUUGAGCGGCUUCACACGACUCGGGGCAAUCAAGUGGCUAUUAUAGAGUUCUCGAUAUAACUUCAUAUAAGUCAUGAGGAUUGGAUCAAAUACAGGUUUUUCUCGAAUAAUUCGUUACUCUCAUGAACCACUUACUAGGUUAGUAGGGUAAAUUUGAGGUCUUGCAGGAGUUUGAAUGUUAAAGCUAUAUGUAAGAUCUUGAGGGCUAAAAAUUGAUAUGUAUGUGGAUGAAUAAGGUGGUUGUGAAGCUAGCUGGUAUGGGUAGGAUGAGGCAUUAUUCACAGCAAUAUAGUAUGGAGAGUAACCUUGAGGUGGAUAGGGUUGAUAACCACUGAAUUAUUGCCUAUCAAAGCUCAUAGCUUGAGCUUCAAUUUUUUUUUUCUGAUACCUUCUUGGUUUCUCCUUUUUUCAACUUGCCAUUCUUGAUGGCACUUUCAAUAAUUUCUUCAGAGAUUACCAUGUCGAUGAAAUUUUUUGUUGUAUUCCUUAUCAUCUUUUCAUAAUAGGAAUAUUUCAAAGUGCUAACAAACAACACUGUAAUUUUUUUCUCAGUCAGAGGAGGUUGUACUUGAGAAACAAUAUCCCUCCACCUCUAGGCAUACUCCUUAAAAGUCUCAUUGGCCUUUUUCUCCAGGUUUUGUAAAAAUAAAUGAUCAGGGGCCAAAUCCAUGAUAUGUCAAUAUUAACUGAUAAAAUCAUGGGCCAUGUCACUCUAGGAACGGAUGCGAGUUCUGUCUAACUAGAUAUAUCACCUAACAACAAAACCAGUAAGACUAUCUUGAAAAACAUGCAUUAGUAGUUUUCAUCAUAAGCAUGGGCUAUCAUCUUUCGAUAAUACAUGGUAAUAUGAAUUUUUGGGCACUUUGUGCCAUCAUAUUUUUCAAAUUCUGAUACUUUAAACUUAGGAGGAAUGACUACAUCAGGGACUAAGCAAAGUCCAGCAGCAUCAACUGAACCAUAGAAACCAAUUCUUUCUACAGCUCGUAGCCUUUGUUCUAGCAUACUAAUUUUAAAGUUUUCCUGAUCUUUCACUUUUAUCUUUUCCUUAUUUUUUCCUUUCAGUUCAUCCAGAUUAGGGAUUUUAAUUGGUUCAACUACCUUUUCAGCAAAUACAAGAUUCACAUAGCUAUGGUAAUGCCCUGGAUUAGAGGCUGAUAGCAUUCCAAGAUAUGUAAGAUAUGUGAAGUAUUAUGGUGGAACUUUUUGUAUAGACUAGGCUUGAGGUAGACCAAAAUCAGGUGGAUAUAAGGGGUCAGUCACUUUUUACGAUGCAGUGCCUUAUUGGCUUGUGUUCUCUUUUACUUUUUUUCCCUUAUUUAAUUUGUUGAGAGCAUCCAAAAUUUUACUUAACUCAUUCUCAAUCUUUUCCUGAGCUUUUUCCAAUUUUUCAAAUCGAUGAAAACUUUUUUGCUCCAUUUGUCUGGCCUUGGCUCUUGUAUUAUAUCGGUAAAUGAGAUUUUUGCUGCAUGGAGCUAUCAUUGAACCUUUAGCAUCACAAUUACAAUUAGAAACUAUGUAUGAUAUGAAAAUGUAUGCAUGAAAUGUACUAAUAUUUGCCACAUCAUCGAUAUUGAUAAAAGAAAUCUCCAUUUGAAACUUUAAUAAAUACAAUUUUAAAAUUACAUCCUAAUAAAGUCAAAGCAAUAUUCUAAAGUCCUAAACAUCAUUCUUUAUUUCUUAUGCCUCCUUAUAAACUUCCUAGCUUGUUGGUAAUGAUUUUGUGCCUCAUCUUGGAAAUCAAGUAAAUGUCACCCAUGCACUCCUACUGGUUGCACCAUAGCCUUCACACUUUCUAUUUUUUCUUUCAUUUUUGAUGCUUUGUCUGCAACAAUGCAUAUCUGAUCAAACAAAUGCCUUAGAUGCCUUUGUUUCUCUAUACAUAUGUCUUUUCAUAACUUACUCUGUUGAGCUUGUUUCUUGCAUUCAUCAGACAAAGCUUGUACUUGUACUGUGCAUCGAUCCACUGUCUCUUGUAGCAUUCGGCUAUGUCUAUGUGCCAUAGCAGUAGCCUUUUGUUCUUUUUCCUCCCUCGCUUUUAACAAUUCAUUUUCUUUAAAAGUAGAGCAAGCUCAGGUGUGACUGACGAAUGUGUCAUAUCUAAAUUAUUAAAUAAAGCUCUCCAUUGAUCUUUUUGCUCUGUAAGCCUCUGGAUUUUCAAUUUUUAAAGUCAUGAACACUCUCUCAUUUUUAUCUUCAAUCGCUUGUUUUCUUGUUCUAACUCAUCUUUCUCAGACUGGAGUUUUCUCUUAACUGUUUCCAUUUUAAGCAAAAGAUCUUGAAGAAUAGGUUUUGGGGAAUGCCCUAACUGUUCACUAGGAAUCAUAAUGUCUUUUCCCCUCCUCGCAUGCCAUACACUAUAUUCUGGAGUGACGUCAUAAGUAAACCUCCCUUGGUUAACCCUGGUGGUUUGCUUCCAUGCUUUCUUGAUCUUUUCAACCAUUCCAUAUGCCCCUUUAUCAGUGAAUGAGAACUCCCCUUGGUUAAGUCCAUAGGUUUCUAGAAUGAAUUGCUCACACCCGGAUUAUUUUUUCACUAAAGCUGGAGCGUAAGUAACAGCACCCCAUAGGCCUAAUAAAAACACCUAUGGUUGAUUUCCACAAUUGUAUAACAUUGUAUCAUGACGCAUCCAAGGUGCUCUCCAAACUAUCCCUUGACUAUCAAAGGCUCAAAAAUAGAAAACCCAUUCCUCUUUUGACUUUGCUUGAGGCUAUGUGCUGUAACAAAAUUCUUUGAUGAAGAUACUGAAAUGAAUGUGUGGCUUGUGAAAUUGACUUUCUUUACAUUCCAUUGACUCUUGAUCCAUACAUAAAGCAACUGUAAACAUCCAUUAAAUCGACCUUUAUCAUUUUUGUGACAAAAAUUUAGAGAUCGAAUGAUUUUUGCCAAAAUGGUUGGUGCUGCAUUGACCUGAUAUGCUAAUUGAUCAACAAAAUCCACCACUACAACAUCAACAUAUCCGAUGACUUUCGAAAAAACCACUAAUCCAUAUAAAGUUAUAGCUAUAGCUACUAAUCCCUGAUCACCAUCUAUGUACCCCUGGAUGAAAUCUCACAAAAAAUUCCAUAGAAUAGCUUUACUUUCACCCUUUAUCUUGACACAUGAAUCUACUUGUGGUAAACUAAGUCCAAGCAUUUGCACUAGUUUUUUACGAUAGCCCACCUUGUUGGCCCAAUAAAUCUUGUCUGGGUUUGCUAGAUCGAAGUGAAGUAGGAUCAUAUACUCUUCGAUUGUGGGCACCAUGUAUGCUUCAUUGAAAACAAAACAUCUAUAUGAAGGAUCCCAAAACUAAAUGAUAGCUCUAAUCAAAUUAUUAUCCACUUGCACCUGUAGCAGUGAAGCUAUGUCUCCAUAUCUAUUCUCAAAUUCCUUCUGUCUUAUUCUAUUCAUGCAUUUUCAUAUUUGCUUAAGUCGGAUAGAUCAUUUUGUUGUAGCUCUAGAUGAACUCUUUCGGGUAAUGAUGAAAUAAAAUCCUUAGGCAAGCAAUCUCCUUAUUUUUUUUGACCCUCUUCUGACUUAAUUUUCAAUUGAUGAGCAGACUCAUAGUGGACUAAUGUAGACUUUAAUUGCAUUUAGCUUUUCACGGAUGUAAAUGUGAGAUCUGAUUUAUCAAUAACUGAUAUGCGGCAAAUAUUUUUUAUAUGAAAAUGAUGUAAACAAUAGUGUUAAAUAUGAUCAUGAUGUGAUAAUGCUAAAACAUGAUAAUAGAGAUGGUGCAUAGAAUGAAAUGCUAGAACAUGAGAAUGAAAUGACAUAUAGAUGCACAAAAUCAAGUAGACAAAAUGGUUAGAAAACAAAUUGUUCCUUCUUGUGUCUUAAUUUUGGGUUGUAUCUAUUGAUGGAUAGGAAGGGCUUAAGUUGAUUUCUUAGGGGUGAACUAUAUGCAGGGUUAGAAAAUUUUGACCACUAAAAGGUUCUCAAAUUGUUCCCUACAUUAUUGUCCAUCACAGACUAGUAAGGCAGUCUAAUUCUCACCUAUCAUAGGCUACCAAUGAAAAGGAUUCAAUUUGAGUGGUUGUAUUUCGUUAGCCAUUACGGAGAUUAUCAUCUCACGAGAGCGUAGGUAUUUUACUUUCUCCUAAGAGAGGCUGAGCGUGGGUAUAGAGCUCAUGUAAUGCAAAUGCAUGUGAUAGUGUGUGUGAAGGAACAUAAAAUUAUCAAUCCCAUAAAUUAAAUAAGAAACCAAAAAAAGAAAAAUGUUAGUAAACAAAUAACUUAAAGCCAUUAGUUCAAAUGAUAGGAUAAAUUCAGAAAUUAUGGCUUAAGUCUCUAAUUUUUCCAGUGGAGUCGUCAAACUGUCAUAACAUAUAGAUCCGAAAAUCUAUAGCUAGAUUUAACAAAUGAAUAGAGUCGCCAUCAAUCUUUUUUUAUCUAGGUGUGAUUGGUUACCUAAAGAAUCUAUCCUUUUAAAGAACUUUUAAGCUUGACUAAGGGUCCCUAAAAGAAUAAGUUCAGGUUUACGAACCAGAACAGGGUACGGGAGUUCGGUUACAUGUGAGGAAGGUUAUAGCAUCCCCACAUGCCCAUCCAAAGGAUGGUACCAUAUUAUUUUGAAUUUAUCCUCAAGUUUUGAAUCUAAUGGCUUCAAAUUUUAUGUUAAAUAUUGAAAACAAUUUUUAAGAUUCUCCAUCAAUCUGGUAGUACUCUCAAAAAAAAUUUUCUCACCUCAAGAGUAUUCAAGAAUCCCAUUUGAUUUCUUGAAGAAACUCCGUCGUUGAAAAAAGAUUUAUUUAUUAUUUUUUAUUAUUACCAUUUUUGUUGAAAAUAAAUCUAAUUAUUCCACCAUUUGGGCCAAAUUAAAAAUAUUCUUUUUUAAAUUUCUAAAAUUUUCACCAUUUUGGUCUAUUUAGAAAUUUCCUUUUUUUUCCUUUUUUUCUUGGAAAGAAAAUAAUAUGACAAUUAUUUUUAUUGAAAUUUCAUCUAAAUUAUUCCACCAUUUGGAUCAAAUUUAGAGAAAAUUUCUCACCUAGAGAUUUCUUAAAAAUUUAUCAUUUGAAAUUUCUAAGAAUAUCAUCUUUAGAUAAUUAUCAAAUAUUUUCAAUCCAAAUUUUUAUUUGGAAAAGAAUACAAUUACUUGUAUUGAAAUUUCAUCUAAAUUAUUCCACCAUUUAGACCAAAUUUAGAGGAAAUUUUUCACUUAGAGAUUUCAUAAGAAUUUACUAUUUGAAAUUUCUAAGAAUCUCAUCUUUGGGUAAUUUGUAUUUAAUUUCAAAAAUUUUUAUAUUUUUAUACUUUUUAUGUUUUUAAUUUUUUCUUUUUGGUUUGAAAAUAAAUAUUAAUUAUUGUUAUUGAAAUUUUAUCUAUAUUAUUCUACCAUUUGGAACAAAUUUAGACAAAAUUUCUCACCUAAAAAUUUUAUGAAAACUUAUCAUUUGAAAUUUUUAUAAAUUUUAUCAUUGGAUAAUUAAUAUUUAUUCCCAAAAUUUUUAUUUUUAUUAUUUUAUUUUAUUUUGAUAAAAUAAAAAAAAAGUAAAACAAAUAAAUAAAAUAAAAUAAAUAAGAAAAUACCAAAAAUCUGAAAAUGGUUCGGCUCAGGCUUGGAAUACGGCUCGGCUCAAGACCAAAAAUCACGGCUCAGAUGUGUGGCUUAAGAUCUCGGCUCAGUUGGAACCCAGGUGGAGAAACGGGUCGCUGGUUCGGGUGCGCUACGGGUCGGGUCGGAUCUUGGCAAAACGCGCGGAUCCUGUGGGUUUACUAACGCAAAAACGACGUCGUUUUAGGGAGGGUAUAUAAGGCUGAAGAUCGAUUUUUUUCAAAAUUCCCUUCUCCUUUUCUCUUUCUUCCCUUAUUUUCUCUCCAUUCUCUCUAAACAAUUCCAGAUUCUGGUUGAAUUCCUAUCGGAAUCAGAAAAAAGCCGCCCGAAACUUCAAAUCUGGCUGGAAAACUCGUCGAAAAAUUCAAACAUCGUCGAAAAAUUUCGUCGGAUAUCCAGAAAUUUUCCAGAAAAAGAACUCCAAAAAUUCAAAAAAAAAACUUCUAAAAAUCCUAUACUGCCUCUGAACACUUUUUGCUUCCAUUUCACCUCUGUUUUCUUUUUUUCCUCUCUAAUUCUCUUGUGUCUUAUGUGUGAUUUAUGAACCUAUUUAUAAGGAUUGAUCAGAAGAGUUUCUGAUCAAUCUCAACUCCUUCUAGGAUUUAGAUUCAAUCUUUGAAUCCAAUCCUAACUCUGUCAAUUCUCAAAUCACAGCCAGAUUCAUUCCAAUUUUUUUUUUAUAAUCCUAAUCUUAACCGAAAAUUAAUCAAAAUAAAAAAGAUAAAUAUAUUAAUAGAUAACAAAAAAAUAUAGAUAAAUAAAAGAAAUAGAUAAAUAAUAAUAAUAAUAAAUAAAAACAGAUAAAUAAUAAAAAUAUUAAUAAAUAAAAUAAAAAUAAAUAUAUAUUAAUAAAUAGACAAAUAAUAAAAAAAUAAAAAUAAAAGUCAAUUGGCCAACUAAUUGGAUCAUGAAUCGGAUCCAAUAGACUUAAACCCAAACCCUAUUGGAUCAGGCCCAAUGACCUUAGGCCCGAACCAAAUAGGAUAUCUACAACUAGUUAUUUAGAUUUGGUUAAAUCAUGUAUGUAUGAUGAUCUUGCAAAUUUCAUGCGGUUGGUGGAGAAUGGCGGAUGUAACAUUGAUGAGGAUAUCACAUGUUUGUGUUAUCCAAUUGGGUAUAAUGACAAGGGCAGGGUUUUGAUGAGGACACCUUUAAUGAUUGCUGCAAUAUGUAGAAGUUCAAAAGUGGUGGAAUUUAUACUUCAGUCUGGUGUCGUCAAUGUUGAUAAACCUUCUCCUUCCGAUGGAGCGACUGCACUUGACUGUGCUUGUGAUGCUAUGUCUUCUCCUGAUGAAAUUAUUAUGAAGCUGCUUAGCGCUCCUUGGUGGAACCGAACAAACAACUUGGAUCAAAAUAGCAGGAAUUUUGAUUUAGGGGGUCCAUCCGAGCGUGGUUCUAUGAAGACAUUUAAUCCUGCACUACUCAUGAUCAUGAACUAUUAUGGGCAUGCUUAUGGAAUCCCUGUGGAUGAAGGCCCAUCUAGUUCCAACCAGCAACUACAGGGAAGGCAAGAGUCGAAUAUGCUGACAUCCUCUCAUGCAACCAUCAAUAAUUAUGGUGGAGUUGCUACUGGUGAAGGCCUAUCGAGUUCCAACCAUCAUGUCUAUCUAAAUCUAAAUGUGUCAGAGCAUGCAAGGCAAGGGCAGAAUGUGAUGAUCAAUUCAUAUACUGGUGGUCCUGGAAUCGUGAAUAAUUAUGAGCAUACAGAUCAGGGAAAGACUGCUGCUGUUGAUGAUUGGCCAUCUUUGAUGGAGGAUGUUCUUGCAAAGGUAAGAAAGUCGUUGAAUCCAGCUCAUAGUGACUCUAAAAGUGGACCUUACUAGCCACUUUGAUCUAGGUUGGAGAAGUCGAGCAUAGUAAGAACCGACGUUUCUUAAGUGAUCUUCCACUAUUUCAAUCCUUAAUAGCUACUCGACAAAUCUUCUUGAUUUCUUCAUUCUACAUUUAUAGUCCUUUAAGUCAGUUUUUUUUUUUUUUUUUUUUUUCUGUGAUGCUCUUUUAAGGGCAUUUGUUCUUGAAGCCCUGCAAAUAAAGAGCAAAAUUCUAAGAUCAAAUUGUGUAAAACCAACAAUCAUUACAGCGCUUGAAAAUGACAGUAGUAAAUUCAUGUGACCUUCUAUUCAUAACGGGUGAUUUUUUAUAUUUUUCUUCAAUAUUCCUCAGUGACAUUAUUGAAUCAGUCAAAAAAGGAAGCCACUGCGGAAAAGGAACUUUGCGAAUCGGGAGGAGAUGGUUUAAUAUUCCUCAGUGGUCCGUUACCUUUAGCGGAGCAUUGCGCUUGAAGUGAUAGCUGCUCCUUGGGCCUGACAUUAGAGAUUUAUUUUAUAAUGCAUAACACAAAUCAAUUAUGAAAAUAGCAGAAUCCAACACUAGACAGCUUCUACUACGAGUCUACUCAGAUCUUCAAAUUAACAUCCCAGAAAUUUAGAAUGCGAUGCAUUUUAUAUUGGAUAAAAAAAUUUAAUUAUUGAUGAGUAAAAUUAAUUUUUGUAUUAAUUUUAUUUAUAUUUUAAAUAAUUAUGUUUGAAUAAAAAUAAUUAUCAUAUCACAAAUGGUGAUAAUUAUUUAAAUAUAAAUAAAUUAUAAUUAUAUAGAAGGUUAUAACCAUUUAUAUAAAAAUUUAUAUUUGUUCAUUCAUUAUAAAUAAAUUUUUCAGUAUAACCAUUUUCACUAUUUAUAAUUGGAGCGUUUGAGGUUUUAUUAUAUCUUAAAGGCAUAAUUAACUUUAAGAAAGUGUUUUUCAUGCUUCAAAGCCAAAUUUUUUUUAUUAUUUCUCUUCUCUUAUUUAUUUUUUCUAACAAUUUAAAAAGCAAUUAUGAGAAAUUUAUAUUUCGCAUGAGGAAGAUACAAGAAAAAAGAAAUUAGCAUGAUUUGGAGAUCAAUAUUAGAGGAAGCUCAAGAUAUCAAAGGAUUAAUGUUUCCAUUAACCAAAAUGUUAAUUUUCAUAAAAUUCUUUAUUAAAGCUAUGUAUUUUAUUAUUUAUAUAAUUGCUGGUAAAAAAAUUGACUAAAUGAAAUAAACACGUUGAUAAGUAAUUUCAUUAGUGUGUAAAAUUAAAACACAAUAUGUAAAAUAUUAAUUACAUUGUAUAAAUUUAUUUAUAUAUAGAAAUUGGUUCCAUAAUUAGGUUUAAUAAAUUGUAGUAUAUUUAUUUGAAAAAUCAAUGCUUAUAAAGAUUGGAAUAGGAAAUAGCCUAAAACAUAAAAGAGAAAUAUAUGAAUUGAUAUACGACCAAAAGAAUUAUCACUUAUUAUCAAGUAACAAAUUAAAUUGGAUUCUAAUGCAAUGACUGAUUAUUUAAUUGUUAUGUCUUAUUUAUAUAUAGAAUAAGAAAAUUGGCCCAUGGUUUCUAUGAAAACAAUUAGAAAUUAAUAAAGGAAUUUAUCAUGAAAAAUUAAAUGUAAGUAAAAAUAUAUGCAGAAAAUAAGAUUUGAGUGCAAGAUUAGUUUUAGUGUUAAAUCAUGACACUAAAAUUGAGAUAAUAAGUUGAGUCAAGCUAUUUGUGUGGUUUCAUCUUGGUUGGUCGUUUAUAAAUCCAAAGUUGAUUUUUUUUUAAUUUAUUGUUAGUUCAAAUUUUUACUAGUGUUCAAUUUUCAUGAAAAUCAAUUAAAAUUAAAUUGAUGUAUGUGAAUAAUUAUUAUUAAGAUAUGGUGUUUCAUGAAUUAAUUAGUGGAUAAUAAACCAAAUAAUUAUUAUUAUCAGAAACAUGGGUAAUGUGACAUGUAUUUUGCUUGCUAAGUGUAUUAUACUAUGAGUGAUUUUACAAAAUAAAAUUUUAUUGUGAAUAAUCACAAAAUAAAAAUAUAAAUAGCCAUUAAAGAGUUAAUCAAUAGUUACACAAAAACAUUAUUACUUUUCGCAUAUAGGAUACUAAUUAAAAAUAAAAAAGGCAUGUCAUUAAAACUAUUGAAGCAUUUGUUAAUUACUAGCAUUUUGAAAUAUGCUUAUCAAUGUCUAAUUAAUCAUAUUUACAAAUUAGAAAAGAUCAUGCAAAUUCAAUGUUCCAAAGGCACCAAUGCAUACAUGUGUUUAAUUCCAUUUUGUGAUGGCAUGGAGAACAUUGAUACAAUUUACCAUUUAUUACAAACAUGAAUUGAAUGGAAUGGAAUUUUCUUUCUUAUACAUAUAAGAAAAAUAUGGACUAUGAAGAUAGAAUGUCACCAUCAAAUUAAAACAUUAUUGGUUAAAGAUAAUGAAGAUAUUUUUGCUUCUUGUACCCGAAAAAACGGCCUUUUGUAGGCUACUAAAAGAAAAAGUGCACAAGUUUAUGAGGUUUUCAAUAGUUUCAUGACAAUGGCAAAGAAGUGGUUGUUAUACACCAUAUUAACAUAUGGGCUUAGAUAAUAAUAUUGGUUUGUGAAAGCCAUAAAUCUUAGAGUUAGCCAAUUAAUGAUUUAACCAAUGUAAAUUCAUUACGAGGUUUUACUUGAAAUAUGAAUAGAAUUCAUAUUAUAAUUAUUGUUUAUGCUAUUUUAUGAAAAUAAUUUUUUUGAUUCAUGUUUCAUGACUUGCAUUGAUAUGGUGAUUUAGAUAUUAAUAUAUUGAUCCCAAAAUGAUUGUGAAAGUAUUUGAAAUUAGAGUUAAAUAUACCAUUAACUCUUAUUAUAUUUAGACAUAUUGGUCAUAUGAGUAAAAUUUGAAUUUAUUAUAUAUUCGAAAAUGUUAUGACCAGUUAAAAGUGGCAAAUAACAUAAAUAUAUAUGUUGUACAAUGGUAGAAAAAUCAAGUUCUCAUAAAAUUUUGAAAUGAAGUUUAGAGGUUUCAAUAAUCAUGAACUUAGAAUUGGCCAUUGUGCAAUUAGUAAAUAUAUUAGAAACUCAUGAUAAUAUUUGAGAUGGUUGAUUUUCACUAAAAGCUAUCACUAUAAGUAAAAUAAUUUCAAUAGUCAAAUCUAUAUGAUUUAUAGUUAUGAUGUGGAUUAUUAUGAUUGGCUUAGAAUAGUCAUAAGCCAAAAUUGAUGCCACAAUCUUGAUCACAUUGUGGUAAUUUUUUGUUAUGUAUAUGGUCUAAUUCAUGGAUUGUACAAAUGAUUUAUCAUCUACAGUUUUAUUAAAAGUUUUGAAAUAUAGUGAAAAUUUUAAAGUAUAUUUACUUUGGAAACCAUGAUUAAUUCAAAGAUCUUGUGAAUAUGAAAACUUUUAUAAUAGUAAAAGGAAUGUUAUUUGAUCCAUUCAGGUGAUGGAAAUGGUUUUGUUCAUGGUAAAACAAUUAUUAAUAGUGUCAAUGAUGAAAUAGAUUUAUAUAAGUAUUUAUGGAUUGACUUAAAAAGUGCUAAAAGGAGACUAUAGAAGCAUAAUUAUAUUUGAAAUCUGCUUAUUACUUUAAACUCUUAUAUUGAGUUAAAAUAUAAAAGUUUUGAAACUUUUAUGAAAAAGAAAUAUUAAGAUAUAUAAUAUUUGCUAAUUAUUUUUCACUAAGGGUGAAUUUGAAGGCCUUCUACUUAAAAAAAAAAAACAUAAAAUAUUGAAAAGAUAAAUGAAAUGGCAACUCAAUUAAAUGAAAUAGCAACUUGAUUAAGUAUAUAAGAUAUCUUGAUAAUUGAAUGAGAUAUUUUUUAAUAAAAAAAAUGCAUACUUGCAUGGUGAGGGUGAUAAGAAUCAAAAGAAAUAAAAAUUACCACUAUAGUUUUAUUACAAGUUUAGACACUUAAUAAAAUAAAAUCAUAAAAAGGUUCUUAAAAAUCUUUAAAAAACUAAAAUGGUUUGGUUUACUCAUUGAGUUUAUCCAAUUGUAUUAAAAGUAUAAUUGUAUUAAAGAUGUAUAAAGUAUGAAAAUAUAAUGGUUGAAAUUUAUGAGUAUAGAGUUGUGGCCACAACCAAAACCAAUUAUUUCUUAAAAUGGUAAGAAUAAUGCAAUAAUGUCUUGAACAUAUAAAUGAUAUGUAAAAUAAAAAAUUUAAAUAUAUUAGCCUAAAGUGAUUAUAUUAGAGAAUUAAUCUCAAGUGAGGAUAAUUACCGUAAAAGAAAUUAAAUUUGAAGAUUUUUGGUUAGUAGUAUUACAAACAGAAUAGAUUUAAACCCUUACUAUUAGACCAAUAAUGAGAACCUAACUUUGAAUUAGCAACCUCUAAUUAUAAAGUUUAAUGGGUAAAAAUAAGUUAUUGUUAUGUGUUUAUUAAGCACUAGUAAAAUCCAUUCAAAUUUUAGAAACUAGUGUGAUCUAUUGCAUUGAGAGGAUAAGUUUUUAUACUCUUAAUGAAGUUUUAAAUGUCUAAAGCAAUGAAGACAUAAUAAAAAGUCUACGUAUAUAAAUAUAGAAGUAGUGCCGCUUCAAUAAGAAGAAUUGAGAUUUUUCUUGUAAAUAUUUAUAAAUAAAAUAAGUACAUAACCAUAAUAGUGCGAAAAAUGGUUAUAAACUUUUAACAAAAGAAUAAAUAAGUAUUAUAUCAGUUAUAUCUUCAAUUCUAACAUCAAGAGAGUUAAAGUUUAAUCUGCGAAUACCAUCAAUUUCGUUAAAAUUUUAAGAUAUAUACGUUAAUUGAAUGUUUAAAUCGAGAUAUACUUUUUUAUAUUCAUAAUAUUUAUUUGUAUGAAAAGUUAAAGAUUAAGUACCAAUAUUCUAAACUGGUGAGGGAUUAUUCGUAGUUUAGAAUAUGGUGCAUCUUACAUUAAAUAGAAUGAUUUAAUUAUUGAUUAAUAAAAUUAUUUUUAUAUUAAUUUUAUUUAUAUAUUAAAUAAUUAUGUUUGAACAUAAAUAAUUAUCAUAUGAUAAAUGAUUAUAAUUAUUUGAAUAUAAAUAUAUUAUUAUUCAUAAAGAUCAUAAUUAUAUACAAAAUUAUAAUUAUUUGAAUAAAAAUUUAUAUCUGCUCAUUCAUUAUAAAUAAAUCUUUUAAUAUAAUCACUUUUAUUACUUUUAAUUAAAGAAUUUAAAACUUUUAUUAUAUCCUAAAGACAUAAUUAUUUAAAAAAAAAUAUUUUUCAUACCUCAAAAUAAAAUUUGUUUUAUUAUUUUUUUCUCAUAAUUAUUUAUCUAACAAAACUCAAAUGUACGAGAAAUCAGCGACAUAAAACCCACAAGUACACAGGAUUUUUUUUAAUCUAUUAGUAAUGUAUUAUUACUAAUAAGUUUACAUUUGCUGAACAUGUAUCAUGUUAUUCCUAAUUUCCUAUAUGUUCUUGCGCCACCUGACACUAGAUCCUUGCUGCAAUCUGCUUGCAAAGACAACUGGACCAGUAAUCAAAGUCGGCGAACCCCUUUCACACGAGAUUUGCCUUGAAAUUUUAUUUUCAAGGUUUACCUUAGAGAUUUUGCAUAGAAAAACUCUGCUUUUGUGUAAAAUUUUCCACCAAGUCUUUUUCAAGCAUUAUGAUAUGUCAGUAAUUUGCAUGUGAAAUCCCAUAAGUUCGUCAGCUACCUGGUACAACAUGAGAUCAAGUAUUUGCUCCCCAAACUCCGCGCAGAUCUCUUCAAAGUGUUCAAACGUGAAAACUUUCUUGGUUAGCCAGUUUGAGAAUUUGAUAUCUUCCUCUGUCAAUUUGCAAGGCUUAGCAACCAACUCCAUGUAAUAAUCAGUCUCCUCGAUAUUCGUUGACUCAAAAUUCUUCUUGGUAAAUUCCUGCUUUCCAAGACCUCCAGUUAUUGAAAUGCGAGCACUAAUAACAAUAGUGGGAGAGUCGUGUUUCACUGACUUUGAUGAGCAUUUCUUCUCUGAAUUCAGUUCCAAGGACCUUGAAUCUUCUGUAAGAAAGAUUUUGAGAAUAAUCAAGUUAGUUGGCAAUGGCAGUACCUAUUUUACAGAAUUCACAGAAUCCGAUAUUGAAAUUUAGAAUCCAAACCUGAAAUGGCUUUUUCUUGGUGGGAUACAAAAUCAUUUACAUUAAGGACAGAAACUGAGCUUGAACCCUCUGAGUUACUCUCAGAGUAAUCAAUUUUUUUAAGUUCGCGUUGAUUCUUUUUCUUCCUUGUCACAACAUAUACUUCCUUCUGAUUUACCAUCUUCAAUGGGCUUUUUGCCUUCGAAUUUGCAUCAUGAUUAAUCUGACCAACCUUGGCUCCACUAAUGCAGCCACCAGCCUCCAAAGGACGUUUACCAGAAGAAACUCUUCUUGGCUCAUUUUUAAGCUUGGAUAUCUUCUUGUUUUUCUCUUGAUUCGCCUUCUUACGAGCUACUUUAUCGCUUACAUUCUCCUUUUGCUUAACAUGCUUACUACUUGAUCCAUCUCCUUUCUCUGAUUUCGUUGGCUUAAACCCUGCUUCAUUAUUUUUAUCCACACUAUCCAAGUACACCACAAAGAAUUCUCGAUUCUGAUUAUGCUGGAAUUGUUGCGGACCUUGCGGUACCUCACGAAAUGACGCUGAAGUUUUCACACGGCGAUGUUUGGCUUGUGUUAAAUCAAACUCCAGCAUAUAAUCCACGAAAUUGACUGACCUGCUCCGCGUAACAGAGCCUGGAGUUUUACCUUUCUGUACCCAGGUGUUCUCUGGCAAUGAGUCUAGCCCCAUUAGCCUCGCCACUAUUCCAGGGCCACUUUCAGAAGCUUGGACUUGAACCUUAGCCACAUCAUCGACAGUGUUUAACUCUAUAACGCGAUCAGAUGGAUGUGCUUGAGGACUACCUGAACAAAGAGUCCGGCGCAAAACGGCGGAAAAACACCCAAAACUAGAACUUUUUGUGUUACUCAUGCUUCAAUUGGAGAAAAAAAAAAAAAGGGAGGCAAAAAAUGUAGUAAAGUUAGUGAGAAGCACAAAUUUUCUUGUAGGAUAGUGAGUAGAUGAUGCUCAAGAAUGGCUCAAAAUAUAGUCAACAAAAUCAAACUACCCCGGGAAAGAAACAGUGGCGGGCUUUGAGUUUGAAUCGUACACAAAUGAGUAUAAUUUUUUGUAUUGAUUCAUAGGUUAGGAAGAAUGGUCGGUCUAUAAUCUAUGAAUUAUAGAGAGCUGGGUUAGGUCGUCGAAUUCACAUUAGAAAACAAGAAAAAUCCUAGACCUACGCGCAUUCAGCUCGAGUACGGAGUGUAUGUUAAAGUGCAUAAAGACAAAAUUGUCAGCAGUCGAUCUGUUUUUAGUUUUUUACACUAUUAAUGGAUUCACGUUAGCCUACGCGCCAUGCUUAGAGAAUAAUAGUAAGAGGAAUAGAAGCUCUUCUAAUUUAGAUUGCAAAGCGGGGGAUCAAGCUGGCUUAUUUUUUUACCAUUAAAAAAAAACAAGGAAAGCAGCUUUUGGCAGCCGAAGUUGUGGACUUUUGAUGUUGUUCAAAUCUUAAAGAGGUGGUCCUGACUCUUGUAGUACGUAUUUGCCAGCCACCGACUCCGGUUCCUGCUGACUGGACGGCUUCUACUACAUUUCUCAGUGUUCAUUGUUCUUUUGGGCCCUCACUUGGCGUAAAUUGGGUUUUCAAUCCAUGUGGAAUCGGUGUUAUGUUGAAAGUUUAUUUGCCUAGGCUCAGUUAGCCUUCUUGCGUUAGAACCGGUCAUUGAAACUUGACAGCCCACAGGGUAAGAAGGGCUAAGAGGUUCAAUCCUCCAAGUCGAAGGUCGUACUCAUAAUAUGACGUGAUACUUUGCCUGAAUAUUAUAAGUUUUUUUUUAUAUUUUUAAAAAUUAUAAUUAUAUGGUGUCAAAUUACUCAAUUAAUAUGCAUAUAUCUACUAAAAACAAGUACUUAAUUGAUGGCUUGAAAUUCAAGGUUUUAGAAUUUUGACAUGAUUUUCAUUGGUUGUGGACUAAGCGAAGAAAAAGCACGAAAAUCUUCCUUUUUUUUGCAAUGUGAUUUCCCAUGUAGCAAUCUCUUUCACGUGCAAAGGGAAGAUUUUUGCAUCCAGCCGUUGUCUCUAGCUUGAUGCGAUGUUAAUGUUUGGAAAAAAAAUCCUAGAAAUACAAAUAAAAAUAUCAAAUGGUGUUUGGGGAAAAUCAUGCGCGUAACUUGCUACUCAGUUGCACAUUUCUUUCAUGGAUAAGGGUAAACACGCACCAUGGCUUAUUUCCUCACGCGGAACAAAAAGAUAAUGACAUAGCAUUUAUCAGAGGAUUAUUGUUAAUGGUAUUGUUUGUUGAUGGUGAUUGACCAAGACAACUAAAAACCAAUCAAGUAGAAUAGUGGGAAAUUAUAAAGAUAGGCAUGAUGACUGGUAGUAAAUGAUUAGAAUCGCUUUUUCUGAUUGGGUUGGGACCAAAAGUGCGGAGGUAAACAUGAUGCUAGUCAUGAUUUCUCCUUCUUUAUCACAAAACUAUCGGAUGAAAAUAACAAGCAAGAGGGACAGCCCUUGAGUCGUGGUCCGCACACAUAACCUAAAGAAUAAACAUAGAACUCCUUUUUGUCCAUUUCUCAGAGGAUUCAAUUAAGCAAUAAAUGUUAAUUUUUGCUUAAGCAAUUGCUAUUUCUCUUGUAAAAGAAUAAAUAUACAUUUUCCUUUACUAGUAGAAUGCCACAAUCGAAUAUAUCCUAACUUAUAUGCCUCCCUCUCCCCCCAAAGAAAAAAAAAAGGCUCCAAUUGCCCUUGUUAAUUAUACUAUUCAACUUAAAUAUGAUUUCUAUAUGAUUGUGGCUGUACCAUGGCAAUACAAGCUCAAUGCUUAGACCUCUUUUGGUUAAGCAAGAAAGCUCCAAGCGAAGAGCUUUAUUUCGACCCAAUAUUCUAGCUGGAAUUUUAUGAAGCAUCACGCUGGCUUAUGCUUCAUUUGGAUGGAUGAAGCCUUAGAACUUAAAAAGGAUCUCUGCGUUCCGGGUCAGCUUGGUAGUAGACAACAUCUCCAGUGUCACUAACAUAGUGAUCUUUCUUCAAGCUUCUUAUCAAACUUCCAAUCAGGUGAAAAGGUAGAGGACCUGAAUAUUCUGGCUCCCGAUAGUAUUUUCCAAGAACUGGCUUAGCUGCCUCAGUCUGUGAGAUGAAAACAGAAGAUAAGAUCAGGAUGAUAAGAAAAUGCAUAAGAACAUAGCAAUCAAAACUAUAUGAGGUACUCACCGCCUCUAUUAAGUGGUAGUGCGGGAUUUGAGGAAAGAGAUGGUGUAUGACAUGGGUUCCGAUAUCGUGGUGGAUGUUAUUGAUCCAUCCAUAAUCACGGUCAAGUGUUGUAAGCCCUCCCCUCAAGUAACUCCAUUCCUGUCAGAAUAUUGUUUUAAUGAAACAGUAAUUUUGAAAGUUCAAAAUGAACCUUGGAAUUCCAUACAAUAUUGUCUGAAUCUCCAAAAUUUCAAACUUUAUAAAAAAUUCUCUGACAGAAUUGCCUUAGACCAAGGUAGGACAAUCAUACCUUCCCACGGUACCAAGGAAGCUUCUCUUCAUGACCAUGGUGAUGCAAGUAUGUAACGAAAUCCAACCACAUCACAAAUAUCUAACAUCAAAGCAAAGACAAGUCCAAUUGUAUUCUCUAACUGGUGAAGAGAUAUCAUUGCGUCAAAGAAGAAACAGAUGACCAAAAGAAAGUUGAAACCUACCCAGUAUGGAACGCCAUAUAGUUUAAGCAACUGCAUAGGACCCAUUUUGAAGCCUAGACCAACAAGAAUAGCAGCCAUGGCCGUCCAACAUAAGGUGGAAGUAAUCACAUCUUUUCUCUCACUUGGGACAAACAAAUCGCUGUUAGGGUCAAAGUGAGAACCAGUCUUCCCUGGACUUCUGUUCCACUGUAAUUAAAAUUAAACAGCCAUUAAAUAUCUCUAUAUCUGGGAUCAAAUUUAUCAACCAAGCUACAACACACUUACAAGGUAGAAAGGAUAUGCAAGCAUGGGAAAAGGCAACAUGAACCGCAACGUUCGUGUUGAGUUAUCCAAACUCCUGUAUAUCUUCUCAGAUAACUGCAACAGCAUUGACAAAAGUUUUAAGUUUUAGACCAGGUGGAAACAGGAAAGGAAGAACAAAGGCGUGGUAAUAGACCAAACAAACACCAGAAAGAACAAGAGAAAUUUAACCAACCGGGUGCCAUGAUUCAUCAUUCUCAGCAUGCCCGUGGUUUUGAUGAUGAGUCCUAUGGCUAAUUCUCCUGUAAAGUUAAUCAUAACGGAAAUAAAAUUAAUUAAAACUUCCUGUUAAGUGUGAUGGAAAAUUUUCAGCACAAUGGACUAAGUUAAAUUACAUAUACAAAUUGAAAAGAGAAAAUUUCAAAUUUAGAGCACACCAUCCAUGAUAAGGCACAAGAAUGGAAGAAUGCAAGAGAUGCCCCACUACACUGUUUAACUUAGGAUUGUUUGAAAAGCUCCCAUGGCCACUGCACGGUGAAAUCAAGGGCAUCCAAAAGUAAGCAACAACAUCCAAAGAACUACCCAAUCAAGCAUCAAAAAGAAAAUAUAAAUAUAAACUGAAAGAGAAAGAUCUAAUAACAGAAGGUUGUAAUGCGAAUUGUAAAUUACCAAUCAUGACCAAGAACAAAAAGAGCCCAAAACAUGGUCCCUUGAGCAGCCCAGUAAAGAGGCCAAACAAGCCAGUUGUUAAGAUAAGUCGCAGCAGCAGCCAGGCCAAACACCACAACAACAUCCCUCACCACGUAGCUCAUAGAUUUCCAUGGAUCCUUUACCCAACAAUGCUUUGGUAUGGCAGCUCUGAUAUCUGCUAAUUUAAACGGUGGCGGAGCCCCAGGGUCGAAUCCUGCUUCUUCUUCUUCUUCUCCAAACUCGUUGACACCAUGGAUUCUCUCUUCUCUUUCCUCAUCUUCUUCUGUGGAUGCAACUUUCAAUGGAGCACUGACUUUUAGCCCCCAGUUCCUGCCUCCAAAAACCUCAGUCGAGAAUUUGAUUGGAUUUGUUGGUUUUAGAUCUGAAAAUUUCUUGCUUGUUUGUAAAAAUCUGGGCUUUGAAGAGUUCCUUGAGACAACUCCAGCGGCGGGUCUAGCGUAGAUAUGAGGAAGAGGCUUUAAAACACAUUCUGAUAUGACAAAACUCGCCAUUAAAGACCGAGGUAAAGCUCAACCAGCGUUUAGCUUCAAGGUAAGAUAAACGGAAAAACUCUAGGAGAAAUCAAAUAAACAAGUUGCCAACUUUAAGGUGAGAUAAAAAGGAAAACUUCUUGAUGCUAGCAAUCUUGCUUCCACGACAACCUCAAGAUUUGCCUUAAUGUUCUCUCUCCUCAGCAAUAAUCGGAAAGAACAGAACCGAAAACAUUCGAGAAAGUUUGUGUUCUUGAGAAAGAGAGAGAUAGGCAAAAACUGAGAGGUUCCUGACUGGUUACUUGAUAGAAAGAAGGGGGCAUUGAGGGGCUUUUAUCAUGGUUCUGGGGUUUGCGGAAACGAGUGGAGUCAGCCUACUACGAGUCAAUUUGUUUUUUUUUUUUUUAAUCGUAAUUAGAGAUAUAAAUGAUAUAAUAAUAUUUAUAAAUUAUUCAAAUUUCAAUAGAAUAAAAUUUAAAUUUGAUUUAAUUAUUAUCGAGUUAAAUUUAAAUUUAUUCAUCGAUUAAAUUAAAUUUAAAUAUUUUUAUAUUUAAUUCAAAUAACUUACAAGUUUAAUCGAAUUUUUAUAUUUAAAUAUAUUUUUAUUAUUUUAAUUAAUAAAUUAUUUUAAAUUUAAGUUUGAAUUCGAUUAUAAAUAAUUAAAUUUUUAUUAAAUAUAUAAAUUAAAUUUAUUUUUAUAUGUUAAUCGAAUUUAAUCGAAUGAUUUUAAUUUUGAUCAUGAAUUAAAUUUAAAUUAAAAAAAUAAAAUUUGAUCAAAAUUUAAAUAAAAUAUUAAAUUAUGAGUUAAAAAUUAAAUUUAAAUUUUUUAUUAUAUCGAUUUAAUUUAAUUUGAUUCGAUUAUAUUUAUAAGAUAUUAGACGCGGUACUGCGUUUUGCUGAUUCAGUCCUUUUCUUUGGAGCGUAUUUUCACUUUUCCUAUGUAUGUGAUGGCUAGGGGCAGCGCUUGGCAUGUGUGAAAUCUCUUUCCAAUAGCAAAUAGACGUAGCAUUGCUUCGAAAGGUCGGUUUCCCAAUGAAGCCCACCGACCAGAAUCAUUUUCUCACACGUGCUCAAAUUAUUAUGUUGCCUUUUCUUUUCUUUAACGGUUACUUUAUUACUGAUUAUUGAUAGGCAAAAGGGCAAAAGAGUAAUAUGAACCAUUGAAUAUGUUAAGGUCAGACGAUCCAUCACUUCAAAUUUGGAAAGUACUAAACGAGUGUUGAAAUAUUAAAGUUUUAAUUUUGGCCAAAUAAAAAGUGACUGUUUAAAUCAUGAAAUGUUAAUGUUACAUAUAUAUUGUUUAUAAUCUUAAUAGUGCACCAAAAUAGUUUGAACAGAAUACAAAUGAAACAAAUAAAUGUGUCAACUUUAUUCCCAGCCACUUUGCCAAAGCUGACACAAUAUGAGGUAUCUCACUCUUUUGUGGAAAAGUCCAAAUCCAGCGGUGGACGAACACGCCUUUCUAUAUUAAAAAUAAAACGUAUAUCAAUCACGUGAUUUAUCAUCAAAAUUUAUUGUUUUAUUUGCAUAUUUGUUAAGAUAAUAAUGUCUGGUCAAAGCCACCAAGGAGGCAGCCUGCCUGGAGUACCCCACUCCUCCAACUUUUUUUUUUGGGUCAAUUUUUAGCAAAGUUUUCUGUGUCCUCUUUGAAAAUUUAUGUUAAUUCCAAAUAGGACUCGAUUUGUUUAUUCAAUUAAUAUUCUUUUUUUAGUAUUAAAUUAAAUUACAAUUACCAAAACUGUUUUUUCACAACUUUGACAAUGAUUUAUUUUGUUACUAAUUAAAAGAGAACAUAAAUAUUUAGAAUUAAAAAACUUGGCAUAAAAAGCUCAUAAUCAAUGUAUUAGUGAUGUUUACAACAUAAAAUAAAAUAAAAUAAAAUAAAAUAAAAUAAAAACUAGGAUUUAUCCAAAAAGAAAAAGCUUUAAUGCAAUAAUUUUGAACAUAUGAUUUAUGUUAAUACUCAUGGGCAAAUAGCUCCUAAACUUCUAAGGGGGUUGACCAAAAAUAAAAAAUGCAUUUAAAGUUGAAAGCAAACUCAAUCCAACAAAUGGUAAUUCUUUAUAUAAUAGAAAAUCAGUCCAAUUGGUUUCCUUGAUUAGCUUCCCUGCUUCUGCAAUUUACAUUACACCUCUAUAUACUUUAUCAACAUCAACCCUUUUAUAUUCUCUAUGCACUAUGCAUUUGCAUGAAAAAAUUUAUGAUUUUCAACCCAAGGAUUUUUAUCAGAAUGAAUCAUGUUUAAGCCAACCAAACAUAAUAUUACUUUACAUCGGACAUAUAAUUAAUUCUCAAACACAGUUCUUAGUUAGAAGCUUCAACAACCCUCAAUUUUCCACCAAAGAUUCUAUCAGUUUUAAGUCUCCUGUUCCCAAAAAAUGAUCAAGUAAAGUCGAGCAUGAACAACUUAUCUCAAGAUAAUUAAUCCCCAUUUGUCUCUCUUUAUAUCUGCCACCACUUUCGAUUUUCCAUUGCCUUGGCAAGCUCACUUGCCAAUGAUGCAAAGUUUUCUGCCCCACUUUGCAGCUCUUCAGUGCGCCUGCUGAUUCUCUGGUUCAAUCAUAAGUCACCAGAAAGAAGCUAGGUUAGAGGUAAGCUACAAUAUGCUACAAUGAAGGCUUUUAAAUUUUAUUAAGUUAAUUUCACCAAAAUGUUCAUCUUAUGGCCUAAAUUGGUUUUUCUGGGAACUAUUUCUCCACAGCUUUUUUCCCUUUGUCUUAGUAACUAAAUUAUAAUAAGGUUUUAUCCAUCCAUACAAAUGACAACUGCAUUUUAUAGGAAAUCCUUUUUACCUCUAACUUUUCCUGCCUCUCUACCAGUUUAUUUCUUGCAUGGGCAGCUGAUGAAGAGGCAUCCUGCAAUCAGAUAAUGGUGUCUGCUCAGAAAGCUGCUACUGUGAAAAAAAAAAAAAAACGAAUUGCUAAAACCAAAAUGUAUCUAAAUCUGUUACCCCAGUUUUUCUAUAUUUAGCAAUAAUUUCUUGAGCUGUUCUAACUCUGGGUGUUGAAUCAUCUGGCGCACCUAACAAUUUUUCUCUGUCUGUUUCCUUUCCUGCAAGGUAGAGAGAACAAUCUACCAAUUCAUUUUAGAAGUUGAGUAAAGAAAAGCAAAUUAGAAAGUCAGAUUUACCUCCUUUUGUUUUAACAGCUUCGUGAGAUGAGGAGCUAGCUACAGGUGGAGUUUCAUCUAUUUCAAUGUCAUCUGGUGCCAAAAGAAAAACAUGCUGUCAGAGAAAAACCAAGAAUGAAGAAAGAAUGUGGGUAUAGGUGUGGACAGAACCUAUGUCAAGCUCCACAUCUUCCUGCUUUUUUAUAACAUUCUGGGUUGUAUCUAUGAAUGGGGCCUUUAAAAAUUUGCUCUCCAAAUGAGUAAAAUUGGAUUCAGGCGUUGCAGAAGUAUUUACUUUUCCUCCUUUAAAGCCUUUGACUAUACCACCAAGAAUCCCUGGUGUUGUACCCUGCAGCAAUAUGGUAAAGUGUACAUAAGCAAAUUUUUGUUUCUUCAGAAAUUAAAACCAAGAAAGUGACAUUUCCAUGGACCUGUUUCCUCUUCUGAUUUGACGAGAAACUAAAGGCAGCAUCGGCAGCUGCUGCAAGAACCCUAUCAUGCAGACAAGGCAGCAAUUCUGGAAUCCUAGAAACAAUAAAGCAAGUUCUCAGAAUCAUUUUCUUCAUUAAAUUUUAAUUUUCACCACAGCAUUGACAAAACAAGUGGUUGUGGUACCUGAAACCAUUUUCACCAGCCAAGAGAGAGAUGAAUGCCACUUCACAUCCACUUCUCUGUUGUAUACCAAACGUCAGGCAUAUAUCAUCAGAUAAAUUAUUGAGAACACAAAUAUAUUGACCAAAAAAGUGUUAUUAGUAUUAGAGGUAAUUUUUGUUUUGGAGUGUAGCAUAUGCUAAAGUAUGCUCUUAAAUCUAUAUUUAAUAUGUCAUGAAACACUCUGGUAAACAUUGAAAUGGCUUUCUGAAAAAAAAUAUUCCACGAGAAAGUACCAGUGUAACUUGCGCAUUAUCAGAAGUCAUCGUCUUAUCCAUGUUUGCCUUGUAGUUCCACCUUAGAAUUGACAUUAUGGAGCUUUCUUUAACCAAUUCUAAGUCCGGCAAGGAUCUGCAUAGAGAUAGGCAGUAACAUUGUCAGUCAUUUGAUAAACAUUGAUGCUAAUAGUGCUCAUGAGAGGAAGGAACACAAUCUCUAUUUAAAACAUGGGAAUUAAAUGACAUCAUAAGGAAAUCAAUACCUAUUUUAAGGACAAAAAGAGAAAAAAAUAUAAAAUAUCAACAUUUUACCUGAUCUCCAGAUCCCCUGUUUGAAACAGCAAGAGCAGUCCACAUACUCUUCCAUCUUUCUUAAAAGUGGUGGUCCAACAGCAAGGUUUCUUAUGUUUUACUCCAUGAAUUGUUUUAUCCUUCCCCUAUAGAAAUUAUAUCUCUUUAGCAUACAAAUGGAGUGGCACAACAACAUUCUGAAGUAGAACAUAGCGAAGGAAUAAAGGCACCUGAAUCACAGACUUCAUGGAGUACAAGUGCAAUGAAUUUUCACAACAAAGCAAAACAAGUGCAUCAAGUGAGUGUUCCUGAGAGGAUGCAGUUUCUGAUGAGGAGAGAUGUUCAGUCACAGUUGAAGAGGCGUCAAGCUCAGGCUCACUCUUGGCAGUGAUAUCCUUGCUGGAUUCCUCCAGCUGCCCUUCACAGUUUAAUUCAGAUACUGAAAAACUGCUCUCUGGAGUUCAAAUAUCAUCAGAAUUCUAUCAUCCGUUAAUACUAAGAGCAAAAAAGUGUUGACUAUAAGCAUCCAGCUUUAUUAUGGUACUUACCUAUAAUGUACAUGGAGAGUGCAGUUUCUUCUUUUUUCAAGUGCCAUGGAUGAGGGUGUAUCAUCUGACCAUUACCACCAUCAAUAGAGAUAAUUUUUGCAUCCUUGGUUAAGACAAAUAUUAUUUCCUCUUCAGGUUUGACAGCAACUUCUGUUUCUGAAUGCUUUGAGCUUUUCACAAGGCUAUGAGCAGUUUUAAACUCUAACCAAGACAGUGAAAUGAUUGGAGAUGACGAGCCAGACACAUAAUGAGUCAUGAACAAAAUAGAUGACAAACUCACAUCAAGCACUGCAACCUGUGGUAGAAGCAUAAAGAAAUAUGAAUCCUUCUGAGAUAGAAAGCUGAAAUAACCAGCAAAUCACCUAUGACCUAGCUUCUUAGCAAAAUGAAGAGGAUAUGUCAAACAAAGUUAAGGCAGAUGAAACUUACACGACAUAAUUCAAAUCCCACAGCAAGCUUGGCUCCACAAUUCCCAAACUGCAGAGCUUGAACUGGUGAUUCAAAAAGGGAAAAUACAGCUUUAUACUGAGGUCCUUUUCCUUGGGGAAAACUCUGAACUGUAAGGCAAGUUGAACGAUAUUAAUUUGAGAAAGUAUAGGCUCUAAGAAAAGUAUCACAAGAUGAAAGCUUACCUUCACAUCUAGUCUCAGUGACAUAAUGAAAGCUUGUUUUACCGGAGCUGCCAUCGAGGUUAUAAAUGCGAACCUAUACAAAGCAGAAUGUUUAAAAUAUAUAUAAAGCACCAGUUUAAUACCCAACCUUGACACAUUAAAAGAGGAAGAGAAAAUGUAAAGAAAAAGUUCUGACCACACCGCAUUCAUUGCCAACAGCCAAACUUAAAGUGUGCCAACAGAAGCUCAGAGUUGUCACUGGAGCACUUGAACCAGUCAAAUUUGUACCUUGCACCUGUCACUCAUAAGAAAUUAUUUGGUGCAAAGAAAAUUGCAUGAAAGGACACAAUAUUGACUGAACUCACUUCUCCUUCUAGAAAACAGAUAAGUGACAGGACAGGAUAAGACGCAUCCCAUAUCCGAACAGAUCCAUCCUGGUAACCUGCUAUGUACAAACUGUCAAUACUGUUAUCUUUAGCGACAGAUAGAUGACUAGGUAUGCCCCCUGUCAAGGGCCACUUUAUGCCACCAGCUGGGGUUGGUAUUGAGCCAGGUUUCAUCAUAAAUGCAAGCUGAUGGAACAGAAGGAAAACAUUAGACAAGAAAAACUUUUAGGGAACUCAAUGGCUUUAAAUAUUAAACAUAUCUAUGACAGAAAUCCAAUACCUCUGACGGACCUUUUGAUGAGUUUUCACCUGUGGGUAGCACACUGAACUUUGCCACAGUCAUUGAUGGGUCAGCUGUAGGUAUUACCAUGGGAAAUUCCACCGGACAGGCAAAUUGUUUCCUCUCUUGCUCAGAUAGCAAGGUAGACAAGAUGGUAUUAUCAUAAAGAUGCAGUUGUCCAGGAUUUGUCAACACAAAAAGAUCAGCUUUGUGAUUGUGCCCUGUUGUCUCAGCAGUUGGCAACAAAAUCAUGUCAGCAAACGAGCCAGUGAGUGUAAGGUCCACACGACCAACACACGUAACAGUCUCCAUCGCAGAUGACCAUUCAAGACUCAAAACCUGUACCGCCACAAUAAGCACUAAAUUCAGCUUUUUGUAUUUGAUGGUUGAUAGUUUUCCAAAAGAGAGUAGAAAUAGAUGCAGUUACCAUUUCACAACAAAAUACUAACAUACAAAACAAUACUCACAAAAGUUAGAUUUUUACACCAUCCAAAAGCAAGAUUAAAACGAAUUUGCCAUAAAACUUAAAAUAUUGACUAUUGUUAUCAUGUUAAAAAUAGGAAUUCCCAUAUUAAAUGUAUUUACAAGAAAUUAUAGCCUCUUAAACGAAGACAUUAUUUCAUAAUGGAUGACCAUUCUUUUAGAAUCUACCAAAGCUAGUGAGAACUUUACACCCUUUUAGAACAUAUAGUUUAUGCAUUCAGAAUUGUUUAACUUCAUUCUAUUAGAUCCAACAGACACUUUACGAUUACAUAAAUUAUAGGAAAGAAGUGUCAAAUUGCAAUCAAAUGCAUAACGCACCGUCAAAACUUCUUCAGAUCCUAUUUCAUCACCACCGUAGAUAAAAAGUUGGCCAUUAUAAUCAUUGUGGGAUCUAUUGUUUGGGGACCAUUGUAAGACAAUGACAGGCAGUCUCCUUUCAGCAGAUGACAAUUGCAGCUUUACGACAUGUUUGUUUUGUCCAUUUUGUUCACCUUUAGAAGAGGCAAUACUUGAUGUAUUCCAAAACAAGAUAUCCCCAUCUAUGUAUCCCACUGCAAGAAUGGAUCCAUCAGAAGAUGCCCAACAAAUAGCACUUAUCUCCUUUUCUUGUAGAUGAUGCUCAAAUGUAUCAUCUUGAACCUCUGAAUCCACUGUAUCCUUUAACUGAAGAUCCUUUCCACCUCCAAUAAAAUAAAUUUGAGCUUGAGAAACAUCCCAAAGAAUUAUCAAACCAUUUGCAUAUGCAAUUAUGACUCUGCAAAAAAAAUAUAUAUAGCUCAAAAUAUUAAAGUGAUAAGCAGACACCAAAACAAUCUUGAUUGCCUUUUCCUUAUUGUCUAGGGUAAUUAGGUUCUAAUAUAAGACGGCAGUUCCAUGCUAGUAAUGCUGCAGCCAUAUUGAGAUGCUGAUGGAAUCAAAACAUAGAUCCAAUUUUUCAACUUAGUCUAAAACAUGUUAUUUUAUGGUAAUGCAUCAAAUUGUCCCAAGUUUCUUUCACAUUUACCAUACAUGCAAAAGUAAAAGUGAAGGUUCAAAUUCAAGCAUUAUGGAUUGGAUUGACUUGAUAUUAAGUUGAGCCUCAGUUCUUAUUAAUUCCAAAAAUUGAGCUAAUUUAAGCAAUUGCGCCAUACCUAUUUCCAGAAGAAUGGGGUUGAGGAAGAAUGCCAACAACAGGUUGGCCAUCAGGAAAUGAAAACCCAGCUGCUUCUGUGAGACAGCAUCAAACAGUCCAUUAAUAGAGAACCAAAAAGUUUGAAACAAUAUAUCUAGGAUUUCAUGAUCCUUUGUAUGAAUUAAACUCAUCAUGCUGCAAUUACAUAUUUAGUAGAGCUAAAAGAAAAUUGUAUAUAAGAUCACUGUAAACCAAAAGAAUGAUACAUAAGCAAUAAUAUAUAAGAAAUCCAAGUAACAUAUGCCACCAAAGUAGAAACAUGAAAAAUUAUUUAAUUUUCUUAAUCAGAGUUCAAGUUAUUUAUUGGCCUCUAGAAAGGAAAGAAGAAACUACCACUUAAAGAAUUUGCUGAUAUAUUAUAUGGCAACUGAGAAAGUUUUCCAUCUUCAGCAUCAUACUUAAUCACUGAUAUCAUACCAUACUCAUCUCCAAUGAACCUAUGUUAAGAGAUAGAGCACAAUGUGAUACAGCAUUGAUCAAAUACCACUUCCAUAACUACCAAACUUGCAGCUGAUUUUAGAAACAUAUUAGAUCAUUAUUUGAUAAAUAUAUUAUACAUGAAAUGCGAGCCACUGAUGACAGAGAAGGCAGUGAUGUUGGAUUCCCAACGUAAACAACACGUUAUACACCUGUUCUCCAGAUUCCAAACCUGUAAAAAAUUGGGAAAUUGUUGAAAAUAAAAGGUAUAUGAUGCCUUAGGACCUAACCGCUGCACAGUUGAUAAAAAAUCAAUACCUGAAUAUCAUUGUCAUUUGAGAUGCUAAUUAAAAAACCCUGGUUUUGCAUGAACUGCCAUAAAAAUGCUAAAGUUUAGUUCAAAGCUAAACUAAUAAGAAAAUGCACCUGAUAUUCUAUAUAAAUUAAAGAGUUGAUCAAUUUAGAAUCAUUGAUAUCUCUUUGUUUUGCAAAGAUCCAAACUGUGAUGACUAUAGGCUUUCAUAGAUGGACAAUCAAAUUUCUCUCAACAGAAAAACAAUUUAUCUUGAAUUUCCUUGAAGGAAUUCACAUUAUUGAACUUGGAGUUUAUUAAGGAUUAAAGAACAAACAAUAUAGCCAGCAAGUCUUAAAAGCAGUUUGUGGGGUACAUAAGCGAACCUCUAUAUAUUUGUAAGGUAAUUGCUUCAGAGAUAUGAAAAGUCCCUCAAUGCCAUCACCACCAAUAACUUUAAUCCGGCCAUCUCUAUGGAACCAAAAUUCAUAUACAAAGAAAGCAAGUAAAGGAAACACCACGUUAGGACAUAACACACAUUGUAGAAGAAGCAAAUUCUGCAAGAUACUAAAAUGGUAUUUUGUUUUCAUAUGAAAAUUCAUGAAUUCAAGAAAAAGAAUGGUCAAAAUUCAAAACAUUCUUAUAUCCAACAACCUCUCAACACAAAACAACGUUAAAAAUUCAAAAAAAAAAAAAAAAAAAAGGCUACAACAUUCGAAGCAUUUAUAUGACUAUCUAUUUGUAGCAGCAAAAUAAAUAAAUAAAAUAACUUGAUAGUAUUUUGUAGUCGAAGCUUAAAACUUUAAACUCACAAAGUGCCGAUAGCCAAGAGGCGCUGAAUAGGAUCGAAGGCAAGAAUUGAUGCUGUAGAAGGGAUCCCAUAGUGGAUAGCAACUCGCAAAUCCAAGUCUUCUGAUUUCAAAUUCCCAUACUGCACAUUUUGCUGAAACCAUUUUUUUUUUUUUUUGGAAAAACAGAAACCAAUCCAAGAAGCUCCAUCAGAUGCGUGUUCAAUAAAAGAGAAAGAAUCUGAAGAAUCUAAAAGCAAUAAAAGGAAUUUCGUUUUUGUACCUGAGAAUGGUGAACAGCCUUCUGAAGCAGGCGCUUAGGAAACAUGAUGAAAACCCAGAUUGAGGUGAAAUGAAAUCUGAGGAAAACUGUUCUCUUUCUUUUUUGUUCUGCUUUAUGUUUGCUUUGGAUAUUAAAGAGUAAAGACUUUUUCAGUUUUCUUUGCGUAUUUCACUGAAUAACCCGAUCAAACAUGUAAAACCUUGAGUCAAGAUGGAAUAUAGCUUGUUUUAUCCUCCAAAGAUCCAUGGAAGUGGAAUAGCUUGUUGUCGACUUGCCGUGGGUGCUAAUCUUCUGCAUUGGACUUCUUACUAACACUCCAAAUUCAUCACCUUAAACAUGAAGGUAAUGACUUGCGGGACAGCUGUCAAGAUAUGAUUGCAAGAAGUUUAAAUAAACUCAUCGAAUGAAACAUAACUAAGACUGUUUGUCUUAGUCUAAUUUUAAUUUAAAUUAAUUUAAAUGAAGAUGUAGCUCAGAUGGUAGAGCGCUCGCUUAGCAUGCGAGAGAUACGGGGAUCGAUACCCCGCAUCUCCAUUAUGGUACAUUAUUUUUGUGCUCCAAAUUCUUCUCUGCCUCUGUUCAUUGCUGUAAUUGAAAAGGGGAUAAGAUUCUGCUUAGAAAAAGAGAACUUGAACUAAAAUUCAACAUAGAAAGAAUAAAUUGUACUUAGAAUUUCCUUUGAAUGGAGAAAAAUUCUUCAGCUUCUGUAUCAACUCUUGCUUGGUAUGCCAUACUAAUAGCAAGAGAGAAAUCGAAGAAAACAGCAGAACAAGCUGCUUUAAAACAGAGUACUGGGGCUACAAAGAGAACUACAUUACUUUGAAUAAAGUAGAACUUGUACUUAAACUUGAGAACAUUUACAGCUUUCAGUCUUAGUGUAUGAAGUUAGAAGCAUGAUUGAGUAUUGUUCAACGGAUUCUAUGAUAAAACCAAAAAGACUUGAAGAUCAUUGUUUGCAAUCUCAUUGAGUCAUUGAUUGUUCUAUGUUGUCGUUGUGGUUUGUUACUUGGUUUACUCAACCCCAAUGGAUUGGUGGUAGAAUGUUCAGCUUCCAGUGUUCAUCGAAAGAGGAAAAAGAAAAAAAGUAGUAAUUAGUAACUAGUUAGAAUGUUUUGACAGUUUCGGACAUACUUCUUUGCUUCCAUUUUGAGUUUAAGCUGUUGUCAAGGAUUUAAAUAGCUGUAACGGUCACGUUUUCGAUCGCGUAGCAUUUGUUAUGUUUUCGGAUAUAACGAAGAUAAUUGCGGUCAUCACGGUCAUGAAAUUUUUUUUUUGUACAAUUUAUUAUAAAAUGUAAUAAUUAUAAUUAUAAUUAUAAAAACUCUUAUUCAAUGAUUUUAAAAAUAGUUUAUGACACUCUAUGUUUUUUAUUUUCUAAAAAAAUUAUUUACAAUUUUAUUUAGAUUAUAAAAAGCAUUCAUAUUUGGUUUAUCCAUAAAAUUUUUCUUGGCCAAGUUCAUAUUCAAUAUUAAUUCUAAACAAAUCAAAUAUUAACAAAACAAAAUAUGUUAAAUACCAAGCAUUUAAUUUAAUAAAAUUACAAACUUAAAAAUAUAAUAAUUUCAAAUUCCAUCAACUACAAUUAUUGAUACAUAUUUCAAAUUUACCACAUGAUAGAAUGACGAGGAGGAUCAGAUUCUCUAUCUUCACUUUGAGAGCCAAGUUGACUCCAUCUCCAUCCCUGAGACCUUUGUUCUUGAUACAUUUAAGGUGGAGGAUAUAUUUGAGGAUGAUACAUUUGUGGUGGAGGGUACAUUUGUGGUAACUGAUACAUUUGAGGUGGAGGAUAUAUUUGAGGAGGUGGAGGAUACAUUUGAGGUGGAUAAUAACCAUAUGGAGGUGGAUAACCAUGAGGAGGUUGAAAAUUAUGUUGUUCUGGUGGAUAGUAAUGUCUUUGAGUACUAGCAGAUGAUUCACUAUACUCAAAGUUACUAGAAUUUGGUCUCUCACCUGAAGAUGAAGAACCUCUAAAAAUUUCAUAGUGGUGCUUCUUUGCUUUUCCUUUUGAUCGAGCUGUACGUGCACUUUGACCCUCACUAGAUUCAGCAAAUGGAUUUUCUCCGUAUUCUGCCAUAUUAAUAAAAAGUCCACCAGUAGCAGCAAGCCCAAAUUCUCCUCCAAGUGGGCUGUAAGGUCGAUUUGCAUCCAUAUUAUCACCAAAAUUCGCACCAUCUCCAUCACCAUCAUCAUCUGGACUUAAAUCACUAUCAUCAUCACUCUGACUCGGUGUUGGACUUGAACUUGAAUGAAACACAUUUCUUUCUUGAGAUUGACAUGAUCGUUCAACAUUCAUUUCAUUAUCAGAAUUAUCUGCAGGCAACCAAUCAGAGUUUUGACCAUCUAAUAGAGGAUUUUCUUUCUCUUGCAGCCAUUCUGUUAGUGGAUCAUCAUCUUCAAAAAUAUGGUCAAGGCUAAUAGGAUUAAAACUAUUAUUUAUUUCAUCAAUGCUCAUUCUUUUUUGAUGUCUCAUCCUCAACCUCAUGUUAUAAUAGGUAUAUACAAGUUUUUGGAGUCUUGCAAACUUCAAUCUGUUUCUUGCUUUGGUGUGAAUAUAGCUAAAUGUGCUCCAAUUACGUUCACAAUUUGAUGCAGAUGUUGUUUGACUAAACCACUUUGAUUGCUAAUUUUUGUAAUUCAGGAACAUAAGUGUCAUAUAUCAUCCACCACUCAGCUGUAUAAAAUUAUUUAAAUUAAAUUUUAAUGGGCUAUACAAUUAAAUAAUAUAAAUAAAUUAUAAUUAUUUAACUUACUAUUUACCUGGAUUCAUUUACUUCCAAGCUCUUUGUGCUUGUAGACUACCAAAUAUUUCAUGCUUGUCUCGAAAUAAUAACAACUACAUCGAUUGAAAAUACAAUAAUAAAUGAAUAAAUAAAAAAUAAUUUAAUUUUUAAUACGUAAAACAAAUGUUAAAGUUAUAAAAUGGUAUUAAAUACUAACAUGAUUAAUCAUUCUAAUUUGAGUAUCUAUCGAAGGUUCUAAUCUUUCAAUAACUGCUUUUAUACCUUCUAAUGUUUCAUUAAAUACAUUUGCAGAAUGUUCCACUCCAAAUUGAAAUUGUGGAUUUAGAUAGUAACCUAAACAUAAUUUAUAACAAUAUUAUAUUAAAGUAAUAAAAAAUAAAUAUAUAAGCAAUUUAAGUAUAAAAAAUAAACAUAUUUUUUAACUACCAUCUAUAGUCUUGGUUUACUUACCAGCUGAAUGCAAGUCAGAGUGCAUGAAACUCCAUCUAUUGUCAAUAAUCUUUUCAUAUUCAGCAGAAUAACAACAAGUUUAUUGAAUUGCUUGUUUAGCUCUAUUCACAGCCUCGUAAAUAAAACCCAUUGUUGGUUUUUCAUCACCAUCCACAAGGCGCAACACUUUUACCAAAGGCUCAUAAACUUUUAUUAUAUCAUCUGUUUUUUUUCCAAAAAUCUUUUCCCAAAAUGAUUUUUUUGACUUCAUAAGCAAGUCUUGAUUUUUGUUGUCCCCAUUUUGAAUCUUUAAAUUCCUAUAUAUUCAUCAGUAAAUUUUUAGAGUAAUAUAUUUUAAAUUAAUAUUUUAAAACAAUAAUAUUAUAAAAAGAUGCUAGAUUUAAAUAGUUGUACUAAUUACUAAGUACUAACAUUUGAAUUGAACAUCUUUCUCAAACUUUGCUUUUGCCUCAUUAUUUCUUCUAAAUGUAUGAAAUGAGUGGCAAAUCGGGUAAGAGCAGGACGAAGUAUUUGCUUUCCUUGUGUAUAUUUCUUCAUCAAAUUAACAGUCCAAAUGUGAUUGUAUAUAAAACAAGUCACUUUCUUUGCAUCAUCCAAAACCUUUGCCACAUUUUUUUUCCUCACAAUAUCUUCAAGGCAUAAGUCCAAACAAUGAACUGAACAUGCUGUCCAAUACAAAUGUUUUCUCUUCUCCAUUAGUCUUUUUCCUGCGGCCUUAAGUGCUGUCUCGUUAUCAGUGACUAUUUGAACAAUGUAUUUUUCUCCAAUUUCUUCCACAACUUCAUCUAAUAAUCUGUAGUAAAAGUUUGUAUCUCUACUACGAACACUUGAGACAUCUACAGAUUUCCAAAAAAUAGUCCCUUUACUACAGUAAACAAAAAAAAUUAAUGAUAUACAUUUGAUUCAAACUAUUGGUCCAACCAUCACACAUCAAAGUGACACCCAAUUCAUUCCAAUAAGCUUUUAAUCCAUUAAUCCAUUCAUGAACUUGUUGAUACUCAAACUCUAAAUACACGUCUGAGACCUCAUAAGGUGUUGAAAGUCUUACAUGUUGGCCAACUUCUGCUGCCACAGAAAUCAAAUUAGGCAACCAUGGGGAAUUUGCUAAUUGAAAAGGAAGUCGAUCAUAUAUCAAAAAUUUUGAUAUUGAUUCACUCAUUUUUCUUCUUAAUGUCUUUAGAAAUGAAUCACUUACUUUUGGUUGUCUUGAACUUUUACUUCUAACCAAUUCAGGAACAGCUCCCCUUAAUGAAAAUUCAGACUUAUUUGGAGUUCUUGUUCUUUCUUCAAAAUAUUUAGCAACUGAACCAUGAGAGCUUCGUCCUUCUUCAUAUAUGUUACUCCAACCACUAGUUCUUUGUCUGAAUUCUUAUCUUUUAUGCCACUCAUGUUGUGAUUGGAUACUAUCUCGCACGGCUUGUCUAGUAGCAAUGUCUUCAUCAAUAAAUCCUUCAUAAUCAUCUUCCCCUCUUAACUGUGAUAAAAAUUUAUUUUUUUUCUUUUGUUGUCAGCCUUUUUUGAUUUGCUUUCUUGAAGGAGUUUCAUCAUACUUUCUCUUACUAUAUCUAUUAAUAAUAUAGUUUAAAAAAAAAAGAAAAUUAGUUGCACAUGCUUAUGUAAUUUUAUAAUUUUUAUUAAGAAAUUAACAAUAAUAUUUUCAAAGAAAUUAAAAAAACAUAAUAUACCAGUAACGUUGGGGCAUGGUGCAACAUUGCCAGUUUUAUGAGCAAUGUGUUCUUUGAAAUAUGUUAUUCCUCCCUUUACAACUUUACCACAAAGUUUACAUGAAACAUUUCCUCUUGUAUUUGGCACAGGUGUUCCAAAAUGCCAACCUAUAUCAUCACUUGGCGCGCCCUCUACUCCUUUACUCGAAAAAACUCUUCAUGUGGUGGCAUACUUACUAUUUUGUAUAAAAACAAAAUAAACUUAUAUUUAGAAAUAUUAAUAUUACUUAUUACAUCAUUAAAAAUUGAUUUUACGCUAAAUUUUUUAAUUUUUAGUUUUUAAUCUUAAGAAUAUUAUUAAAUAACUUAAUCUUUUAGAUGCACUAAUUGAUAUUAAUUUUUUUAUCACAAAUAACUUUAAAUAAUUAUAUAAUAAAUACAAUCUUCAAAAUUUACACAAAAAUAAUAAGAAUUAAUCUAAUAUCAAAAGAAUUGACAACAAUAUAAAUAUCAAAACAACAAAAAAAAUUAUUAAAUUUCAUAUACAAAAUUAUAAAUUAAUAUCUAACACAAUCAAAAUAUAAUAUUUAAUUUUAAUUAAUUUUUGUCUAACUUAUAUAAAAAAUUUAUCAAUAAUUUUCAUCUACAAUCUCUAUGUAUAUCAUAUUAAAUUAUUAAUCUUUUAUUUUUUUUAAUUAUAAAUCUUCAAUCCCUCUAAUUAGAUUUUAUCUAAAAAAAAUUUUAAAAAUUAAAAGUUUUCAAACUUAUAUUUUAAUAAAAUUUUCAAACCUAUAUUUUUUAUUUUUUAGAUUUUAAUCUUAAUAAGAGUAAUAGAUCAUAAAAUGCUAAAUUUGUUAAGUAACUUAAUUUUUUUGAUACAAUAAUUGAUAUAAAAUUUUUUUUAUCACAAACAAUUUUUAAUAAUUAUAUAAUAAACACAAUCUUUAAUAAUUACACAAAAUAACAAGAAUUAAUAUAAUAUCAAAAGAAUUGACAAUAAUAUAAAUAUCAAAACAACAAAAAAAUUUAAAAUUUAUAUACAAAAUUAUAAAUUAAUAUAUAACACAAUCAAAAUAUAAUAUUUAAUUUUAAUUAUUUUUCAUCUAACUUAUACAAAAAAUUUUAUCAAAAUUUUCAUUUAAAAUAUCUAUAUAUUAUAUUAAUUAUAAAUUUUCAAAACCACUAAUUAAAUUUUAUCUAAAAAUUUUUUUAAAAUUAAUAAAAAAAUUAAAUAAAAAAAUUCAAUCCCACCCUCCAUACAUCCUACCACACCCAAUCCCUCCCCACCCCCAUCAAUCCCUCUCCACCUUCCCCCCCAACAUCCCACCACACCCAAUCCUGCCCCACCUUCUUCCCAACGCCCCACCACACCCAAUCCCUCCCCACCUUCCCCCCAACGCCCCACCACAACUAAACCCAAUCCCUCCCCACCUUCCCCUCAACGCCCCACCACACCUAAUCCUCCCCACCCCAUCCAAUCUCUCCACGUGCCUAAUAUAUCAAAUUGUUUAAUUCUUUCUAACAACCCGAGCCGAGACCCUUCUAGAAACAUUUCAUUCUUCUGUUCAUCUUCUUCUUCGUCUUACAUUUUACUUUCUCUGGCUUUUCAAAAAAAAUUUUUUUUCAUCUCUCAUUUUCUCUCACAUCCUUUUAUCACUAUCACUUGCUGACUUACCUAAUAUCUGCAGAUAUCUCAUUCAUCUUUCAAACUCUCACAAGACACAACAGAUCGAUCAUUUUACAGAAAUUUUACAAAAAAAAGGCAAUUUAACUUUCUUUUCUUACCUUGUUUGAUCUUGAAUGUUGAUUGAAAACUUGAGGUUGAUUUGAAUUUGAAUGUCGAAAAUACCGUUUGAAUGGUUGAAACUUGAAACUCUGUUUUCUAGCUCGUUUUAAAAUUUUUUUUUAUGAUAAAGAUCUGAGAUUGUGAGCUUUAUUUUUUGAUUUGCCUUUUACUUUUACUUUUGCAAGUUUAUUAUUUUAUUUUGCAGGUGUAAAAUUUUGUUUUUUUGUUAGAACUAUUAGAUCCGUGAGUAGAAAAACGGAAUAGCGACAAUAACGGUCCGUUAUUGUCGCUAUUGCCCGUUACGCCGUUAUUUUACAACCGUUACUCUCCGUUUUUACUGUGAAUGAAUUUCUCAACCGUUUUCUAUCUAUUAACGGUGGCGAAAGGCAGCGCUACCGUAAUUUUACAGCCGUUAUUCCGCUAUCAACCCAUUUUUUGAAUCCCUGGCUGUUGUCAUGCAUUUAAGCUUAGCAUGCGAGAGGUGCGGGGAUCAAUACCCUGCAUCUCCACUUGCUUCAUCUCACCACUACUUCUACUAUCUACAGCUUCAUUUCUUUUUUUAUUUAAUUUUUUGAAAAGCAAAGAUUUUUUAUUUUUCUUGCACCCCAGGCACGGAAAGUAAAGAAAGUAAAAAAAGAAGCCAGGACAAUGACCUAACAAGUGGGAGUUCUAAAUGGUUUUAAGAGUGUGUUUAAUUCGAAAAAAUUUAUAAAUUUAUUUUUAAAAUUUUAAUGACGAUUAUUUAUUUUUCAUGUUUGAUUUAAGAGAAUUUAAUUAUUAAAAAAAGUCAGAUUCUUAAUAGUAUUCAAAACUUUAGAAUCAGAAACAUAUCUCUCUUAACGAUAUUUUAGAAUUUUGAAAAAAAAAAAUCUUAUUUUUAAAUUUGAUCUAAAUAAAAAAUUAAUUAAAUAUCAAUUACCUUUUUGAAAAAAAAGUCUCAAACUCAAUUGUAAUUUUUUUUAUUAAAAAAUCUAUCUUUUUUUUAAUUUAUAUUUCAAUUGAAGCGUUUUAAGAAAGAAAUGCAUUAAUUGAUAUGAUAUUAAAUUUUAUUUUAAAUUUCAAAGACCGUGUUAUGACAUGAAUGAUUUUUAAUUAUAAUUUGAUAAAGAUUUAAGUGGCUAUCAAUUAAAGUGUUUUAAUGAAAAAAAAAUGCCUUAAUUGAUUAUCAAUUAAGGCAUUCCUUCCUAUAAAUGCCGUAAAUGAGAACUAUUAUAAUUUAACUUUCCCUUUCAAUUAAGACAUUUCUUCCUACAAACAUCGUAAUUGCCACAUAUUAAAAAUUUGUUUUCCCUCUCGAAAAUCAUGUUCUUAUAGUAUGAACGUUGUAAUGUCUAAUUGAUUUCAAAAGAAACUAUAUUUUUAUACAUCAAAUAAGGCGUUUCUAUAUAUGAAACGCUAUAAUUGAUGUCUUCAUCACAUUUUAAUAGCCAAUACAUUUCUGAUUUUUACUUCAACAUAUCUCAACUCAAAGCAAGUACUUUUUUAUUUGAACUUAUUCCAGCUUCAACAUCCGUCAUUUCAUCUUUGUCUUGUUAAGUUUAUCUUUUUUUAAAUUGUUAAGUUCAAAAUAUGAUGUGUAUACUAUCUAAUACUUAAUUAUCUUAUCUACAUUAUUUGUUGCAUUCUAAUUUUUUUCUUUUUUUUUUUUCAUCUUUUUAGAUGUCGUUUAAACAUGGAUUUAAACUAUGUUGAUAUAUCAAAUGUGUUUUAUAGUUUAUUUGUUUUAGCUCCUUCAUACAUAAAUGUUUUAUUGUUGAUUUAUAUUUUUUUUUAUGUUUAAUAGAUUCCAUGUAUCAUAUAUAAAGAUUUGCUUUCUAUUUAUGUUUUUAACUUUAAUGACAUUCUGUUUUUUAAACAGUUAUGGUUGAUUUAUCACUAAGAACGAAAAUGCAAUUGGUUACAUUGUUUAUUAUGCAUUUGAACUAGAUGGAGACUUUGUUACAUGUGUUAUAUUUUGUUGCUAUGACUUUAUUACAUAUGAAUAUUAGAAAAUAACGUAAACUAUCUUAUGAAGGAACAUCUUAUGAUAGACUAUAUAUUAGAGAGUUAAACUUAAAUGCAAUGAUCUUUAAGAGUAAUAGACAGUGUGUAGAUAAUACUAGAAUAGAUAAGAGAGUUUUUGUAAAAUUAUGUCAUUUGCUUUAAACAGAAAUGAGAUUAUAAGCAUCUAGACAAGUAUCAAUAAAAGAACUAAUUAUUAACUUCUUCCACAUUAUAACCUAUCAUACAAAAAAUAAGAUUAUAAAGCGUUAAGUAGCUAGAUUUGAAGAGAUGAUUAUUAGGUAAUUUCAUUUUAUGUUGAAUUCUGUUUUAAGAUUACAUAUGCUAUUGUUUAAAAAAUUUGAAUUGAUACCGGAUAAUUCAACAAAUAAUAGAUGAAAAUGGUUCAAAGGUUGUUUGGGUGUCUUAGAUAGGAUAUACAUCAAAGUAAAUGUAAACGCAAUUGACAGGACUACAUACAAGACUAGAAAAAAUGAAAUUGCUACCAAUGUCCUUGGUGUCUGCACCUCAAAUAUGCAAUUCAUAUAUAUUCCACCAAGAUUAAAAAGGUUUUGCAACAAAAUGAUAGAGUGCUAAGGGAUGCUAUUACAUGUAAGAAUAGGUUGAUGAUCUUAUAAGGUAUUAUAUUUAUUAUGUUCAUUUUAGCUUUAUAAUGUGUUAGUAUGGUGUUAUCUCACAUUUAAUAAAUAUUCAAAUUUCUUGUAGUAUUAUAUUUUGGUUGGAUCCAUCCACUUAUAGCUAAUUGAUUUUAAGUUGGAUGCUUAACAUAAUAAAACACAUUUUUUCAUAUUAUUAAUGUUGUUCCAUUGUAAUAGGUAAUUAUUAUUUAUGUGAUGCCGAAUACAUAAAUGAAAAGGUUUCUGACACUUUAUAGAUGUCAACGAUACCAUCUUAGUGAUUGAAAGGCAAGACUCCAAUUGACAACCCUGCAAGAAUAUUUUAAUAUGAAACACUUUCAAGCAAGAAAUUGUAUCAAGAGAUGUUUUUAUAUAUUAAAAGCCGAAUGGUUAAUUUUAAUGGAUAAGUCAUUUUAUUCAAUAAAAACAUAGUGUCAAAUCAUUUAUGCUUAUUGUUUUCUCUAUAAUUUUAUUAGGUCUGCGAUGGUAAUUAACAUUAUUGAAGGUGAUAUUACUGAAAGAAGAAUUAGCCAGUCAUAUAGCUUUGAACAUUAAAAUUUGAUUACGCAUGUUAAGUCAUUGAUUCUUGGACUCAGUUUAGAAAUAAUUUGGCUAAUGAGAUGUUCACCUAUUAGUUAUAAUCCAAGGAUAAGAACAUUAUAGAAAUUUUUUGUAUAUUAUAAUGUUUGCUCAAUUUAAUUGAUUUAUGUACCAUAUGGUUGAAUGUAAAAUAUGGUUUAUAUCACUGUUGAAUAUAUAUUUAUCUAAUAUUUAUUUUAUUCUCGAGUGUCUAAUGUAUAUUACAAUUUUUAGUAUACACAUCUUUGUUUUCUUUCCAUAUGUACUAGUUUAACUCAUUCUCUUGAUGGGUUUUUGAUUUAUGAUAUUGAUAUUUUUGCAUAAUGUUUAACCAUGUGAUUAAGAAUUGAACAUGUCAUCAUUGCAUGGUAAUCCUUCGCAAUCCGUAUGAAACCUACCCAAAAGAAGAAUCAAAAGUUUUGGGGUAAGUAAUCAUUCUUGGACAAAAAAAAAAGAUUCUUAUAUGAUUCAAUGCUUACAUUCUCUAACAGAUGAUCUUAGAUGAAAAGUAGAUAAUGGGAUAUUCUGCGUUGGAUAUCUAGGUUAUAUUAAAUGAAUGUUUGAGCAACUCAUUCAUACUUUUCAAGUAAAAGCCACCCCUCAUAUUAAGCCAAGGGUUAAGCUACUCAAGAGAUAAUAUCACGUAAUUUGUGAUAUAAAAAAUACUAGUGAAUUUGGGUGGAAUAAUCUAAUAAAAUUUAUUAUAGUUGAGAAGCAAGUUUUUUAUUUGAAUUGGAUACUAGUCCAGAGUUAAGUUCUUUUUUUACCUUGAGCCUUAGUUUGAUAAACUUCAUCUUUUUUUAUGAGUUCUAAAUUUUUCAAAGUUUUUUCAAAAAUGGUAUAAGUUUUUCUCAUAAUAUUUUUUAAAGAAGUUAUUGGUUCUUUUGAUGCUUGAUUAGCAUUAGUAAAACUUUCAAAUACUGUAUCUUAGUUAGAUACUGCAUCGUUCAUAAAAAUAUAUUUUGUUUCAGAACUAUUAAAAGAUAAACUUUAAAACCUCAAAAAUAUAAAUGUUUUUAUUUGUGAGGAAUAAGGUCAUAUAGCACCCAAUUAUCCUAAAAAAGGAAAAAGUGCUAAAAAAAUUAUCAAAACCUUUGAUCAAAAAAAUUUUCAAAUAUGUUUUGCUGAGGAAUUAUCAAAUAAUGAAAUUUUUUAUGAAAUAUUUUUUGAAACAGAUUCUAAUAGUUCUAAAAUAGAGUAUAUUUUUAUGAACGAUGCAGUAUUUAACAAGAUACAGUAUUUGAAAGUUCUACUAAUACUAAUCAAACAUCAGAAAAACCAAUGACUUCUUUAAAAAAUGUUAUAAGAAAAAGUCAUACUAUUUCUGAAAAACUUUGAAAAAUUUACAUCUCAUAAAAAAAGAUGAAGUUUAUCAAACCGAUUUUUUCAAAACUUUUCAACCAUGGACAUCACAUAGAAAAAGUAUGUGGUGAUAUAGAAAAAGUAUGUGGUGAUACCAUAGCAAAUGAUUCUAAACAAGUAUCAAUUAAAAUCCCCUUAUUUUCAAAACAGAAAAUAAAUUAUUUUCUUAACAAGUAUCCUAAAAUUAGAUAUAUCCAUAUAAGAAUAAUUAUGAUCACUAUAAAACAUUUAUUUAUUUCAGGUAAAGAUAUACCAAUCCUUGCUGUUUUAAUAGAUAAAAGAUUUUCAAUCCUUGUUGUUUUAAUAAUUCUAUCUCUUUUUUUUUUCUAACUCAAACUUUUUUAGACUGAGUAUAAUAUCAUGCUAAAUAAAUUAUUGAGAAAUAUGAUUUGGGUGUUUCUUAUGUUCCUCAAAGUUUUUUAAAAAAACUAAGAUAUCAUCUAUAUAAACACAACGAUAUUAUUUAUGUUUAUUAAAGAUAGUAUCCAUCAAUCUUUGAAAGAUUUAAGGGGUAUUACAUAAGUCAAAAGGCAUUACAAUCCAUUGAUAAUGUUCUGUAGGUGAACUAAAAAUAGUCAAGGGUUUUGUCUCUUCAAAAAGCAUAAUUUGCCAAAAACCCGAUUUACAAUCAAAUUUAGAAAAAUAUUUAGCAUUUUUUGCUAAAUUGAUUAAGACAUCUUUCUAAGGAAUAAAAUAUCCAUAAAAAUAAUAUUUUAAUUUAACUUUUUAUAGUUAACUACCAUUCGAGGUUUUUCACAUUUUUGUUCUACAUGGUUUCUCACCAAAAAAACAGGACUUGAAUGAAGACUAGUAUUUGGUUCUAUUAAUCCUUUGGAAAUGAGUUAUGAAAUUUGAAUUUUGAAUUCAUCUACAUCUUGUUUAGUGUAGAUCAUAAGCUUGACCCUAAUGAUUUUUGUAGGAUCUAUGAUUUUGAAUUCACAAAACCUAAGGCUUCUAGGCUAUAAUUUUAGUGGUUCUUCACUAAAAUUUUCUUGAAGUAUUGUAUAAAACCAAUGUUUUUCAUUGAUUAUUUUUAUUUUUACCUAAUUGGCUUCAGGUUGAAAAUUUUUAUCACAAAUAUGUUUGUGAUCUUUUAAUAGAGGAAUUUUAAUAGACUAAUUGUUUAUUAUUAACUGAAUAGUAUCAGGAUAGAUAGAAAAAGGUAAAUGAUUAUGAAAAAAAUUAUUUCCUAAAAGCAUGUCUCCAUGCAUAUUGAGAAAACGUAUGAUUUUUUGGAAUUACAAAUUUAAUAUUAUUGAAAUAAAUAGGAAAAUUUUUUGCUUUAAAACCUAUAACGAUUUCUUUACCAUCAUUCUUAUGAUUAUAAUAAGAUUUUCAUAGGUUCCCAUUUGUUUAAUGAUAUAGCAUUACUCUUAUAACUAGAGAUUGUUACUCCAGUAUCCAAAAAGAUAUGUAAAAAAUACGGAAUGUAUUUUUGAAAAUAAAAUUUUCCUUUAACAAAAGUAUAAAACCUUUUUGAGAAUUUAUUGAAAAAUUUGAUAUAAUCUGCUUCUUGUAGUUUAUAUUGAUUUAUAAUAAAAGAGAAUUUAUUUUUUUUAAUUCUAGUUUUUCUAUAAGAAGAUGUUGUAGAGUUUAAAAUAGAAUUUAUAGAAUGAUAGUAAGAUGGUUGGAUUGGUUAUCUUUUGAAAAUAUGGGAAUUUGAUUGGAUAGUUGAGUAUAGGUUGUAUUUUGAAAUCCAUAAAAGGAAUUUCUAUAAGGUGUAGCAAAGGAUUGAUUGUUUCUUAUAUUUUCAUUAUCAUCUUCUUGAUUAGAAAAUGAUGGUAAAACUAAUUUUGGAUUAGAAUUAGAGGUUUGAACAGGAUUUUAAAAUAAAGAUUUUUUCUUAAAAAGAAAAAUUAGACGUAAUUUAAGGCUUACAUAUAUUAAAGAAUUGAAUAUUGACAUUCUUUUACUUUAUUUGAUUUGAAUAUUGAAAAAAAAAAAGAAGAAAAACCAAGAAAUGAUAGGGAGCUAGUGAUGUUUUCUAUAAUUAAAUUGUUUAUUUAGAAUUGCUCCGUAUAACACUAAAUUAUAAUAUCAUGGAAUUAUAAUAUUAUGGUCUAUUGAUAUUGUUUCAUAAUUAUUUUGAUUUCGAUGUUUAUGAGAAAAUACUAGUAUGAAUGCCUAGCUUCACUUGGUUUGCUAUAAUAAUUUUUAAUAUUCAUGUUUGAUAGAACUAAAAUUAAUAAGUUUCAUUUUUUAAAAAACCAUUAUUAAUUUCAAUCACUAAGGACAUUUUUACAAUAACUUUUUUGGGUGAAAAUGAGAAUAGCAAAUAGGACCAUGUUCAAAACCAAGCAUAUCCUCAGUUUCUUCUAAAGCUAGUAUAUCCCUUGAAUGCAAAAUGGAGAUUAACCCAAAAAUUAAGAUUAUAUAGUAUUUAGAACAUGCUUGGUUACUUAUUUCUCCUCCAGAAGAAAUGUUGUGCAAGAAAGAAGUGAUGACAAUUCAUUUUUUCUUUGCUAAGCCAAAGCUUUGUUAUUUUACUUUAUCAAAUUUGUCAAGUAGAAAAAUAUACCUUCAAAGUUCAAACCAAUAACAAUGUAUUUCAAACUAACAAAAUUAUAGAAAUAGUUAUGUUAUUGAUUAGGAUAUAAGAAAACUUUAAUUACUUAGUUAGAAGGUUCAAUACUUUAAGUUUCUUUCGAAAGUAAUAAUGAUCACCGAAUGAAUAAACAACAUGUCUCUGAAGAAUGUCCUCCUCUCCAUCAAUAUAUUUCCUCAUAAAUUGAAGAGAAGAUGCUUAGUUAGAUUCAAACAAAAGAGCCAUAAAUCUAUAAAUGAUACCUGAUAUCAGAAAACAAACUACAAUUUAGCAACACAUUAUAAUUUCCAAACAUGAGUAUAUUUAACAAAUAACUUAUUUAAGACAAAAAAUCGGCCAUGAAGAAUUUCAUAACUUGAAUUCAGUAAUUAAAGAAAUUACAGACUACAUUAUAAUUAUAGCUCCAACCAAUAUAUACAUAAAGUAUGAUCCAUUAACAGUAUCUAUGACUAAAAGUAACAACUUAACACACAAAACCAAAAAUAUGAUUGUCUGAAGCCAUUUGACAUCUAGUUUUAUUGGCCAAAAAAAAAUUUUCAAAAUUAUUUCUUUGUUACAUUUCAACAAAUGUGAAAUAUAAAGGAAAAUAUGCAUUUUACUUCCAGUUAAGUGACAUUAGAAACAAUACCAUAGAUCUUAUGAAAGUUUAUCACCAACUAAAAUUAAAACUGUAUGCAAAACCUCUAAACUAACUUUAGAAUCAACCACCAUAGCAUAAAAAGUAAAAGUAGAUCAUGAAGAGUAGUUUUCAUGCUUUCUUAAAUUCUUUUGCUAGCAUAGAAAUAGAAAAGGAAUGUAUUUUGAUCUUAUUAUUAUUAUUCAAAGACAGAUGGAUGCAUAGAUGACACAAAAUGGCAUCAUGGAGGAAUCAAUCAAAGUGUUGAAGAUCCAUAACUUUUUUUUCAAGAAUUCACCCACCCUUUCACGUGUCUAUAUUAUUUUUCAAAUUUUGUUUCCUUUUUAGUUUUUAUUAACAUAUCAAUUCAUCUUUUUGUAUAUAGGAACUUGAAAUUAUAUGGAUAUAUUUAACUUUUAGGCAACUAAUAAAUUAAAAAAAGAAUAUGACAUAAUAAAGCGCAACAAAAGCCUUGAGGAAGUAGCAAAUUAAGUACCUUUAUUCUUCUUUCUAUGAGUGAAAAAAAAAAAACUCACGGGACAAUUUAAAUUUUGCCAUUGACCUUUACCUUUUUUUUUUCCUUAAUUCACAAAUACUCAAUUUGUUUCCCUACAACUACCAAAUAUUUAUGUAUGAUACUAUUUCUGUUAUUAACAUAGUAAAAUGGAGUUUAAGAUAUGGGUUAAGAGUAAAAUGAUGAACCUAAUGAGACAAUGCAUGGUUGAAAUUCUUUUCAUGCCUCAAAGUCAUAGCUUUUGACUUUUUCAACUAUGUGACCUUUUCUUCAAUCACCUGCAAUGUUACUUCUUUCUCUUUAUUGAAAUACACACAUCCCAUGAAAAGACAAUAAGAAUAUGCUUAACUUAUAUAUUAAUACUUUUCAAAUCAUGAUUUGUUUUUAUCUUAGAAGAUACUAUGAAAAUUGUUAAAGCAACUUUGACAUAUGUAGCAACUGAAACAUUCUCGAAUUGUUAACCACAUUUAUACUCCAAAAAAGAGUGUUAAUGCUAAUAAAAAAAUAAAGAAAAAAUAAAGAAAGAAACAAAUUUGCAUGUUUCAAAUAAUAUUUGAGUAUUUACUGAUGCCAAAAUAAUAAUAAUAAUGUUUUUUAAUGGUUUUUAGCAAAUUUCUAAUUGCAAAAUAGUUUAUACUGCAAUUUGUGUAUUUGUAAUUUGUAUUAAAAAAAUUGCUACAUGUUUUUCUAGAGUAUUUCAAAGCUAUGAAAUUAGAAAAGAGUAAAACAAAAAAAAUUCUUUUUAAACUUCUAUUUUGUUGGUUCCUCAAUCUUGUACAAAAUCUCACUCAACUUAAACAUACACAAAAACAAAAACUCACUAACCUUCAAUUUAAUCCAAACAAUAUUCAAUAAUACUUGCAUAAAAACCAUUAUUUAAAUGAAUAACACAAACCAAUCUACAAAAAAACCUAAUUCAAUUAUCAUUAAUACAACAUACAAUAAAUAUUUUAGAUAAAUAAAAAAAAUGCACAACCACCCUAUGUAUACUCCUUUCUUUCCUUCUCCUCCUCUUUACCCUUAUCCACCUACCUUGAUGAUCCCAUAUAAGUCUUGGCUGUUUAAAUUCAUACAAAAAAUUUCCAAAGUAAAAAACAUAACUAAUGAAAACAAUAAAAACUCAUUUUCAUCCAAGAUGACAAUAUGCAAAAACAAAAUCUUCAAAAAACACACAUUCACAAUAACAUGCAAAACUCCCAAUCACAAACCCCAAAAAUCCAUUCAACAAUGAAACUCCAUUAAAGAAAAUUACAAUGUGUACCAUGAAAACAAUGAUAAUGAAAUCCAAAAUAAAAUAGAAACUCACAUUCAAUGAAAUAAUAAAAGAGAAAAAUAUUUUGUACCAAAAAAUGACUUAAAAAAAAAAGCAAAAACCAAAGCAAAAUGAAAGGAAAAACUCACACAGAAAAAAAAGGCUGUCUUACACACCACAAUAGCUUUACUUAAAACACAAAUAGAAACAACACAAAGAAGAUUCGAAAAUAGGCAAGACUUACACCUAUCAAAUACAGAAGCAACAAAGAAAACAAGUGUCAAAGAAACUACUUCAUCCUCUAACAUAGUCAAACAUAAAACAACAAAAAAAUGAAAUAGAAAUGCCAACCAAUAAAACCCACUUACUAUACAAAAAGAAAAAAAAAAGACACGUGGCAUUUUCAGAUCCCUUCAAGGAUCCUUUUUAUUUAGGUUUAUAAAGAUAAGCAUCUCGUCACCAAGUAUAUUGAGAUUGACUAUUAUUUUAUACAUCAUCAUGUGAAAUAAGAUAUUAUUUUUUUAAUUCAUGCAUCUUAUUUAAAUCGAAUUAUGAUAUUUUUAAAGAUAUAUUUUUUUUGGUUGCUUUCAAAAAUUAAUCUAACGUAUUCAAGUUAUAUCUAAAAUAGAAUAAAAAAGUAUUAAUAUAAGAGAAAUUAUCAAAUAUAUUAAUAGUGAAAAUUUCUAACUUUAUAAGCAGACUUAAGAUAAUGACAUAUGUGGCUUAAUGUAUAUUUAAAAAAUAAAAAAUAAUUUAAAAAAGAAGUUGAACAUAUAUUAUCAUUUUAAUUUUACUUGUGAAGUUAAAGAAUUUUACUAUUAAUGUAUUAAAUAAUUUUUUAAUAUAAUAUUUUAUAAUAUUAUGUAAUUAUGUCAUAAAUAUAAUAUUAAAGAUUAUGAUUUUAUAAUUAAAACAAAACUUGAUUACAAUAUCUUAUCAUAAUUUUCCGUAGUCAGUGAAAGUCCUUCGUAUAAUAAAUAGGACAAGUUUGAAUAAUAUUUUUUCAAAAGAAAAGCCUUUGAUUUAGUUGACUGGAAUGAGGAUUAGAAGACUGUUUGAGAAUUGCAAGCAUAGACCAAGACAAUUUCAGAGACCAUCACAGAAUUAUAUAUAGUCUUUCACUCAUCGGGAAAAUCAAGGAACUCCAGCAAAUAUCAAUGGAUUCGUGUGUUUCAGAACCCGAACCAGCUUCAUCUGAAACUCUCAGCAAGAAGUGUUGCUCUUCAUCAUGUGCUUUACUUCAGUGUAAAUAUCUGAGGAGUUGCCUUCUUCAAUCACCUCUGAUAACUGAUAGUACUACUUGUUUUCUUGUUUAAUGCUCUUAAGAGAGAAAGGAGGGCAAGAGAGAGGCAGGUCCAAGAAGAGGAGAAAAAGAAGGUGAUGAUUGUAGCAGCUUUUUUCUCCCUCUAUUCAAUGAGUAUUGGUUAGUUUGAUCAUAUAAAUUAGCUAUCCUGCUUAUCCAAGUAUUCCAGAUCAGAAGAACCAAGAUGAUCGUGCAAACAGUUUUUUUUUUCUUUAUGUUUUUAUUGUUCCAUUUUCUUUUAAGGAAGACCUUGGAAUAAGCCAUAAUAUGUGCUUAGUUCAACAACUAUUUUUCAGCAAAUUUUGGUGGAUGUUCGUGCAAGCGUUAGUUCAUCUUCUCUUGUUUGCGCAAAUGAGCUCUGCAAUAGUUGGGGUUUAGGUGUUUCUAGUUAGUUAACUAGCUGCUGCUUUUCUUUUUUUUUUUUUUCUGUUUGUAAACUUUGUAGCAGUUCUUCUGCUUUCUUUGAAUCAUUAAUGAAAAUUGAAUUAUCCAAAAAAAAAAAUUACUAAUUGGUUAGUUCAUGCAUUUGCACGUUAGCAUAAUUAGGACAACAGAAUCAGAAGCAACAGGUGACAGAUGAUGAUAACAUGGAUCCUACAGUAGGUUUUACCAAUUUCACUACAUCCUCUGCAGCUAAUGCUCAGCUUCCUUAUGGUAUAAAAGUAUUUAUGGAUGAUAGAUUCUAAAAAUAACCUUUGGUUGCAGCAAUACCUGAAGAACAGAAUAAAAAGCUUGGCACUGCUAAAGGAAUCUGGUUUGAAUCCGUACCUUCAUAAGUUUUUGGUUUCAAUGACUAUCGCUUAAUUUAUCGGCAAAUUCGGAAGCUUGAGCAUAGGUGAACAUGGUAAGAGCGCUGAAAUCUGCUUAGCAGGUAUUCAAGUAACUCAACACAUGAGUUGGCUUUAUUUUUAGGUUUUGUCUCUUAUUUGACUAUUCUGAUCAUGAUUACAAUCUUUUAAGGGAGAAUAAUGAACAAGAGAUCAUCAUCGUCAAAACUAUACUUUUAUGAUCUUUAUGGAAAUUGUGCUAAAAUUCAAGUGAUGGCAGAUGCAAGGUGCAUCUUUUUUUUUUUUUUUUUCUGUCUUGAAUUCCACCAGUGAUCUUCCGAGAUUGGUGUUACUAAGUUUCAAUUUUCGAAGGUCUUGUUGUCAUGGAUAUUGAAAUCAAGCUGCUUAUAAACUUCCUGUUUCAACUCACAUUAUUUGCUGUGGGAGAAUUGAGCUUUUUCUUGAAUUUGAUUCUGCUAGGCAUUCCAACAUGGAUGAAAAUGAGUUCUCUAAGUACAGCUUUGGCGUGAAACGAGGUGACAUAGUAGGGAUCUGUGGUUUCCCCGGUUAGUAUACAUCUAUGUUUAGUAGGAUUGCUCUUUUGUCUAUCGAAAAUUUUUUUUCCAUUGAAACCUACCAUUAACAUUUGGAAGAUUAAUCUGUUUCAUAUUCUGGACCAAAAUAUCAGAUUUUGUGGAAAUUUGAACUGGGAGAGUAUGCUGUAUCUUUAUUUAUUUUAUAAUCGUCUAGUCCCAAUUAAUGAGCUGGUCCAAAACUCCUUACUUAUAUUGAGCUGUUACAUUUGAUCUUAGCAAGCCCUGAAUGCAGAAAUUCAUCUUAAAAUGCUACCGGAAAGAGUCAAAGAGGGGAAUUAAGUAUUUUUCCUAAGUCACUCAUGGUACACACUCCAUGCCUUCACAUGCUACCAAGGAAUACAGUCACCUCCAAUAGUGACGAAGCACAGUCUAAGGUAAAAGCUCAGAAGGAAUUUUUAUGCUCUUUCUGUAUGUUUUUCAAAUGGUAGUUAGAUACUGAUGUCUCUAGAAGAAAACAACCAUGUAUGGACCCCUGGAAUGACAAGAAAUGCAGAAACUUACAUUCUAAUAGAUGAGGAAUGUAAUUCUGCUUUUUCAUUUUUCUUUCCUUGUCAUGUGUUCUCUUGAACUUGGCUUCUACUUUCUACUCCCAUGGUAUGUUUAUUGCUACUAUUUUGCUUUCUAAUGUUUCAAUCACUGACACCAGAUACUUGAAUUUGUCAAGUAAUGUGUCUUUCUUUGAGGCUUGAGCACUUGAUAAUAACUUACUUGAUUUUAGGAAACUCGAUAUCGUCAAUGUUAUCUAGACCUGAUGUUGAACCCGGAGGUUCAGCAAGUAUUCAAGAGCAGGGCCAAAAUGAUUUCUUUUUGCUGAAACUUCCUCAACAAUCGUGGAUUCAUAGGGGUUUGAAGCUAGUGCAGCAUGGUGAACUAACGUCUGAUAACAUGUUUUAAACUUGCCCUGGUGUUUAGUUUACUAUAAAUAUUCUAACCAUCCUCCUCAGGUGGAAUAGAAACUCCUGUGAUGACUAUGACUGUUGGAGGAGCUGCUGCCAGGCCAUUCGUUUCACAUCAUAAUGAAUUGGAUAUGAUGCUCUAUAUGCGUAUUUCCCUAGAACUGUAUCUCAAGAAACUGGUUGUGGGGGGACUUGAUCGUGUUUAUGAAAUUGAGAAAGUAUUUAGGAAUGAGGGAAUGGAUCUAACUCAUCUUCCAGAAUUCGCAAUGUGUGAAUUUUACAUGGCCUAUGCAGAUUAUAAUGACUUGAUGGACCUAACAGAGAAUUUGUUAUCUGGUAAGCUUCCAAUAGCAUUUAAUUCAGCUUGUUUUAUUUCAAACUCACCCCGUAGCACACUUAUUUAACUUGACAGGUGUUUAGUAUAGCCUCCUUGAUUUACUUUAAGCAUUGAUGCAACUGUAACUUUUCUGUUGGAUUUUGUGCAUACAUAUCUGUUAGGCAAGUCUUAAAGAGUGAAUGAUUUGCAAGAUUGUAAAUGUGCAUGUAUGGUGAAGGAGAUGACAGGGAGCCAUAAAAUAAAGUACCAUGCUAAUGGGUUUGACAGCGAACCUAUAGAGAUCGAUUUUACUCCACCUUUUUGGUAACUAAACGUACUAGUAUUUAAUAUCAGAUAGGUUAUCACUGAAAGUAUUAUCAGAUAUUGCUUUGAAGGGUCUAAUUACCAUUGUUUCCCUAACUUCUGUAGAAGGAUGGAUAUGAUAGAGGAGUUGGAGUCUAGGGCAAACCUCAGCAUACCUAAGGAUCUUUCUAGUGAAACUGCUAGUAAGUAUUUGUUGGGAGCUUGUGAAAACUUUGAUGUCCAUGCCCUCCUCCGCACACCAUAACUCGGUUGUUAGACAAGGUCAUUUCUUUCCCUAGUUGAUUAGCAAUUACCUUCUAUACGUAUAACAUCAAUUUUGAGAUUCAUAUAUCUAUUUGUUGCAAUGUCACAUCUGACAGCAAAUCAGAUUCCUGUUAACAUUAUUUAAAACUGCAAUAUAAUGUUAAUAUGUUAAAAUUGAUAAGCAACAGUUGAUUUUAAUUAGAUUUUACGCAAUUGAUUAUUUUCUUUUAGAAAACUGUUUGAAAAUUGUAAAUAAUAAUAAUAAUAAUUAAUUAAGGGCUAGUUUUCAAACGUUUGAUUUUACAGACUUUAUUCAAAGAUAAUGUCUGAUCUGGCCUACCCUCUGUUACUUAUCUUAAAACGUAAAUGCCCACCACUUCGUUCGUCCAUUGUUUUGUUUUUAUAUAUAAAACAGCCUAAACCUGCUUGCCAAGUCGCCAUAUUCUUUCUUUUUGUCCGAUCCCAGAUCUCCCACUUUUCUAUCAGAUAAGAGAGAGGGGAAAAAAUCUCCUUUGAUCACCAUGACACUUCACUCCACGAUUCAAGGUUCGUUUUUCAUAGAUGAAUUAAUUAUCGAAAGUUUCUCUGUUUUGUUUUGUUUUUUUUUUUUUAACUCUUUAUCGCCGUUUGAUCAUAAUUUUGCUCUUAAAUGACAUAAGGAAUAAUGAAUUUGAGUGCCCAAUUUGAUUUAACCAAGCAAUUACCAGUAAUUUUUAAGAAAAUUAAUAGUAACUAGCAAUUCCGUGCUUUUUUUGCUAAAAAGUUAGGAGCUUUACAUAUCAUUUCUGGAUAUUUUGCUCUAUUUAAAAAAAAAGUAAUAAUAAUUUCUAUUAGCUGUUUUCACCUAUGAGAUAUGCUAAGUUUUUGUUUGGUCAAAUAAAUUUCUGGCUUUGAUGUCUCACAGAUGAUGAAACUGACAAAAGUGCCAAGCCUUCUUAUUUUAACUUACCACCUUUGGAUGUUUCGGUUGCAUUCCCUCAAGCUACUCCUGCAUCUACUUUUCCUCCUUCUGGUACGAAUUUUAUUUAUUGUUCUCUGUUUUUAGCUCUGCUGCAUAUUUGUGUUGCUUAUAUUUAUGCAUCUAAACUUGUUCGAAUGUGAGGCAAGCUUGAUUUUUCUUUUUUUUUUUGGUGGAGAACAAUUAUUGGUUCUAGAGUGGUAGAUAGGUUUUUGACGGUUGUUGUUUUUGUUAUCUAAUGGGAAUUCUUGAUUUCUAAUUAUAUGUGUGUUUUUCUCUUGGAAAAAAAUACAGCUUCUGACUAUUAUCAAUUUGAUGAUCUAUUAAGUCCUGAGGAGCAGGCUCUCCGUAAGAAAGUACGAGAGUGUAUGGAAAAAGAAGUAGCUCCUAUAAUGGCAGAGGUAACGUUUUAAUGUUUUUCAUGAACUUUUUUCACAACGUGGAUUGAUGACUGCUAAAUGAUGUGAUUUUUAGGGUUUAAUUAUUUUUUCUUAAUGUAUAUGUUCAAAAUGAAAGCCACUGAUUUGCUAUUUUUCUCUCAGUACUGGGAGAAGGCAGAGUUUCCAUUCCAACUAGUUCCGAAACUUGGUGAUCUCCGUAUUGCUGGUGGUACUAUCAAGGUUAUUACCAUAAGGAUUUUGGUUUUAAAAUUGUUUCUUUCUUGAAGUGGAAAUCAAGUAUGAUGUUUGGUUACUUCUGACUUGCAGGGUUAUGGAUGCCCAGGUCUCUCCCUUACUGGAAGUGCUAUUGCAACUGCAGAGGUUGCUCGAGUUGAUGCAAGCUGUUCAACUUUUAUCUUGGUGCAUUCAUCUCUGGCCAUGCUUACCAUUGGUGGGAUAUAUGAAAUGACUUACAUUUUUCUCUAUAUAUUAUUUCUAAUUGCUGACAUCAUUUUUUUAUGAUUAAUUUUUCUUUAAAAAAAUUAUAUAAAUUAAUUAUGACUUUGCAUAACUUGUUUGGACCAUCAAGAAUAGCAUUAUGCGGGUCAGAGGAACAGAAGCAGAAGUAUUUACCUUCUUUGGCACAGUUAAAAACUAUAGCUUGUUGGGUAGGUUUUUUCUUUUUGGCGUUAACAUCUUGGGAGGUCUUUAGUGUCUUUUUUCCAACUAUAAUUGAAGAAAAUUUUUUAAAAAAUAAUUUUACUAUUAUUUUUAGGCCUUGACUGAACCUGACUAUGGAAGUGACGCUAGUUCUCUGAAGACAAUUGCAACAAAGGUCCACACUCAUCCUUGUAUAUUGGUUUUCACUUGUCUUAUUUUAGUAUAGCUAAUGACAAUCACUAUGCAGCAUUCUAAAUUUUAUGCUGUAUCAUGUUUGCUGUCAUCUCACAGGUAGAGGGAGGUUGGAUUCUUGAGGGGCAAAAACGUUGGAUAGGAAAUGGUACUUUUGCAGAUGUGUUGAUUAUUUUUGCCAGAAAUACCACAACGAACCAGAUAAACGGGUAGGUGAAAUAGCGUAUAAGACAUAGGAUGUAGCAUUUGGUCUUACACAAAACAAUCCAUCUGAUGCUUAAAAGAUAGACAUGCUUGUAUGUUCACUAGAAGCUAAAAAGUAUUAGCAAUCAUAGAAUGAGAACCCAAGAUUGAAUUUAUAUUCUAAACCACCAUAAAGGACUUAAUGAUCCUGAAGAAGUAGAAAUGCUCAGCCCUGAUAAUAAGUUUUAAAAAAUGGUAAGACAUAUAUUCAGAACCUUUUCCUUUACUGAAUUUACCAGUGGUUAGGAUUAUAAAGAACAAAGAUGGAACGAUAUACUACUGGUUGCAAACCUCAAGACUACCAUGGGCAUGAGCCAUAAUUUCCCAAGUUCAUGGAAAUUAUAAGCCAAAAGAAGCUGUAAGAUUGCUAAUAGAAAGGUAGCUAGAUUCAUGGAAUGCUGUUUUUCCUUAAACGUAGAAUGCUUCUACCUUCUGUUUCAGAUAUAUAGUUAAGAAGGAUGCCCCUGGAUUGACAGCUACAAAAAUAGCAAAUAAGAUUGGGUUACGAAUUGUUCAAAAUGGAGAUAUUCUCUUAAAGAAAGUCUUUGUUCCUGAUGAGGACAGGUUACCUGGUGUAAACUCUUUUCAAGAUACAAGCAAGGUUCAUUCUAAUGACCUUCCUCAAAUAAUGAUAUCUCAUCUCAAGUAUUUCUGCUUUCUAAUUGGUUGAUAAUCUCCAGUUAGUGGUUUGAAUUUCACCAUUUAUUUUAUAGUAAUAUUUUUUAAUAUAUCCUGCCGCUAAUAUGAAUUGCCACUAUGAGAGCGCAGGUACUGGCUGUUUCACGAGUAAUAGUUGCAUGGCAACCUAUUGGCAUUUCGAUGGGUGUCUAUGACAUGUGUCAGAGGUAUUGCAAUGGGCGCUGUUCUCCUAUUUGAGCAAUGACAUUUCAAGCUUUCAAGAUGACCUGUUUCUGAAUUUGCUAUGAUGUAGGUAUCUGAAGGAGAGGAAGCAGUUUGGAGCACCAUUGGCAGCCUUCCAAAUUAACCAGCAGAAACUUGCUCUCAUGCUUGGUAAUGUUCAAGCAAUGACCCUUGUUGGUUGGCGCCUUUGCAAAUUAUAUGAGAAGGGUAAAAUGACUCCCGGUCAAGCCAGCUUGGGAAAGGUAUAAACAUUUAAGAUACAUAAGCCCGUGGUUUCAUAUGAGAUUUCAUUCUGACUUCUUAAUCUUGACAAAACUUUUAUGAUCUUCAGUCAUGGAUUACCUUGAAGGCAAGAGAGACAGUUGCUCUUGGACGGGAGUUACUUGGUGGCAAUGGAAUUUUGUCUGAUUUUCUUGUUGCGAAGGUUUGCAUUCUCUGCUCUCAAGUCAAAAUCACUUUUUCACAUUUUCCUGCAAAAGGAUGCCAUUUGACCAGAAUGCAAUUUGGUAAACCUAAUGCAAACCUGAGAUCCAAAAAGUCCAUAGAGUACAAUGAAUAGCUGUUAGAUGUAUGCUUGUAGUGAAUUUGGCACACCUAAGAUUUGUUCCUAAUUGUCAUCCAAUUAGGUUUAUUGAGUAGUAACACGACCUGCGUUUGUUUUUAAAGAAAAAAUUCUUCUAGAAACCAUCGUGAGUUUUCUUGUUUUGGUCGCCAUGCAGGCAUUCUGUGAUUUGGAACCCAUUUACACUUACGAAGGCACUUAUGACAUCAACAGCUUGGUAACUGGUAGAGAAAUCACUGGUUUUGCCAGUUUUAAGCCGGCAGCAAUGAGCCAGCGAAGCCGCCUGUAGUGUAAACUUUCUUCCUGGACUCUGUGGGAGGAGAUUCCUUUAGUGAUGGAAAAAAAAAAUAGUAAGUUCUGUAUAUAGCCCGUUGCACAGUUGUAAUAAAAGAACAGCUUGCUUAAUGCUUAUGCGAAUCAGCCAUAUUAUUUGGGAAUUGAAUAAAUUUAUCGAAGUUACAAAUAUGUAAUAAGCUUCUUUAGAUUUUAAAUCGAGUACAGAUCGUGGUAGGUACCUCUGCUCCUAAGGCAAGUAAAUGCGCAUACAACAACGAAGGGGAAAUCAAAGGUAGAGUUCAAUUCAUCAGCCCGGGGCCAGUGACGACCUUAGUCCUGGCCGAAACUUUCCUGGACCCUAGUCCGUAGCCGUUGAAUACUUUGUCAAGUUGUCAAAAGCACCCCUAAACAAAUAAUUACAAAAGAUGUCAUAUACAAACUAUGCUCUAAAAACUAUCAUGAAUCACUGUUUCAUUCCUUCCUAUAUCUAUCAGCACCUUUUUGCAGCCCCCAAUUCCUAAGCUUAACCAACAACAGUGUCACCGCUGUCAAAAACCCUACAUUCUGCACUGGAUUCAAUGUCUCCAUAACCUUCAUUGCUAUGGUCAUCCUCAGCAAAUCAGCGGCUGCUACCACUUCCUCCACCGCGUUCCUCAAGAUGACCAGUGCUGCCUCCUCUUCUGCAUUCUCUAUAUUCAUCAGUCGUGCUCGUUUCCUGGCUAUCUCAAUCAAAGGCGGAGCAGCAAUGCUCUCUUGAACCCUCGCCAACUCGUCAUUAAGCGCCCUUUCUUCAUAUCUUGUCUCCUCGAUCAGUUUCUUUAUUCUUUCGCUUUGGUCUUGAGAUAGGUCAUGCACGGAGUUACAAACAAGCUUCAAUACAAAACCAGGCUUGAAACCUGAUAUCCAAAGCUAGGCACGCUCAAAGGAACAGAGCCAGUUUGGAGAAAGAACAAGGAAAAUAUUGCGCUUUGCUACUCGAGAUUUUUCUUCAAAGUACUGUUGGUAGUGGGAGAGUACUCGGGUGAUGAGGUCCUUGAGAUCAUCUUCUUGGGAUUCAUGACCACGUUGUUGAACAGAUAGUAGCUCGUCGAGGUACUGCUCUUGGCGCCCUAGCCAACCCUCGAAGAAUGUAUCAAAGGAGCCAGCAUUUUUCUUAGUGCCGGCGUUGGUUCCCGGAGUCAUAGCAGGCAAGUAAGCCAACAACAGGAAGAUAAAGAAAUAUCAAUAAAGAGAAGAGAAAAAAGUGAUAGGCGUGAAAAAGAAUAAAUAAAAGUGUUGUUUAUAUAGCAGGUGAUUCUGAAAGGUGGUUGUAGGAUUGAAGUAGGAUCAGAGUUUUUAUUGCUUGGUAGGAAAGAAUUCUCCUCUUUCGCCUAGAGAUGGUGCUUCAGGGUUCACGGGAGACGUGUAUUUUUGGCGUGAGAUAGAGAUAAAGAAGGCAGGGCCUAUAUUUAUUAUUAUUAUUAUUAUUGCAGUCUUGCUGUCUUGAAGUUUGUUAGAGUAGGAAAAGAGGGGAUGAAUAGAGGCGAUCUUUGGUGUUAAAGGCAACCGACACAACAGACAAAUUGAGAGGGCAAAAGAGGAGGCACUGGGUGAGAGAUUUGAUGAGUGUUGGAAGAGACAGGUUCGGUGAGUUUUGUCGUCAAGUGAGGAUGUUUAAGGAGCACUUUUUGCACAUGCUGAAAUUAGAAUUCAUGUGAACUGGUUACUAACCAUGGGAAGGUGAACAUGGAAAACCAAAGGACAGUUUUGUUUGAUGCGUAGUGGGAUUUGGCUGUAGCAGCCUUCCAGUUGCUUCAACGAGAAGAAAGACACGUUGUUGAAGCUGCAUACUUGAGGAACAAGAAGCCAAGCAAGUAGAUGCCCAACUCAUUACUCUGAUUUUUUACUCCUUUUUCUUUUUCCUUUUCAUAUGUGAAUGAAAGCCAAGGGAGGAGUUUGCUUGGGUUCUCGGGGUUCAAAGCUGGAUGGAACAGUACAGCGGCAAACGGAGCUUAAGGAGUUUUUGUUUCAUUUAUCACUUAAAUCAGAAAAUGGCUGUGGUUCCGUUGCUUCCAGGUCGAUGGUUGACUAGACAUCCACUGAAUUUACUCGACGAUAAUCCAAAUUGCUGGCUCCAUGCUACAUUUCGAGACCUUUUCGUCUUGUAAUAAAAGCCAAUAAGUAGACUGUUUGUGUUAAAUAGUAUAAAUAUUUAGCAGUAAUUCUUAAAUAAUAAAUUUUAAAUACAUCAGAAAUUUUCAAUUUGUAUCCUUUUUUUUUUUUUAAAUGAUUCGCUGAAUCCACAAUUGACAGAAGGCCAUAGUAGUUUACAACAGGCCACACAAGCGAGGCCUAGAACAGAAUUGCCUUCCAUUAGCUUUGACCAAAGCCAUAACUCCAGCAGUCACUCCAGCCCAGAAAACAGAAGAGACAUAAUGUUGUGCGCUUCGACCAGCUACAGAAGUUAAAGGAAAUAGUUUUGACACUUUUUAGUCACCACAGCAAUUCAAAAAUGUGUACAACCUUGUUUUGUUAAUCACAAUUCCAAACUAAUAGAGAAGUGAUACCUUGCUGAAUUGUGAAGGUUGUCAAUGUCAAACCUCCUACUAGCAAAGCUGAUGCCACAGGAAGAUACUGCAAAAUUUCAAGGUAUAAUAAUGAAAAAUAACCAUCCAAGAAGCAAUCUACAAAUAACAGAGAAGGGCAAGUCCUAAAGAUUCUUUGACAUGAAUAUUUAAUUAAACGCCAAUGGAAAUAUGAUGAUACAUACAGAAAAAGAUUCGAAACUAUUUAGCUGGAAUGGUGAAGGGUUGUUUCUGCUGACAGUAUAGCGACCACUUACAAGAUCCAAUGCAUCCUGAAAAACAUGAAACUUGUUUGAUAGAAUUUUCAAACAAUUUUAUUAUUUACAGUUAGGUCUCUCUCAUUUCAUUGAUUGACAAAGCUUAAGAGGCAGCUUACCUGCCGAAUUCCAUCGUGAAAAUUGUUCAAAUAGUAUCUUGAUACUGCACUCAUCCCAUCUUUGAUGAGUCCAGCUACUGUCUGUUUGCCAUAUCUGCAGAAUUAUUGUCAUCCAAAAACAAUCACAUAUUGGAUACGAAUAGAUACAUAUUCUUUUCAGAAAUUGACUCCCAAAUUCAUAUACCUAACAAGGUCCCCUUUCAGUGCAUGAGUCCCAGCAUAUUCAAGACUUAUCUCAUCGCCUUGCUCAGCCCACACUAGCAUAAGUGAGACAAGUGAGACAAGUAUUUAGCAUGAAUAAAAAGACAUUAUUAACUCAUAAAUUAAGAUGGAAAAUCAGCAAUGUAUGCAAAAUAACAUACGCGUUCUGAACUUUCCAUAAUCUUCAGCAAACAAUGGAAUGCACUCAGUAGACGUAAAUACCCCAAGCCUUUGCAAUUGGAUAUUUAAAGACUUCCGAGCAAGGUAACUCUAUUUAACAGAAUAAAUAAACAAACAAUAAAAAACAGAGCUUAAAAGAUCCUUUGAAGUAUUAUAGAAAUUAGAGCAUAUAAAGAUUAGCUGGUCAACAUGGAUAUUUUCAACUUCAAGCAGUUUAUAUCAUAACAAAGAAAAACACGAGUAUAUUUUCCACAAACCUGGGUCACAUUUGUUCGAUCAAGGCAAUCAAUGCAGUUAGAUCUAAUAAUGCCUUUUUGCUCCUCCAGGAUGUUGCCAUCUGUGUCUAUGAGAAAGUAUCUGCUCAGCUGGAAUAGUGAUAGUUAAAAAAAGUACUCUGGAUAGAUAGCACCAGGAUCAUGGCAUACUUUCAGGAUACAUAUUAUGUUAUACAUUAUAUUUGUUCUUCUUACCCUUGCUUUUCAAAAUCCUCAGAGAUUUGAUCAUAUAGAACUCCAAGGUUAUCAAAGUUUGAGUUCCCACAAACAUGAUGAAAGUCAAAUGAUACAUAUCUGCAGGACAGACAUGCAAAAGAUUAAGCUGUAACAAUCAAAGUUCCCUUAUUGGCUCUUCAGUUCCUGAAGGAAGCAAAUGAUCUUAAUUUAGGAAACAUGUGUAUCGCUUUCCAUAGAAUGCAAUUGACAUCAAGGGCAGAAAGAAGUUGCCUAAAAAGAAGGGCAAAGGUGGGGGGGGGGGGGGGGGGGGGGUGGGGCGCUUCACCAAGCUAUGUACCAUCAAAAGUAUACCAAGUGAAAGAAUCUUACAACAACAACAACAAACUAAGCAUUAUAUCCCAUAACUCUAGUGUCGAAUAUAUGUGAGGCUAAAAAAAGGAAUUAUGUUAGGUCAUAGUUUUGAAUCUUCUUGCACCACUCAUUUCUAUUAAAAAAAAAAAAAAACUGCUCAUCUACUUUCUUAACCCUCAUAUAAUUUCUUAUUACUUGCAUCCACAUCUUUUGUGGUCUACCUCUAGAAGUUUUGAUCUCUCCCAAAUCCAAAAGCUCAUUUCUCCUAACUGGUGCACAAAUAGACCUACGUUUCACAUGUCCAAACCAUUUCAAAUGACCUUUUCUCAUCUUUUCUUCAAUUCAGACUACACCUAAUUUUCAUCAAAUCUAUUCAUUUUUUAUUUUGUCUCUUCUAAUCUUACCACACAUCCAUCUAAGCAUUCUCCUCUUAGCUACACUCAUUUUUUUCUCACGUUGUUAAACUAAGUGAAAGAAUCUUCACAAUAAAAAAAUAGCUAAACUGAUACUCAAAGAAUCAAUGUUUAUUCAUGGAAAAUCAUGCUAAGGAAAGAUCAAAAAGGACAGCCAACAGUUAUCUAGAAGUAGCAACAAGCCAACAACUAAAAAAAAUCCUUUGCAAACUAAUAUAUUUAAAUACAUAGGAAUGUAGAAUGUCACCUAACAUUUGGAAGCUUUUGCAUCUCAGCUGAAUAUGCAGCACUUAGUUGACCUUCAUCACCAUGCUAAAAUAUCAAAAUAAAUGAAAGAUGAAAUAUUUGCUACUCAGGAGUACAAUGAAAUAUUGGAGCUUUACAUUAGACCUGGCAAUUCGUGUAUUUGUGUCGUGUAAAAAAUGGGAGCAUAUCACCUAAAAUACCUUUUACUAAAAUCCUACAAUUAUCCAAUCACAAUAAAGAAUUAUAUAGGGGUUCAUCUAUAAGUGUGGAUUCCACAUAAAAUUUUGAUAGAUCCCACACAAUUCUAAAUUGUGAUUGGUUAAUUGUACUACAAUGAUUAUAGAUGAAAUGCUCCCAUAAAAUACUAGCAAUUCAUGUAUUUGUGUCGUGUUUUACACGAAAAUUAUGUGUCACAAUUCGUGCUGACACGAAAACGUGAAAAACAUUUCUUUUAUUUUGUUAGGCCCAUAUAUAAUUUUUGCUAAAAUUUUAAACCAUGUUACAUUCGUUUCUUUUUUCAUAUCAUUUUCAUCUCAUAUCCCCGUAUCAUGUUUUACAUUGCCAGGUCUACUUUGCAUAAAAGAGUCAAAGCUUGUGUACAAAGUCAGUAAAUAGUAUAAAACUUCGCAGUCUGCUAUGCAUUUGAAACCAGCCAGGAAAAAUAAGUGGAUUAGCUUGCAAUUAUAUCCAGCAGCUCUUAACAACAAUUUUCCAAACAAGAUAUAUAAAGCCAUUUGCAAUCUCAUGCUCGAUUUUUGCUAGACAAUAAAGAGAAGAGAGAACAAGCACUUACUUUUUCUGUCAGAUCCAGUGCUAUAGUUUCUCCAUAUCUUUGAAAAAGAUCAUGGAAAUGGCGCUCCACAACUUGUGGCUGAAUGAAGAGUUGAAAGUGCAAUGUUAAAUCAUAAGCACCACUGUUCAGUGAGAAUGAUAAAAAAAGAAAAUGCUGUAUUUUCAAGAAAAAAUAUACUGUGUGCUCAUGGUUAAUAAUUCUAAGUCGUGGUUUAUAGCUUAAAUCAACAAUCUGCUCCCAAAGCAGUGGAAUAGAGCCUCGUAUCUGAGAUGGAAAAAAGCAAAUAACUUUACAAGUUGAAACAAAUCACUUUUUCUCCAUUGGUUAGAAAAAUAGAUUUCAUCAAAACAGAAAAUGAAAUAGCGAUGAGUUUUUCUGAAGUCACAAAGGACAGUAGACAUACCUGCAAUAAUGAACACCUGAAACCUUCAAGCUCCAACAACUGCUCGGUUUCAAUAAAGUUAGCAGUGUCUCCUUCCAGGUUUGCUCCCCUCCUCCACAUACGUGUCCCUGUGAUACCAUAUGACUGUAUUUUAAGGCUGCUCAGGUAUAGCAUCAUUCAUAAUUAAAAGCAUAGUUCAUCCAAAAACAUUUUACCUAGGCGCCGUGUACACCUCCUUGAAAGUAAUGUACAUGUGGUAGGUGAAUUCUUCAACUCUAGCUGAGCCAUUUGGAAACUUAAACCUAGGUUAAGUGGAAACAGCAAAAUAGGUUUUCAAAGGAAAUAUAAAAUAAAAUAAAGUCCUCAUGAAUAUACAUGAUAGGUACAAAGACUCAUCUCCUCAUUAGAUAUACAUGCAUAUGCACAAGCCACUCACUCGCAAAUCAGUUCAAAAGCAUGAGUAAACAGAAUUUUAAGGAUAUUUCCUUGUAGGAGAGGGAUAAUGAACUCGUCAAGCUGCCACAGCAAAAGUAAUUGUGUCAAAAAGGUGGAGAAAAGAAAGAGAUAUAGCAAUUUCAUGAUACGGUUGGAAAAGUUCACAUCACUUAUCAACAUUUUAGAGUUUUUCUUUCUUAGGACAAUAGUAGAAGUCACUUUGGUAUGGUUAACAAUGAAAUACUAACAACAUAAGAAGCUAAUAAUGUUAUAAUAUACAACGGGAAAAUAUCUAACCUUAUACUCAAUAAGUUCCUCCAAAAGAUGUUUAUUCCAAACAAAUCGAGGAUCAGCCUGAAAUACACGGAAAAUUGAAGUUAAAAAUCAUUUGCAUGUAUUGAAUAGCUAUAUGUUGUACUAUAUUUUACAUACAAGGUAAAAUUCCAUGCAGCCAAUAGUCAGCCUCCUACCAUGAGAAUAGUAAUCAUUUUUUCAGAACAGGAACUCAUUUUUGAAUCAUGAAAUUAAUAAUGGGCAAGUGAAUAUUUAUGCAUAAAAUAAAAGGAAAAGAACUCCCUCUUUUUUUUCUUAUCUUCUUCCUGAACUAGUUCAGAAAGAGAAAAUUGCAUAAAAAUGAGAUUAAGGUAGUUUGAGUGUUUGACUUGAACAGCAAAGAAUCUCCAGAAACUAGCAGCUAUAAAGAGUAAGCAUAUGAACCAUAUUCACGUGUUAAACAGCAAGACCUCACUUUGUAACAUUAACAAACCGAUAUCCACAGCCAGAAGAUUUAAAAAAACACCAGAAGUGGAUUUUUUUUAAAUUAAAAAAGUUUAACAAGCUUUCCACGAUGGUCCAAGUAUGGUAAAUAACCUGCUUCCAUAUUGGUUUGCUCAUCCACCCUUCCAUUAACUUGCAUCUUCUCUGCAAGCUGGUCCACACGAUCAAAUGCAUCUUAUAAACUUAAUACUUGAAAAACAUUCGUUACAUAACAAUUAAAACUCAGUGACCAUGUGGCUAACAGUGGUUUUCUACUUAAAAGCAUAUUGCAAGGGAAAAGAAUUUACUUCAAUGUUAUAUCUGUUUCAUAUGAAUAGUACAAUCCCGGAGUUGCUUCGACUGUUUUCAACAGAGUCAUGAAGUAAGCCUCAUCUCUUUUCUGCUCAAAAUAAAGCAUUACUUGUUUUGAUAUAGAAGGGUCAAACAAUAAGCAUCACAAUAGAUCAAACAUUUUAAAGACACGAAAAGGAAUCUUACUUCUUGAGAGUUGGAAAACCUCAAAGCCUCAUUGCAAGCCAGGAAUUUCAUAGACUCAACUCGGUACACAGGGAAACCUAGAAAACUUCCAACUUCCUUUCUCGAAGUUAUUACAAGCAAAUAUGUUCCUGUAUAAAGUGCAAGAAGAAUUUAUGACAACUGACUUCAGUUUUAUAAGAUACUAACACAAAAACAAAAAAAAGGUAAAUACUUUCAUUAAAUUUGGAUAAUAUUGUACCUGCGAGCAAUCUAAUGGUUCCAGCCACGCCAUAAAUGGCAGAGGUUUUGGAUGGUUUUUCAGAAGAAGAUGCAUCUGCAAAAACUUUAAAGUAUAUUAAACUCUCCAAUCCAAGUUAUGGAAAGUAAAUAUAAAAUGAAAUAUCGCUUUUAAUUAACCAUGGUUAAAAAAUUAAUCAUUUAUAUCCUGACGCAGAAAAUAGUUUAAUAACUCAUUUCAUUUACUCCAAAGAUUUCAUUCCCAAAUGCUAAUAUUUACAUUAUUGGUAAUUGAUAUUAUAAAAAAAAUUCAUUAUUCAAAAAUGGCGCGAUCAGGAUUCUUAAAGUAGAAGCCAUUCCAAACAAAGCUUAGAAUUUCAGCAAGGAAAAGGGAAAAAAAAAAAAAAAAACUUGCCAGAUAGUGUCUCGAUGUUUCCUUCACGACGGGAAAUCGAGAAGCCUUGAUCGGGAGAUUCGAGGGAUUUGACCACGAACUUAUCUUGAUAUUCCAGCAAUUCUAGUUGAUCGUAGAGCUUGAAAAUUUUAUCUGAAGAAGAUCCGAUUUCCAUCUUCAACAAGUAAUUGCUUUAAUUAUUCUUUUGGGCAAAUAUCAAUGAAUCGUUGAUGGGUUGAGGAUGAUGAUCAAGAAAUGAAGAGAUGUCAUAACAACCGAUUUGACCAACGAAUAAACAGAACAUUCGAUUUUUUACUUCUAAAACCAGCAUACUUUCUGGAAAAUGACAUUAGUAACCCUCAUUGAUCAGCGCAAACUGUAAUGUAAUUUUUUUUAAAAUUACAAUUAAAUAAUUAAAUAUUACCGACACAAUCACUAAAUUAUCAAACAAAUAAAUUAUUCAAUAAAUUAAAAUAUAAUUAUUUAAAUUUAAGAUAAAAUUAAAUUAAAAUCUUACAUAAUAAAAUUUUAAUAUUCGAAAACUUUCUUUUUAUCAUUAAGUCAAAAUUUUAUUGGCAACUUAAAUGUAGUGCUGGGAUUACUAUGGUAGUGGAUUACUAUAAUUUCCUAAUAAUUAAGGUUGUUUUGUCUGGAAAGAUCUGUGGCUUGACGUGGGGGCAAUGAUAAGGUAGUCGUAGCUAUACAAAGGAAUUUAGUAAGGGACCCGAAUAUGAUGAUUUAUUCUACUUCAACUUGUUAAGACUUAUAUUUAAUUGUAAAAUUUAAUAGUAUAUCAUUUCUAUUCAUUUUUAGCCACAAAAAAGAUAUGAGAAAUUGUUUUAUGACAAAUGGUAUGAGAAAGAUUUAUUUUCAAUUAAAUAGUGUCAAUGAAAUACAUAGAUUUGUCUUUGUUUAUAUAUAUAUUUUGGUAAAAAAAAUAUAAAGGUAGAUAAAUUUUUUAAUUUUUUAAAUUAGGAUAAAAUGUACGUGUAUUCGAAAUAAUCUUAAUAAAUAAUUAUCGAUAAAAUUCGAAUCUAAAAUUUUUUUAUCAAAAUAAAAUAAAUUUUAAUCAAUUAAAUCAAUCACUUGAUAAUAUAUAUAUAUAUAUAUUUAUAUACUUUAAAAAAUGUCAAUAGUUCUAUCAAAAUCAACAUAUUCUAAUAGAUGUUCAUGUUAUCAUGUUAACAUAUUUUAACAAUUUGAUACUUUCACAUUAUUUAUCAAUUAUAAAUACUUUACUACUUUGAUACUAAUCAUUGUUCUAUUUUUAAUCAGAAUACUAAUCAUUGUUCCACAUUCUAUAUAUUCUUUCUUCCGUUCUCUUUUUCCAGAUUAAUUCUUAAAACCGCAACCUUUUCUUCCACCUAAAUCUUAACACAUACUCCGAGGAGAUAAGCCUUCAUGCAUGUCCAUGGGCCGAAAUAGGGCCCAAAAAGUGGGUCCCUUAAUCCGGUCUGAGUCCCCUGCCUUGGGGUUGGACUUGAUCUUAGCCACAAGGCCGACAAAGGCCUGUUUCUCUUUUGGUUGUAUUAUCUUGUUUAUAUUGACACAGCAAUCACAAUUUAGAAGCAGAACUGAUGGGCCAACCGAGCAUGUCCUAUUUCAUCCCAUACUUUUUAUGAGAAAGUUCCCAUAGGACCAAAGCGCCAUGUAAUUCAUAACCUACACUUGAGAAAGGACACCAGGGGGAAUCAGAAAUGGAUUCAACAGAGGAUCAUGCAGAGAAUUUGCACUACAAUAGAUAAUGAUCCAGUGAUUGCUCCCAGGUUAUAAUAAUUGAUGAAACGUACAACUUAAAUUUAAGAUCCACAAUCUAUCAACGCAUAACCUGUAACUACAUGCAGUCUUACAAUCUGAUAACUGCUUCAAGGGAAGCUCAAAACCCACUACUUUUUAAACAAACCAGCAAGCUCACCCUUUUCAUACAUCGAGGUCAGGAUAUCACACCCUCCAACCAGUUCUCCAUUCACAAAAACUUGGGGGAAUGUGGGCCAGUUACUAUACUGCUUGAGUGUCUCCCUCAAUCCAGAAUUAUAUUCUUCAUCAAGCACAUCAACACUCUCAUAAUCCACUCCUUGGCUUUCAAGAAUGGCAAUCACUCUCUGAGAGAAUCCACACAUCGGGGCGCUUCUUGAUCCCUUAAUAAAGGCCACUACCUUGUUCUCCUUCACCAACUUAUCAAUGAGUUCCUCAAGUGGAACAGUCAAUUGGACAUGUUGACCAGGAGUAAGUCGGAGAUCUGCCUUCUUUUUUGGAGGCUGCCGAACCCAUGUGGUGUUCCCUGAUUCAUUUCCUGGAGGGACCUUUCCGGUGGUUUGUAUAUGUUCUUCCAUCCAUGACUUCCAAGCUUGAGUUAAAGCAGCUUUAUCAGGUUCAUUGACUACACUAACCUACAGAACGCUUAAAUUGACAUAAUAAAUAUCAGGCAAGUAAUAACUCUUUGAUUGUCUUCACUAGUAUCAACAAAGACACUAGCAGUUUUACCAUAACAUGAACUCUGAACAAAGUGGAUUAAGAAAAACGGCUAAACAAUAACCAAGCCAGGUUGACUUGGCUCAUCCAUCCAUGCCAAUGCCAAUUUGGUGUAUUUGAAUUCAGCUUGCUUGGUAAGAAUUGAAGCAUGUUCUUUAUUCAAAACUCUUGGAUGGUUGAUGAUGAAAUUUCUCAACCUACAAUUUGUAUACACCCACCUUGGUGGUACAUCAUUUGAGUUCCAAUUCAGUUUAGUCAUUGUCUAAUUGAUUUUCUAUGACGAAUUACACUGUGAUAAAGAUCAUUCACCUUAAAUGUCUGGUCAUUAAGCAAUCAAUUCUAGCACAUCCGAUAAUACCAGGCUACCAAAAUCAGUUUUGAGAUAUCAAGCCCGAUCCAAUGACAAAUAGCUAUUAGCCUUUUCGCAAAUAAACAGUAGAAUAAAACAAUCAAAUUUUUGAAUUUUAGUUACUAACAUUUUAUUCUUUUAAAUUUCUCUAAAGUUGUUAAAAUUGAGAAUAAGUCAAAGCAGGUGUUAAAGAUUGUUUCAGUUAAAGUUAUUUUACAGAAUAGGUGAUAAGAUUGAUUCAGUGAAUGUUAAUUUACGAAACAACUAUUCAAGGAACAAUUCCUUCAUGAAACAAAUGUUCUCAGAACAACUUCCUCAAUGAACAAAAGUAACACCUUUACUAAAAACUCUUGAAACACAAGUUGCUUUCCUAAGAGUUAUUCCACGAAAGAUAUUUCACCGGAUAUUACUUCAUUGAAAGAAGAAGUGAAAGUAACCUAAGAAUAUGGCAGGGUUCUUGGGUUAAUUCCACUAUUGAGAUGUUCCGAAAAAUUGUGGUGAAUCAGAUAUGGACAAAAUAGAGCUAAAAAUAUAUGUAAAUCUAAUUCAGCAUCAAAAUCUUGUACAAAACUUGGCACUUGGCAGACUUAAGACUAUUUAAAUUCAAUGAAUUUAUGGAUUUGGGGUUCCCUCAAGAAAACAAAAAGAAACCCAAAUUUUGUUUAAAUCGGAAACUUUAAAAAAUUUGACAAUUUCCAAGCAUUCAAUUUUACAAUCUUUAUUCUGUUAAAAUCCCAUUAAACUCGAAACUUCAAGCAUCACAUUGGUUCAAAAAUCCCCAUCCAUCAGCUCAGCUCGGUCAAUUAUUUCCGGUCACGUCUUAUUUAUUUCUUUCACUUUUUAAUUAAAUGUCUUGCAUUGAUUUACUCGUAAAUUCUUAAACUCAACAAUCAACAUCCCUAGAAACAAUAAUAAUUAUAAAAGCAAUAUUAUUAAAUGUACCUUAACGGAGCAGCAAAGCUCCGGCACUGAUUUUUUAUGAGUAAAAAGGCUGCCACCAAUGUUACGCGAGAUGCCGAUAAAUUGAAGCUCGUCGUUUCGAUCAAAGACAGCGUAGACUCCGGCAUCGGAUGGCAAUUUCGAGGUGAAUUCCUCGGGUGUGACCGGGAAAGGAACCGGUUCGACCUCCGAGAGGUUCUUGAUAGCUGAAGCGAUGAUUAAACAGCGAGGUUUUAUCGAGGUGUGGGGUCUUAGAGAAAUGGAAGGGAAAGAAAGAGAAGGGCCGAAGCGUGAAUAGAAGGAAAAGAUAGGUGUAUUUUGGGGAGUAUAAAAGGAGUGUCUAGGAAUUGAAGAAGAAGAGAUGGAGAGUGGAGAGACAUUGAUUGCGGCCAUUAGGAGGAACUGGUUUUGGAACAAAGCCAGAGAGGCUGUCCGAGAACGGGAUGUUUCACUUCUGUUUGGAAGUUGGAACUCGAAGGACAAAGAUUUUUCCGAUUUCCAAUUAUUAUUUUUUUCAUUUUGUUGGAAUGAAAUGGGCUUAGCUUUAAUUACCCAACUGACUUACAACUGAGUGUGGGCUCUGAUGCAAAAGCCCUUUCAGAAAUUCAUAUUUAGCCAUGUUGGAAUACUAUAAGAAGUAGUAAAAGCUUUAAAAAAAAAAAUAAUGUCAUUAUUUACCUUUAUACUAUAAUAAAAUAUUUAAUAUAAUAUCUUAAUUCUAAAAUAUUUUAAUAUAAUAUUUAAACUGUAAAUUAAUUAAUAUAUAUAUAAUUAUUUAUUUAUUACAUAUCAUAAUUUUAAAUUAAUUACAUCAAAAAUAUUAUUAUAUUAAUUAAUAGAUUCAUAAAUUAUAUAUUAUAUUAAAAAUUUUUAAAAUUUAAAUAUUAUAUUUUAUUAUAAUUUAAAAUUAUCCAUAAUAUUAACCCAAUAAAAAAAAUAUAUUACCGAACAAUGAAACAUGCACUUAAUCUUCCAACCAAAAUCCUGCCCAACCCAAAAAAUUUGUAAAAAAAUAAGAUAAAAUAAAUCCCCCACUCCCGCCCCCUAGAAAAAAAAACUCAUUCAACAAUUUUGCUAAGGUAAGGACGAUGGAUAUGACGUGUUAGUUCCUUGCUUUCUCUAACAGAAAUUAUUUUUGAAACGUCAAUAUAUUUGGCUAAGACCUGUCUAAUUCAUGAGAAUUUUAUGAUCAUUUGAAAAAGUGAGCAAGACAAAUAAAUUAUUUAUGCCUUCAUUCACCAAUCACAGCAUCAAUGCAAUUUCUUUUUUUUUUUUUUUUUAAUUUUUAUCAGAAUUUCACCAAAUUGGUUUUUUCACAACCACUACGGCAUUAUUGCCUUGCAACUUGCAAUAGCAAGUUGUAUGAUAAUAUUUCCUUAACCAUACUUAACGCUUUUCUUCAAAAUUCCGAAUGCACCCAACUCUCCUGUUCAAAAAAAAAAAAAAAAAAAACCAAUGGAACAUGUUGUCACUCAAUGUCGCGAGACAAAUUCUCCAUUUUUAGGACUGUUGUCAUUCAUGAUGUACAUGUAACGUAAAAUACCUGAAUUGGUUUAAUUCAUUUUCAAGCGACAGAGUCAUCUUUGAAAUCACCCAAAAUCUAAUUUUCAAGCGAUAUUAACAUCCACAGCCUGAAAAUUACCUAAGCAGAUGUCGAAGCUUGCUGGUUUACUCUAUGAUUUCUUUUUUCUAUGUGUUCUUCGUCGAUAACGAUACGAGGACCUUUGAUAUGUGAAAAUUUUAAUGCAUUUCAAUGGAUUCUUGGAAGAUCGGAUGAUCCAUUUAGGUUUAUCUUGAUGAUGAAGCAAUUGCAUUUUUGCAUUGGUUUUUGUGUCGAGAUCAAACAGUAAAAUCUGGGGUCGGAAGAAUUGAAAAUAGUUGCAUUUGAAGACGCAAUCAAGAUGGCAAAUUCUGUAUUAUUUUCCAGCUAAAAGCUGCGGUCCAUUAUUUGUUCUGCAAACCAUUAUUUUCCCAAACAGCUAAGCAUCUACAGCUCCAUGAUUUACCAGCUAAUGAACAGAUAUGGGAUUUUUUUUGUGUUGGGGGAGAUUUAGUGGUAAAAAAGGUAUUGUGAUUUUUUUUUGUUAUUAAAAGUUAUCAACAAAUAACUAGAGACAUUUUAGACAUUUAAGCUGUCCUGACUUGAAAUGUUUAAUGUCACGUCAAUUUGAUUACGUUAAUGUUAUUCUCCGUUGGUCCCUUACCUUUUACCUAUAAAUAUAAACAUCUAAGUAUUAUCAUUGGAAGCUCCAUCUUGUUUUAAUCCUUUAUAUUUUUCUCUUUCCAAUCUAUUUUAUUUUAAUCUCUGACUUGCGCAUUAAAAUGUAAACACAAGAAACACUUCCUACCUUUAUAUCUAACCGCUUUCUUCCUUCUCUUGUUCUCCUAAGAAUACCCGCAGGUUGAAAUUCGACAUAAACAUUCCCGCACUAGGUAGGGGUUUUUUCCAUUUAUCAGUUGAGCCAAAAGUUAUGCCGCCUAAGAAAAGAGUUUUUGAGGAAAGGGAGACGGCCAUCCCGGUCAGAAUGGAAAUGCAUAACAGUUAGCACACUUGCUUUAACGUAAGUUGGUCUAACCAUGGAGCAAUUCCAAGCUCUAACCGAGCAAAUACAAGCCCUCAAGCAAAUGCUACAAACAAUAAUCCCACCUCAGGCUUCAAAGGUAUCCGAUCUAGUCACCCCCGGUCAACAAGCUGUAGAAAGGCAAUCAAGCUAUGAAGAGGUAGAAACUUCCUAUACUUUAAAGGAAGAAGAGCAUGAUGUUUUGCCCAUUCACCGUUACCUUAGCCACAACUCAACACAUGCCACAACCCAAAAAUAAAAACAAACCAAUUUGGAACCCCAAUCGAGCAAGACCUGGAAGCUCAAAUGCAAGCUAUAGAGAAAGAAUUGAAAGGCACGGUGGUAACUUUCGAGGACGAGCUUAAGUUCUUGGAGACCUUGCCUUUCACUAAAGAAAUUGACAGAGCUAUGCCCCCAAAGAGGUUUAAAAUACUAACUUUGAAAAUUUAUGAUGAUACAUUUGACCUCUUUGACCAUUUAGAGCUUUAUAAACCUAAUAUGAUGGCGUAUGGUACAGAUGAAACUCUAAUGUGUAAGGGCUUGGCUACUACCCUUAAAAGUGCAACUCAAUAUUGGUAUAGCAGCUUAAAGCUAAGGUUAAUCAUGAUAUUUAAAGAGCUUAGUCACUCUUUUCUAUCUCGAUUUAUAAGUAGCUAAAGAACAAAGAAAAAAAACCUUGAGCAACCUAUCAAUUCAUCAAGGUAGAAAUGAAUCUUUGAAAAAUUAUGUUACACAUUUUAAUACGAAAACUUUACAGUUGAAAAACCUAAAGCAACUGAUCGUUGUAGUGGCCCUAACAAGUGGACUCAAUGAUAGAAAGUACAACCUCAAGUUGACCAUGUCUUUAGAGCCACCCAAAAUGUUGGUCGAUGUCCUGUUUUUAUUCGAUAAAGAUAUAAAUAUUGAAGCUACAAUGAGAAAUAACCUAGGUGAGAUAGGCUUAUCCCUCCUCCUCGAUAGUCGAGGUGAGAAAGGCUCAUAUCCCCUCCUCGAUCAUAAAAAAGUAAGACUUUCUAUGAUCUUCCACUAAGAAAAAGAUAACAUUAGGCUAAAAGCCCCAAUUGAGAGAGAAACUACACUGUAUUGAAUACCUCUCAAGAGAGGAUUUUAAUGCAAAUCAAAAGAAAUCCAAAGCUCAGGGGGUUUAAGCCACUUAGGCAAAACACAAAGAGGGAUUCAACCAAAAGAUGUACCUUCUAUAGAGAUAUAGGCCAUAACACUGAGGACUGUGUCAACCUAAAAAUUGAAAUUGAAGCUUUGAUCAAAAGAGGUCAUGUAGGAAGGUUUGUGGACCAACGGAGAUAAGGGCAUAAUAGGUUAGACUACAGAACAAACUGAAAAAGACCUAUAAGGGACAUGAAGGUAGGCCAAAGAAAAACAAGAAAGAAAAAGUUCAAAAAGAUGAGCAAAGAUAAGAUGAGGGCUAAGUUACUGAUAAUAGACCAAUUGCUUAAGUAAUCAAUAUGAUCACUAGAAAAAGUUCUACUUUGAUCAAAAAAAAUUUGAUCAAGGUAUAGUCAUGGCUAUCGAUUCUUCGGUAAAGAAAGAAAAAAAAUUGAAAAGAUGAAUCGAUCUCAUUCAGUUCGAAAGACUUAGAAGGAAUUCAAUACCCUUACGAUGUGCUAUAGUGAUCAUAGUUGUGGUGUACAACUAUGUUGUUAAGAAGAUUUUGUUUGAUAAUGGAAACUCAAUUGAUGUUUUAUACCACACCAUUAUAAAGAAAAUGAGAAUCAGGGAAAAACAAUUGCAACCAAAUACCACAACUCUAAUUGAAUUUAGAAAUGAAUAGGUACCAGUUAAAGGGACUAUUAAAUUACCAAUUUCUCUGGGGAUGAAAUCAAGGAUAGUUACGUCAAUCAUAGAAUUUAUGGUUGUAGAUGUUUCAUCUACUUAUAAUAUGAUAUUAGGCUAACCUAAUCAAUCUCUUAUGCAGCUCAUAAGCCUAGCUCCCUAUCUGAAAGUAAAGUUUCUAACACCUUAUGAAGUUGGAAAGGUAAGGAAAAACCAGUCUAUGGCACAACAAUGUUACGUUACAAUAAUGAAAGGAAUGACUAGGAAGCAUACUAACAGUUCGACUGAAGCUGAAAAGGUUAAGGAAGAAAAGUAGGCAACAUAAACCUAAGAGAAGCAAUAAAACAAGAGUACACACCCAUAAUAAUAAAAAAUUGACCUAAUAGAAGUGUGCUCUAAGCUUUUAAGCUUAAUUUCAUAAUAAAUAAGCUUUUAACAAAUUUUGUAACUUUUGAAUAGAUCUUGAAAGUGAUCAAGCCCGUAAGUUGGCAUGAACCUUUACAUGUUAAUAGGAUCGACCUAACACACUAGUCAAAAGGAAAAUUGAAAUGAAAUAUACAUAUAUUUUGUUCAGCUUUUACAUUCUGAUCAUUUAUCGAUAAUAUACUAACAUCAUAUUAGGAUCAAUCCCUGUAGAAAUGAUCCCGACCUAACUGAAUAGAAAAAAAAUAAUUGAUAAAAAAAUAAGGUAAAUGAGAACUGAUCUGAACAACAAAAGAACUUGUGUUUAUACCAUUUUAGAAGAACACCCUUUGAAAGUAUAUACAGAUUAAAAUUAACCUUAAACAUAAAGAGUAGUUAAU